Molecule: long non-coding RNA, 96336 nt
Filed under: Eucalyptus grandis
Lineage: Eukaryota; Viridiplantae; Streptophyta; Magnoliopsida; Myrtales; Myrtaceae
Description: long non-coding RNA (EGRA_LNC004895)
Source: RNAcentral
UUUUUUUUUUUGGUUGAAAAGAUAAAUAAAUAGAUUUUUAAAGAUUUACACCAUUUGCGAUUAAGUCAGUACAGAUAAAAUCCAAAAGAGGAAGGGGAAUAGAGGUGGGCUAGUUUGGAGGUAGGCAUCUAGACUCAUGGGCUUUGGCAACCCAGUUAGCGGCCUCAUUUGCUUCCCUGCUACAAUGGACUACAAGCAGGUUUGGAAACCCUCGAAGGAGCGUCGUAGCCUCAGCAAUCAGAGCACGCAUCUCCCAUGGCAUUGAACAAGGGUUGUUCACCGCGUCCACCAGGAUCUGGCAGUCCGAUUCCAAGGUAAUAGAUCGAUCCGCUUGUCCUUUUUGCAGCAAAUCUCGAAGAGUAAGAGUAAAGGCUUGAGUUUCCGUUUGCAAAGCCGAAGAUGCGUGGACAUGGCUUGUAAAUCCAGCAACAAUUCUACCAAAAUGAUCUCGAGUGAUUGAGGCCACCAAACCUUCAUGAGACGCAGGGAUGAAAGCUCCAUCAAUAUUGAUCUUCCAAGCGCCAGGAGCUGGAGUACGCCAUACUGGAUCUGUUGCUGAGGAUGAAAUCCAAGAUGCUGAGCUCACUACAUAUAAGCGGCGAUCUGUCAGAGUAUUCACAAGAGUCAUUUGAACUACAUGUGCUGGAUUUGGGUGAACCCUGCGAAAGACGAAGUGAUUUAUGGCUUUCCAGAUCUGCCACAGAGUAUGCACAAUUGUUGCCAGAUCAGGUAAUUUAGUUCUAUCAGCUAAUAGCUCUGUUAACCAGGCAUCCAUUAGGGGUUUGCAAAAUACCCGGGAACCGCCCGGACCGCCCAGAACCAGACCAGAACUGCCCGGAACCGGUGGUUCUUGAGGGAACCGAUCCGGUUCCCGGUUCCUAUUUAUGGGAACCGGUGCGUACUGGUCCGGUUCUUGGUUCCGUGGGCAGAUCCGCCCACCCAAAUCAGACCGGAACCUUUUUAAUAUUAAAAAAGAAAAAUUACUAAAAGAAACCCUACGUCUCGCGUCUCAUCUCUUCGUCUUCGGUUCUCUCUCUCUCUCUGUCUCUUCCUCAGUCUCUUCGUCUUUGAUUCCUCCCCGAGCAUUAACGCCGCCACCACUGCUCCUCCUCAGCCGUUGUCCGCCCCCUCGCACUGAUCACCACCCGCCACAGUUGUUGCUCCUCUGCCUCUGCUGUCUACCCCCAUGUUGUUGUCCGCCCCCUCGCUCAGUCUCUUCAUCUUUGAUUCCUCCCCGAGCGUCGACACCGCCGCCGCUGCUCCUCCACCACCACUGUCCGCCCCCUCGCGCCGGUCGCCACCUGCCACAGCCGCUGCUCCUCCGCCUCUUCUGUCCAUCUCGACCGAGCCCCCUUUUUCGUCACUCAACAAGGUACGAUCAUCGGCUUCCAGCUUGCCUCUCGAUUCAUCGUCCGCUUGCGAACUUGUACUUCGGUUCGAUUACCCAAUAGGUCAGAACGUAGUGAAGUUUGAGUCUUUGUUUUGGGAAUCAAUCGAUAUUCAUCUUGAUGCUUUGUCUUUGACGAUGCUCAUGCUUGAAUUUGCAGAAUCCUUGGUUGCUUUUCCCUGUUGCUGUGUUUUUUGAUUUUUUGUAUGUCUAAUCGUCAGUAAAUUCUAUGCUCAGGGUCGUGAGAAGGAGAUAAAGUUUUGAGCUUUUUUAAUUUUUAGUUUUUUUUUUCAGUUUUGUUCUUCUUCCUUCUGGGUUAGGAAACUAGCUUCACCUCCUGAAUUUGACUGUAUUGCUAGGAUGAACUACCCUUUAGAUAUAUGGCGUGGAGGGAUGGGGUGAUAAAUUGAAGGGCUCCGUUUUUGUUAUCAUUACUCCUUUUUCAUAUGUUAUGCUCGAUUUUAUCAGUUUUGGCUUAUGUGAUUUGCAUGUUUGCAGAUAAUAUACUUGGAAAUAGUUGGAGGAACUUAUUUCAUUGUGGCAAAAUCGUGCUUCAACUAUAUUCCUGGAUAUUAUUUAAGUGGAAUUCACAGGUACUGUUCGAAAGGAUUUAUACAAUUUCUGUUAUGAGUCAAUUUGCUGGUGUGAUCAAGGACAAACACUUGGUUUGAUAGCCCAAUCAUCUUGUGGUGGGAAAUAUUUUUGGCUAUUGGCAAAGAAAUGGGAAGUCACCAUUUCACCUUAGAAGGCUAUUAGCUACAUUCAACUCUUUUCUAGAAGAUGUUUUCUUUUCAUUUCUAAUGGCCCUCUUCGAAUUUGGAUUCACUUGAUUUGUUGUUAUAAGUAGUUUUUUGUGCCUGAUAAUGACACAUGGCUAGCGGUUUGACAAUUGAUAGUUGUGUGUGUUUUUUAUGAGCAAGAUAUAUACUGCUACAUCGGUGCAGUUUCAGGGACUUAUGUGGCCACAUGUGAGUUUUGAUUGUCCUCGAUGAUGUGGAAAAUGUUUGUCAUGUCAAGAAACUCAUCAGAGAUAUCUUUGGUUGCUUUGGAUAUGGAAGUACGAUCCUUGUAACCUUGUCUAAUUUACUCUACUUGAUGAGUUUGUUCCAUGUACUUAAAUUUGGUUUUCCUUUUUUUGGUUUGCUUUAAUAUCACGUAGUCAUUCUAUGUUGAAAACCAAAAUUAUUUCGCAUCAAAAUCGGUUCCAUGGAUCCACCCGGGAACCGAACUCGACCGGGUCCGAUUCCCGGGUGGAUCCUGGUUCCAAUUUUUCGGAACCGGUCCUUAGCGGGCGGUUCCCAGUUCUAGGUUGGGAACCGCCCACCCAGACCAUGCACACCCCUAGUGUCCAUACAUUCAAAAUUAUAAGCCUUCGGUAUAAUGUUAAUCUGCGGGUGCAACCAUACCUUCUGUGUCCAUGGACAUAAUAAGAAUAUGUGUUCUGUUGAUUCUGGGUUGUGUGCUUGACAUAACUGACACAUAGGAUCCAAUUAUAUGUCUGUGAUGGAGGUUCUCUCUAGUAGAAAGGGCAUUGUGGCAAAGAGACCACAUAAAUAUGCGAAUUUUUGGGGAUGUCUGUAUCUGCCAGAUCUUGCACCAAAGGUGUCGAGGGGCUUGGUAGGAGGAUGAUGCACUGGUUUGAUCAUUGGUAUGUGCUUUAGCUCUAAGGUAGUUAUAGCCAUUCUUGAAUGUAUAAACGCCGCUUUGAGUCCCUUUCCAUAUUACCUGAUCAGUUGUGCAUCAGCACGAAGCUGUAUAGCUAGGAUCUUAAUCACUAUCUGGUCAUCAAAGGAGUUACGCAGCAUAGGUUCAUUCCAAGUAUACUGACCUGGUAAAAUAAAAGCUACAAUCUUUUUCGGUUCACCUCGGGGUGCAGGUCCGCCAAUAAUACCUCUCGAUAGCCAUCUGUCUUCACGGAUUAAAAUGUGUUGUCUAUCUCCAACAAACCAUUGAAUAUUGUCCAAUAUCGAGUCUCUGCCGAUUAGUAGACUUAGCCAGCCCCAUGAUGGUCGUACACCUUUUUCAGCAUGCAAGAAAUCUGUAGAAUGAUAGUAAAGACCUUGAAAUAGUUUAGUCUAUAGGGAAGUGGGGUUAUGAAUUAGACGCCAUGCCUGCUUGCCAAGUAAGGCUCUAUUAAAGGUGAUGAGAUCACGAAAACCCAUUCCACCAGUGUCCUUUCUAGUAGUAAGGGAAUCCCAUUGCUUCCAAUAGAUUCCCGUCUUAGUGUUAUUAUUUUGCCACCAUAAUCUGGCAAUUUUCUGUUGAAUAGAUUUGCGCAGAGAAACAGGGAUCUUAAAAAUAGACAUCACGUAUUGUGGUAUUGCUUGGACAACGGUUUUAAUUAAAAGGUCCUUACCACCUUUUGAAAUGAACUGUUCCAACCUUCCAGUUUAGAAUGGACUCGAGCUAAUAUCCAGGCAAACAUAUCCUUUUUUUUAUCUUCAUUAGUCUGAUGGUAUGCCUAGGUAUUUACUAGAUUUGGUAAUCAUAGGAACUCGGAGUUCUUGGGCCAAAUUCUCUUGUAGUUGGGUAGGACACGCCUUGCUGAAAAGAAUACCAUAUUUAUUCCUGUUCACAGUCUGGCCAGUCGCUAAGCAGUAUUGGUUGAGCAAAUUCGCUAGGUUCUGACAUUCCCAUAGUUUGCCGUCCAGGAAGAAAAUUGCUUCAUCAGCAAAUAAUAAAUGAGAUAGGGUUGGACACCACCUGUUUAAUUUGAUGCAUUUAAGAUUUCCCAUUCGUAAAGCUUGUUGGAUAAGAAUGGAUAGGACAUUCGCUACCAGGAUGAACAGACAUGGAGAUAGAGGGUCUCCUUGUCGGAGUCCUCUAGUAGGGUGAAAGUAUGGAAGAUUAUCUCCAUUAAAUCUAACAUUGAAAAAAGAAGUUGUGAUGCAUUGCAUGACCCAUCGGACCCAUACUGAGUUGAAACCCAAUUUGAGCAUAUAAUCCUGUAGAAAAUCUCAUUCAACCCGGUCGUAGGCCUUCUGCAUGUCUAACUUUAGGACUGCUUGAAAAUGCUUCUUUCUUUUUUCUAAUCCUAAUCUGGUGGAGGACCUCUUGCACAACUAAUAUAUUAUCUUGAAUCUAUCUUCCACUAACAAAAGCAUAUUGUUCUGGGGAAAUCAGCGCCAAUAGCCAAGGUUUGAGAUGGUUGGCUAAAACCUUUGAAAUAAUCUUAUAAACAUAGUUGCAAAGGGUGAUUGGACGAUACUAGAAGAGUCAUUCCGGGUUGGGGACUUUGGGAAUUAAAGUUAUAUUUGUCUGAUUGAUUCCAGGUUGCAAAACUCCAAUGCAGAAGAAAUCUUGUACCAAGUCGAAUAGAUCAUCUUUCAUAAUGUCCCAGUGAUGCUGGUAGAAAAGCCCACUGAGUCCAUCCGGCCUUGGCGCUUUGGUGGCACCCAACUGAAAGGCUACCUGUUGUAUUUCCUCAUGAGUUAUAGCUUGUGUGAGUUUAUUAUUCAUGUCCCCCGUGACCAUCCGAGGGCAUUGCAUCAAAAUGGGUCUAUAAUCACGCUUCCCCAUAGAUGUAUACAAAGAUAUAAAAUAAGUUAGGGUCAUGUCCUUUAGCUUUUGCUGAUCACGAACCCAAGUCCGAUCUAUAUCCUGUAGCAUAUUGAUCCUAUUUCUCUGUCUUCGUUGGAUAGUUGAGGCAUGGAAGAAUUUAGUGUUUUUAUCACCCCAUCUUAGCUAGUUGAUGUGGGAUCUCAAUGCCCAAUACUGCUCUUCCUGUUGCCAGAGCUGCUGAAUCUCCAUCUGCAGGCGAGUCAUCUCCUCAUUAUCAUGAUGGUUAUGGGGCUUAUUCAUAAUAUCUUGGAGUUGUUGUUUCAAACAACGAAGUUUCCGGUUGCCAUUUGCAAAUUUUAUGCAACUCCAAAAAGCAAGGGCACCUGAAACGGUCUUGAUUUUCUCUGAAAUUGUAGGGUUGGACCGCAAAUGGGAGUGCCAGUUUUCAGCGAUAAUCUGGCAGCAUUCUUGAUCCUGAAGCCAGAAAGCCUCAAAGGUGAACCUUCUUCUCCUUUUGAUAUAUUUGGCGUCUGUUGUGAGUAAAAGUGGACUGUGAUCCGAGGCUAGGGCAGGUAAUACGAAAACCUCAGUUGCUGGAAAAGUUAAAUGCUAGUCCAUUGUGCAAAGAGCACGAUCCAAUUUCUCCUUAAUUAACUCAUCUCCCUCUCUAUUGUUAAUCCAUGUGUAUGCGCAUCCUUUGCUUAAAACCUCCAUAAAAGAACAGGUAUCUAUAAAAGCACAAAAAGACCUCAAACGAUAGGGAUCCGCUUGGCGCUUACCUAUUUUCUCCCAAUGGUAAAUGAGUUCAUUAAAAUCUCCGACACACACCCAAGGUAAAGUAUUAUAGUCGCUAAUUUGAUGUAAUUCUUCCCAAACGUAUUGUCUAUGAUUGUACAUCGAAGGGGCAUGAACACAAGUAAGGCGCAUGGUCAACGUAGUUUCCUUAUCCGUGCAGAUCAUAUCUAGGUAGUAUGUUGAUUGAUGUUCGAUAGAUAUGGAGAUUCCAUCAUUCCAAAACACUGCCAGUCCUCCUACUGUUCCGAUAGGCUCUUCAAGUAGACAGUUUGAAAAUUUGAUUCACUUCCAGAUUCUGAGUAGUACUAGAUUUUGAUUCUUUGUUUCCAUCAAAAAAACUACAUGGGGCUUUUCAUGAGCCACAAGGGCCCUUAGAGCUCGAACUAUCAGGGGAUUCCCCAAACCCUGACAGUUCCAAAUUAAUAUCUUCAUUUGUCAUGGGGUGGCUAAUUCGAGCUUGCCACCAUAGCCCAUCUGUUUGGUUCUUCAGCCACAAAGAUUGGAGUAUCCAUCAUAUGUGAGUCAUCAAACGCCUCUGGUCCCUGAGGUUUUAGCUCGUAAGGAUUAUACUGUUUAACUUUCUUUGUGGGACUUGCUUUGGAGCUUGAUCGAGUGCUCUUAAUUUUCUUUUGAUUAGGAACACCAACUACGUCAAGUGACUGAUCUUGGACAUGUGUUGUUGUAGGGGUGUGAGCAGGAGAUGGUAAAAUGUCUUUGGUAGAGCCUGACUGAUACCGCCAUUGAAGUGGUUCGGCUAAGGUAAGAAUAGGUUGUUCUGGAGACUCAACAGUUGCCUUUCCCUUGUCCUUGCUAUGCUGGUCUACAGGCAUUAAUAGGUUCGGUUGCUGAGGGGUUUCCGGUAUAAUUUUCGUCGUGUCUUCUCUGUUACUGUUCUGCUCAUAAAAAAAACCACCCAAAAGGGGCUAUGCUCCUUUACUUCAGUGCGUAGCCAUUGGCCAUAAUAACGAGUUUCUCUAUUAUCCAUUUUUUCUUCAUCAUAAGGAAACCUUUUACAAUGCAUAGCAUAAUGACCAAGGAUACCACAUGAAUAGCAGAAAUGGGAUAGUUUUUCGUAGCGGAAAUCUACCCAUAUAUUUUUCCCAAUUUCACACAAAAACUGAACUGUCCGAUCAUACUUUUGAACAGAAUGCAGAUCCAAGCCAUUCUAAUUUAAACAUAGAUAUUUAUUUUACAGAAACGACGGUUCAUUAUCUACCUUCAAUGACAGUGUUAGUGAUAGCAUUUGUGGACCAAUUACUUUCUUGUUGCGGUGACUUGAUUUCGUGAGUUGUUAAGCUUUGAAAGGUAAAUGUAGGUUGUUUUGGCUGAGGAAGAUCCGAUUCACCGCUUAGCAUCAGAACCACUUGUGACAUGUUGGGCCUAUCCACAGCAUGGUCCUGCACGCAGAGAAGCCCUACUUGAAUGCUUCGAAUCGCCUCUGACGGUGAAAAGGAAUCCGCAACCGCCGCAUCCAAUAGGUCCAAUGCUCUACCUCCACUCCACAAUUGCCAAGCCUGUAUGAACAGUAAGAUUGUUUGAUUUUACUAGUAGUAGGUAUGGACUACCAAUGACCAAAAAAGAGACAUUAGUUGUGAGAUAGAUGUUGCCCUUACAUAAACGAGGAGAUUGAGAUGUCCGUGGUUAUCUAAGAUAGUGUUCUUUUUGCUGCUGACAAUCUCUAGGAGCAGAACUCCAAAGCUAUAAAUAUCAGAUUUUUCAGAAAAUAUUCCACCCAUGGCAUACUCAGGAGACAUGUAGCCGCUGCAUAAUUUAAACAUUUCAAAGUCUCUUCAAUAGAAUGUUGUAAUCAUAAAAAAGCUAUAAGUCCUGAACCGAAGAUUUGUGGGAUGCACUGGUUGGAAAAUCCUUAACUGAGAUAGCAUAAGGGUCAGAAAUUUGAGGCUGAUAGAUUUUUUACAUCCCAGGCACCAAUAGCUUUGCUCUUCAUUUUUAGGAUAUUACUUUCGAUCUUAUGGACAUGCACGAGGUGAUUUGUGAACAGAUUAUACUGAUUAUGUCCUGGCUAGAUAAAAAUUUGCCUGAUUGAGUCAUAAUAUUAGUAUGAAAGAAAGAAAACUUACAAUGUUCCGGCAACUCUGUGUGUUUUUACCAAGACUUGAGUGCAUUCAAACAUCCGUGCCAACCCAAAAUCAGAAAUUUUUGGAUCCAUCUUUUCAUUCAAGAGGAUGUUGCUCACUUUUAAGUCUCGAUGAAUAAUCCUAAGACAAGAAUCACGAUGCAGGUACAAGAGUCCUCUGGCAACCCCGUGGAUGAUUUGCAAACGUAUGUCCCAGCUCAGUUCCGCCUUCUUACUUGAAUCUAAGCAAGGUAACAGACAGAAAAAAAUUCUAGUCUGAGUAUUAGUUUUUGUUUCCCUUAUAAGAAAAUGGAACUAAACAUUUUAGAGAGUGAAACCGACGAAAAAGAAAUUUGUCCAAGCUCUUGUUCGACAAGUAUUCGUAUACUAGGAUUUUCUCCUCUCCUUCAGUGCAGCAACCUAGGAGUCUGACGAGAUUUCUGUGUCGAAGUUUAGAUAUUAGAAGGAUCUCAUUCUUAAACUCUUCCACGCCUUGCGAUGAGCUGCUCGAGAGUCUUUUCACAGCUAUCUCCUUCCCAUCUUUCAGCUUUCCCUGUAUCCAAAUUCGCAGAAUCAUUAGACCUUUGGCUUGGACGAAUGACCAGUAUGUUAUAAUUAGAGAAGGCUUUACCUUGUAAACAGGGCCAAAACCUCCCUGCCCAAGUUUAUUGAUUGAGUUGAAGUUGUUUGUCGCAAGUAAUAUGCUGUCAAAACUGAAAAGUGUCAACUCUGAUGCGUCAUCUUGCCUCCAUUGCUCUUUGCAUGCAUUCUGCACUUCUUCUGGCCUAUCAGUCGUAUACCCUGGGUAAAGUAGUGCUGGGGUUCCCCUUGUCUUAAACAUCCCUGCAAUUUUUAUGUAUGCAGACUGAGCAUGCUUUGUUUCUAAACAGAUUGAGCAUAUAAAAGCACACUAGAUAACAUCAUGGAUUUGUCCCAGAAUGUGGAACUAACAUUUAGAAGACACUUUUCUUGUCUUCAUUUGAACAGUAAUUAUAUAGUUCACAUAAAACCAACUAUGGGAAACGGGAGAAAAGAAGCCCUGAAUGAGGACAGGAGAAGGAAAGUAGUGAUCCUGUAGAAGUGGCCUAUUUUCCAGUGCCAGGGCAUAUAUUACGCAAAUUUCUAAUAUCACGUCUACAAUAAAAUUGGAUUAUUCAUACCUCUUUUUUUAGCUCUCCACUUGCAUAGACCAUAUAUGGCAGCUCCACACAAGAUGAUGCCAAAAAUUGUACUUAGGCUGAUGAUCACUUUCGUUUGUUUUGAUGGACCUGAAGUCAUGGAGCAAAUUACUAGAACUAUAGGACAUACUAAAUGGAGCUAGUCUGAAUUCAAGCUUUUGAACCUUUACUUUCAUACACAAGGCGAAUAAAGAGAUCCUCCCCUGCUGUGGUGAAUUGUUGAAUAUCUAUGAGCUCUUCACUCCAAACCAUACAUCCUAUACCAUUCACAUAAGAGUAAGCCGAGCACGAACAAUUACUUAGACACCAACUUUGACAUUCUUCUGCGUCUGCUGGGUCUGGCAAAUAAGUGGCGGAAUUGGGCAAUUUCAUGUGGCUCAUCUUCAUGAAGAUGUCUUCUUUUACUGUUACUGGACCGGAGGUGCUAGUGUUUCUCUGACAAUUCAAUUCUGUUUCCCUGAUGCACCCUCCUGUCCAGUUUUGUCUGUCCCAUUCUUCAUCAAAUCUUGGUUUAAACCCUUUUGAGCAUCUACAUAUAGGAAAUUUUAAUGAACUGCAAACACCGAAAGGACCACAAGUUCCAUAAAUUUCACAGGAAUUGGUCGGUGUCUCCCAAUUUGUUGACCAAGUGUAAUUUCCGUCAUCCCAAUCCAUAAGCUUUAUGGACCCGUUUGAUGAGAUGGAUAGAUAUGAAAAAUAAGAGUUGUUGUCAUUGCUCAUGAAGAUUUGUGAUGUUCCCUGCUGACUAUCCUGCAAAAGACUAAAGCGGCUCAUUAAUGUGUUAUCCAUAGUAGGUAUCCCGACAAAGGUUGACUUAUCCCAUUGUCCGCUUCUCCAAUAAGGAGUUGAUUCGUUCCAUGAGAAUGCCUGAGGUGGUGUCUCUGGCGUGAGUCCUAGGACAAAACUUCCAGAUGAGGGAUCAUUUUCGCUUUUCCAGGAAACCAAGUAUGCUUUCUUUCCUGUUUUGACAUUUAUUCCCACCUUCAUGUUUGGGAGAAGUGUAUCAGUGGGUUCAUCAAAGCUUCCCCAUAUUUCAUUCAAAUUUCUGUCUUGCAGAACAAAAUUUCCAUAGUCUGAAAGUGUUGCUACAGAAUUAUUUGAAUGGACUGUGACAUUGGUAGACCAGAUCAGGCUUUGCUGUCCAUUAAGAAGCUUCAGAUUUCUAUCGCUGCCUAUCGUCAAGCUCGCAGAUCGAUCCGUAUUUGCGAGUGGCUGAUCCCUAUUGGCCACCCAGACAACUUUGGAAGGAUUCAUGUUCUUAAACCAUAUUCCAACAUAUUGGUUUUGUGAUCCAUUAGGUGUGAAGAACCCAAGCUCGAAGAUUUGACUAUUGGACAACAGUGUCUGGUUCUGAAGAAGCGGCUCUGAUGCAGUUAUUUUAAAAACUGCUCUGCUUUGUAGUGCUUGAAGCAGGAAGAGGAUGAUCGAGAAAUGGAAGUACGCAUUCAUUGGAGCAACUCAAAGACAAGAAGAAUCAAGUCGUACCGUUGAAUUUGAAAGAGAUGAUAUUGGCCUUCAGAGCUUCACUGUUUUGGUAGGCAGAUCAAAAUGGACAAAACACAGGAUUGCUCCAGAAGCAAGGUUUGUUAACCAAGCAAGGCUUGUUAACCAAGCUAUAAUCCAGAAGCAAGGAUUGACAUCUUUAGGAGGUGACAUAUAAUCCUCUAUCCUCAAAUUUUAAAAAUAUUCCCUUCCAACUACCAAUAGAUCUGACCCCCAAGGGAACAAAAUUAGAGAAUAGAUUGUCUAGCAAGAGGUUUCUUAGAAGAUACGGCAAACGUACUGGUCGGGUUUGGUUUCGGUCCAUGUGCCUCUAUGUUAAAUUAUGUCUCAAGUUUGAGCGUUUACAAAACAUAAUCCGUUUGGAUAAAAUUUUUAUUAUUUGAUUGUGAAGAUAUUUUUCUGAUGAAUAUAAUAUUCAAGAUUAUGCACAAGAAAAGAAAUUCGAAAUUCUUUUUAGGUCUUGAAUGUUUUCUAUCAACAAAAGAAGCUUCAUUGAACUCCAUGAAGGUUUAUAAAAGAGGAAAUAAAAUAGAAUAAAAAAAAAAGGAGCAAAGUUUCUUCUUUAUCUGGAGGAGUCAAACAAGGUCAUCUACAUGGGGCCCAAAGUCAAAGUCUUGACUUUGGGCACACAAUAUAUAUAAAAUAAAGGAAAAAUGAAUGGUUUCUUCACCUUACCCACAGCAUCGCACUUCCCACUGAAGAAAGAAGCACAUGAUGGGUACCAGAGUCAAAUUUGUUGACUGUGGACACACAUAUAAAACCAAAUGCGUCUUUCGUUUCUUUUAGAGGGAAGCCACUGAAGCCUUACGAAAGAAAUAAAUAAAGGAAAAGAGGAAGAAAACGGAAGGGUUUCAUCACCUUACCGGCAGCGUCCCACUUCCCAUCGAAGAAAGAAGCACAUGGUGGGGCCAGAGUCAAAGUUGUUGACUUUGGGCACACAUAUAAAACCAAACGCGUCUUUUGUUUCUUUUAGAGGGAAGCUGCUGAAGCCCUACGAAAGAAAUAAAUAAAGGAAAAAGGAAGAAAAGUGAAGGGUUUCUUCACCUUUCCAGCAGCGUCCCACAUCCCAUUUAAGAAAGAAGCACAUGGUGGGGCCCAAAGUCAAAGUUGUUGACUCCGGGCACACAUAUAAAACAUAACUUGUCUUUUGUUUCUUUUAGAGGAAAGCCUUUGAAGCCCACAAAAGAAAUAAAUAAAGGAAAAAGGAAGAAAAAUGAAGGGUUUCUUCACCUUACCUGCAGCGUCCCACUUCCCAUUGAAAAAAGAAGUACAUGGUGGGGCCUAGAGUCAAAGUUGUUGACUCUGGGCACAUAUUAUAAAACAAAACGCGUCUUUUGAUUCUUUUAGAGGGACGACGUUGAAGCCCUAUGAAAGAAAUAAAUAAAGGAAAAAGGAAGAAAAACGAAGGGUUUCUUCACCUUAAUUGCAAGUCCCACUUCCCAUUGAAGAAAGAAGCACAUGGUGGGGCCCAGAGUUAAAGUUGUUUACUCUGGGCACACAUAUAAAAUAGAACGCGUCUUUUGUUUCUUUCAGAGGGAAGCCGUUGAAGUCCUACGAAAGAAAUAAAUAAAGGAAAAAAAGGAAGAAAAGGAAAGGGUUUCUUGUGGCAUCCCAAAAAUUCAAGACAAGCUCUAAGGUGUAUUAAAGCCCAUAAUUAGGUAAUGAAAUUACCUAUGGUUUAUACUUUAGCCAUUAGUUUUCUCUUAGGACUAAGUAAUAUAUGCUUGUGUUCAUGAUUUUUUUUAUUUAUUUGUUAAUGAGAAUAAUAUAUCCUUGGCUAUGCACCUCAUAGACUAAAUUCCUAUAAAUAAAAUGUUACAAGAUUUUGGCCAUGUGGAAUUUAGAACUUAAAAUCUAUAAAAGAAAGAAUAAAAGGUGAAAUUUGAUUUUUUUUAUUAUUAUUUAGGUUUGGGCCUUAGGCCCAAGAGUGGAUUUUGAUGGGCCAAGAUGGCCGGCCCAUUGAAGCCCACGAAGGGGCAGUCGUCAACCACAAGGGAGGCCGGCCCAAUUGAGGCCCAAGAGGAGUGGCCGGCCCACUUCUUCCAAUCCAAGCCCAAGCCCAUCUUGCAUGUGGCAUGCCAAGUGGCCAAAAGAGGCUUGCAUGCAUUGGCUUGUGGAGAGGCAAGUGAUGAUUGCAAAUGAUGGAGAUUUGAGGGAACAAAAAGGGGAGAGAGAGAGAGAGAGAGAGUGGCCGGUUGGGGUUUCCGUCCAAGCCAAAGGGAGAGAGAGAAUUGCGAGCGAGAGAGGGAGUUGCGCGAGAGAGAGUGAGGCCAAGAGAGGAGGAGAAGGAGCCGCUCGCCAUCCGUCCGCCCGUCACCGCCCAUUCGUCCGCCGUGUGCGGUCGUUCUCUUCAGUUUAGAGGCAAGUUGGGAUCCACUUCCUACUCUUGCAUGUGUUUCUUGCAUGUGUGUUUGGAGUGGUGUCAAAUUUUGGGUGGUUAGGAGUGAGAAACCGGAGCUAGUAUGUUUUGUUUGUUGAGAUAGCUUGCUGUUUUCGUGUGAACCGCCUGCACCAGAAUCUUGUGAAGGCUUGCAUGCAUGUUUCGAGUUAGAUUUUGACUUUUAUUCCUUCAUGAAAUUUGUAUCCAACAUCUUAAACUACAACAUACUAAAAUUUGGUACAAAAUAGUGGAGAUUUAAGGGGUCAAACCCUCAUCCUACGAAGACACUAGAUCUGGAACUGUUUUGCUGACCUUUCGGUAGAUUUGUGGUUGCAUGUUGAUUUUUAUCAAGAAUAUCUCUUCGACUUCUUCAUGAAAAUUGUAUAUAACAUCUUAAGGACUAACAUACUCAAAUUUUAAGUGAAAUGAGCAAGUGUAGCCUAGUGAAUCGACUUACUCUUGAAGAUGGUAAAUCUGGAGACGCGGUACUGGACACCCGAGACUUCAUGGACCCAUAUGGUGACUGUUCUUUGGAAAUUUGACUUAGAUACCUUAAUUAAAUUUGUAGGGGAACUCUUGAAGUAAAACAUAUCCAAAUUUCAGAGGAAAAGAAGAAUCAUAAGUGGGUAAAAACUCGGUAUUUCGGAGAUGACUACACUGGACGUUUCGGUGUGAGAACCAGAAGCUUCGGACGACUAUAGGAAGUUUUCUAAAACGAAUCUUGCCUAGAAGUCUUCAUGAAAAAUAUAAUUUAGUGUCUUAACUAUAACCCGGAAAAAAUUCAUAAUUUUCGGAGGUCGUUCGGGUAUUUUAAUCGAAUUAUUUCAAAAACUGCACAUUCUGUUUCUAUCCGAAAUUGCAUGCUGUAUUUGUGUGAAUUAUAUCUUUUGUGUGGAACUCUAUUGGGCAUGUGUUUUUCAUGAAAUCAUUAUCUUAUUGUCUUGUCUAUCACAUGCCUUGAUUUCAUGAUUUUUGAGAAUCAUAUGAAUAUUUAAUUUAAAUAUUUUCUAAAAUAGUACAAGCUAGAAUUUAAUAAACUUCAAAAAGGCAUGAUAAAUGAACUUCAAAAAGGCAUGAUAAAUGGACUAUUCUAAAUUGUACGAAUUCCAUGGAUUUUUUUGUUAUGAAUGAUUGUGUCUUGCUGCAUGUAUGAUGAUGAUUGGAGAUGCAUGUAUGAAUCAAAGGAUGGAAGUGAUUUUGUUUGCCAUUACAUCAUGUGUCAUGCUGAGUUGAGACCUAAAUUGGUGAACAUCAACAAUGAUAAAUGAGGAAACUGUUUGAGGCGGUUGAUAAUGCCCUGGGAGUAUCAGGAUGCCCGGGAUGGGGGGUGUCAGAUGCCUGGAAUGUAUAGAGAUACAUGGCUAAAUGGCCUCGGGAGUUUCAAGAUGCCCGGAAUGGUUGGGUACCGGAAGCCUCGGAGGUCUUUGCCCGAGGGGAUGCCUCGUGAUGCCAGUUGGGAUGCAAAAUGCCCGAAAUGUGGGGGUGCCGGAUGCCCGGUGGCCUUAAAUGGUUGAAUGCCAGAGGUUUUUCUCGCAAUGCUAGGAUGGGGUGCGAGUGGUAAAGUAUGGGAUGAAAUUGAUGAUCCCGAGAAAGAGUGAUGUGGUGAUCAAAUUGAAAAUUAAAAGUGGAAAUUGAAUCAUGCAUAUAUGAUAUGAUAUGAUAAUGAUUACCAUGGCAUGAUGACUUGCAUAUAUGAUAUGAUGAUGACUCGCAUAUAUGAUAUGAUGAUGAUCACCUCUGGCAUGAUGACUAGCAUAUAUGAUAUGAUGAUGAUCACCUCUGGCAUGAUGACAUGUAUGUGAUAUGAUUGUGAUGAGGAUGUAUGAUGGUAUUUGCAUGGCUUCAAGGUAAGUAGGCUUGGAUGCAUGAAUGACAUGUAUUAUGUUGCGAUUGUAUUGUAUGAUGCAUUGAGUGGUUAUUGGAUCAUUUACCUGCUGAGUGGUUGUACUCACCCUUUCGGGGACCAACAUUUCAGAUUAGCAGGAUGCCGCUCCCUACUGUCACGCGGGGCAGAUUUUACGGCCUUCCUUCAGAUGUAGAGGUCGAGUGUGUGGAGAUCGAUUGUCCCACCAUUCCUGGAUUGACAUUUAUUCGAGUUCAUGCGAUAGUGAUGUACGAUGUGGGCCUGGCUGGGGGCCCUGUCAUUCAGGAGUUUAUAUCCGUCCAUGUUCGUCGAGAAGGAGUGAUGCGUGGGAUGCUGCCGCCGCCACAGCCUGAUGCACUGGGAUGGGUGUGAGGGCCCGUGCGUGAGAAGUAGAAGCGGCAACUUUUUGGGAUGAUAGCCGACACUAGUUGAUGGGAGAUCUUGCACGAUAGACAUAGAGGGUCGAGUGUUUCUUUUUGGGGUUGUGACCGAGUGUAGUUAAAAAAUCUUGGCCUUUCUUUUGAUGUACCGACCCAAGAAAAAUCCAUUAUGAAAAUAUGUAAAUAAAAGUGUCUGGGCUCUAUCUUUUCUUAUGAUGUUUAGUGGUGUGCAAUUGUAUCAUGGUUGUUGGAGAGAGAGAUGGCGAUAUUCUAUUUUGCUUCUGCUAAUGAGUUGCGCUGGGACCGUUUUCAAAAAAAAAAAUGCCUAUGAUUUACAACGCUUCUUCUAAGAGAUGUAGCUAGUGUUCCAUUAGGUGUAGCGUUAGGUGCCUGUGGCGACCUAAGGUGGUUCGGGGUGUCACAUUUCUUCACCUUAUCGGCAGCGUCCCACUUCCCAUUGAAGAAAGAAGCACAUGGUGGGGCCUAGAGUCAAAGUUGUUGACUUUGGGCACACAUAUAAAACAGAACACAUCUUUUGUUUCUUUCAGAGGGAAGCCGUUGAAGCCCUACGAAAGAUAGAAAGGAGCCGCACGUCCACACACGUCUAGACUGAAAGUGCUAAUGUGAACAUCUAGAGGAGGGUGAAUAGGUGUUUAAUAGAAGUCUUGACAAAUAAUUGCGGAAUAAAACAAGUUGCAAGUAAAGUUUGAAUAAGGAUCAGAGUCUAACAAAUGAGCCACCAGACUUCUAGUAGAUGUUCAGAAUCUAUUAUGCGAUAAAACAGACUUCUGAAAUAACCUGUAAGUAUGCAAUAGACUUAAAUAAGAAGAUUUAAGGAAAGAGAAUGUUGCACACAAAAUUUAUAGUGGUUCGGCUUAGAUCAAGCUUAUGUCCACUCUCCCACGCUAACAGCCUUCUAGCUGGAUUCCACUAUGCGAUCAACAAGAGAUUACAACUUUGAGUGUAAACACUCAGUGGUAAAUCACACUAUCUCACUAAGUGACUCUUUUGGUAUUUCUCUCACAAUCACAAACGUUUAAGCUCAUGAAAGACAAGUGUAUGAUUGAAAUUCGCUCAAACUUUGGAAUUAUAAAUUCUACGCUCCAUCUCUUACUUGCUCCUCAGUCCUUGAUCUCCUUAAAUAUUUCUCCACUUCCAAACUAGCCAUUGGACAAUAUCUAGAGAAUCAUCUUCCAAUCUACUCAUUCAACAUAUUUAUAUCUAGAAGAUUUGGUAGCCAUUGAGUGACAAAAGUAGAAUCCCAAGUUGAUUCCGAUCGCCCAUAUAACUAGAAUCUUGGUUUCUAUAAAUAGAGCUUCUCCGUUUAAAAAGUUAUUGUCUUCAAUAUCCAAUUGUCACGUUCUGGACUUGUGUCUCAUUCUGGAUGUAAAGUCUGAGUGUGUUAUGUCUGAAGUAAAGUCUAAGUGUAUUCCGCCUGAAAUAGACUUUAUAAUUUGUACGUAAGUCUGAACAUAUUAUGCUUCUAAACAUAUUUAGCCUUAAAAUCUGGACAUAGUCUAAAUAAGUUCAGCUUCAACAUAGAGUCUCUCUUCUAGUUCUUCCAAGUAUAGACUUUGAUAAUAUUAUUUACACGUUCUAUCAUCUGCAUAGUCUAUUACUCAACCAUUAAACACGUUAGAAGCCUUUAAUUUAUUUUGUCAUCUUCAAAAUAUCAUAAGGGAUUUCCCUAACAUAGAUGCUGCACAAGCCUUGAAGAGGUAGAAAAUGUGAAAUUAUACGUACGUGGAGAAAAGACAGUUCUUGUUUUGGCGUACAUAGAGCAUUUUACUUUGAGCUUGAAUGUGCAGUAAUUUUGUGCAAUGAGUUUAUAUCCAAGUGAGUUGUUUAUUUACAAACACUUUGGGUUUUGAGUUAAAUCUAGAUGUGGGAAAUACUUGAGCGUGUGAGUGAUUGUAAACUUUGAUUCUCCGAUUAUAGUGGAUUAUUUAUUACUGACUCUCUCCAUGGACGUAGGUACCAAUACUCGGACUGAACCACGUAAAUUUCCGGUGUCAUUAUUAUUUCUCGUUUAUUUCUCUAGUGAUUUUGCGUUGAUUUUCCAACUCAAUCCUAAACAUUUGCCGCGAGGUCAAAGGCAGCGACCUCACGUGGCCUUUGGCCAAGGUUGCCAGUGGCUGACAAGGCUCACCCUUGUCGGCCAUGGUGAUGCCCAACCUUGACAAAUCCAGUGAGGCUCCACCUCGCCCAACCAUGGUGAGGGCAACCUCACUAUUACUGGGCAAGGCUCGCCCUCGCUAGUGGUUAGUGAGGGCAAGCCUCACCAUUGGCCAAUGAGGCUAACCUUGUUGGUGAUCAACUCUAGUCGACUGGCCAAAGGAAAGAGGGAGAAAGAGGAAGGAGGAAAAUAAAAGGAAAAUAAUAAAUAAUAAAAUUUUCGAAAAAAUAAAAUAUUAUUAAAAAAAAUUGUCUACAUCAGCAUCGGUUGGAUGGCCAGCACUAGCCAGUAUCCACGUCAACAUCAGUCGGCCAAAUUUGGCCUAAUGGACUAAAUUAGCACAAUUGAAAAAGAUUUAGGACUAAAUUGGCCAAAAAAAAAAGGUUUAUGAUUGAAUUGGAAAAAUUGCAAUAAGUUUAUGAUUAUUUUGAUAAUUUUCUCGCUCUCUAGCUAUUCGUCCAUUGGAGAAAUUUUCUCAUAUUGAGGAAGACAAAAAUUCUAGAGAAUGAAUUAUUACAAUGGUAAGAGCCACAAAUUGCCACGUUCAUUUCGUAUGCCCUGAAGUAAUAUCUCUAGAAUUGUUCAUCAUUUGUUAAAAUAUGUCCAAUUUAUUUUUCAGCUUGUCAGCUUGCCAACUUGCCUUUUAAGAUUUUUAUCUAGAUGAAAUUGACGUAUUAUCUAAUUCGUUCGAAAGGCCGCCUAAGAACUUAUGGAGUUGAGUUCCUUUUAGUAAUGGUAAUUGUGGCAACUUAGCUACUUUCAAUAUUAGGGACCUUUCUCCCUAGCUUAAAGUUGAAGAUCCCAUCAGAAAUGAGGUCCAAUAUCCAUCAACCUGGGCCGGAUGAUGCAGGAGCAUCAAUGUCCAUGAGGACACAGCAUUUUAGAUGAAAUCUAAGAAUGAAAACUCUUUCAACAAAGUCAAAGGUUUCCCUUUUCAAGUUGGUUUUCAAAUGUGAAUAGGUUUUAUAAUUUAACGUUUCUUAGUUCAAUGUUUCCUAAUUUGAUGUUUCAUAGUUUACUACUCCCCAACUUAAAGUUUUCUUUUUUAAUGUUGCCUGGUGUAAUCUUUCCUAGUUUAUGACCUAGCUCCUCAUAUGGAUGAGUUCGAAUACUGUUCCCCAUUUUAACUCACUUCCAUAUUGGGGUGUGUGAACCUUGUGGAGUCCGAAAACUGUUCCCCAUUCCAAUUGUCGCUUCCAGGGAUUAGAAGAGAUCACAGUAAGUUCCUCAUGGCAUAAAAGCAAAAAAAAAAACCACUAUAUUUCUAGGCCCACAAGUUAAUUACUAACUUUGCAGAUGUCUCCUUUUUGUAUAUUUUGAUUCAUAUGGUAAUAGUAAAAUAAUUGUAGAUUUACAUGAAAUUUUCUUUUAAGAUGCAGGUGUAAGAGUUUUCCUAAUGUGGACUAUAUUAAUUGAUAUUAUAAUUUACCGUUUUUACGGGGUUGGUCUAAGGUGAGACAGAAGGUUUCUUAAUUAGUCUAAUAUGGGACUAGCUAAUGUGGGCCAAGUUAAGCUUAACCCGUAAUGAGAGUGCCUGGUUGGAAACUUUUUAAAUAGUGCUUAAGUCUCUUCUCUGACCUUAAUUCUCACUAAUAUCCUCACAUAAGGAGCAUUUACCUAACACUAAAAGGUAAGGGGGCCGUCUCAUUGAAUCAGUGAUAUAGAGGGCAAUAAAGGAGAAUGACUUGUGUGUGGAUCAUCGAUUUUCCGCUUCCACGUCAAGAACGAUGGAUCCCAAAACAAGUACGAUAAUCUUUCCACUUGCUCAUCUAUGUUCUUGUUCUGAUUAUGGAGAUCUUGGGAAUACAUGGUUUGCAUCAACAUGUGGUAUCAGAGCAACCAUAACCCUAGAACUUGAAUGCAUAGAACUUUCGCCCUAUUUUUGUGAUUUUCGUAAUUUUUUGUUCAAUAAAAAUCAAAUUAAAUUGUAAAUUCGGACUAGGCUUGUCGAGACGAGCAAAUCCGAGGGCGGCACAUCGUUGGAGGAGGCCACACGCACCCCCACACGUGGCCAGGGCGUCGAAGACGCGCCCCACGUAUGUUCACGCGCCCUCAUGCGCUCCCACGCGCGGGGCGCGACUUGCGCAUGCAACGCACACGGGUGCUGACAUCAAGAUGACGUUAGCGAACCGACCUGACCCGACCCGACCCAUUGACCGACCCAACCCGGUCAAUUGUUGACCGAUCUUGUCAAUUGAUCAGACCGAACCGUUGGAUCAAGUGGUCGAGCUUGGAACCGAUCGAACCGCUACUGGUCGGACCGAUUUUUUACCAGCCUUUACGCCCAUGUGUGAGCUCCAUGCGCCAUGCACUCAAGCGAUGCGUGCGAGCGUGUGAAGGCUCCGAUGGGCGCGUGACUGGCGGCGUUGGGUUCAUAUGGUCAUUCUCUAUCUUGUGGUGUAUUUAUUUUACAUGUUUGGUGAUUUUAUGAAUGUGAAAAUACAUACAAAACCCUAAAUACAUACAUUUUUAGUGAAUUUUUGCAUUUUUUUUUUUGUAUUUUUCUGUGAUUUUGGAAAUACAAGUAUUGGUUUUAUAGGUAUGUUAUCACAUAAACAUUAUAAAAGUGUGAUUCAUAAGUAAAAAUUAAACUUUAUUGUGAACUGAAGAUGGCUUAAUGAGAUACAACCAUUAUGGGAUAGUAAUUGAACUAUGUAUUGAGAUGAUGAGAAACUGUAAAAGAUUAUGAAACUUUUGUUGCUCAAGCAUACUCCUUUACACGCAUCUCGAUGCAUUUUUGUUUCUUUUUAAUAACCUUCUAAUGAUGGACGUCUUAAGAACUCGUGACCAAACUUAUUAUGCUACUUAAUACAUUUGCUGAAUGUGGGUAAUGCAUGUCAGUUAAAUUAUUGGAUACUAUACCUAAACUCAUUUGGUCAUUUGUUAACGUCUAUCAAGUUAAACAUUUUUUUUAUGAUUAACAAAUAUGACAACAUUUACGCAGAGCAAUAGUAUCUACUGUUGUAGUUUAGAUAUUUGGUUCUGCGGUUUGACUCAAUUAAUAGGUCAUUGAUUAAAGCAAUGAUAAUUUGUUAUUUAAAAUUGGCUAAUAAAUCAGCUAUCAAGCUUGUUAAUCGAGGGUACCCUGUACUACUAUUGAUGUUAACUUGUGAGAGAUCCUCUAUAUCAAUAUUCUUCUUUAUGUUGUUCUGGUAAUCUGUAAUAUGGGUGCACAAGAGACGCUUUCUUUUAUGUUAUGAGAAGUUUCUUGUGUUGCUUUGAUUGAUGAUCUCAUUGGAGUCUAUUAAAACAGAUCAUUUAUAUAUAUUUAUGAUUGAUUUUCUUGGAUUGAUAAAACAAUGUAAUUAGCAUAAUAUAUUAUUUUAGUGAUAUAUUGCCCCUAUCACUAAAGUUAAAAUCACAUGUAUACGGUGUAUGUGAGAAAUAAAGUUUAUAUCCCUAAUAUGAGAGAACUUCAAGGAUUUAAUUUAGUAGUGACCACCAAAGUGGCAUACUUGAUUGGGUUUGAGGAAUAUCGAUCCCGUACGAUGAUUGGGAUGUCUCCUGGUCUAAUGCGUAAUCAUAUUCCCAAAAAAGGUGAUAUGUAUUAGUUCAUAGAGAGAUACAUGAUGGUGUGAUGGAGGAGUGAUUGAUUCUAGUGGUUCAUAUGCCCAAAAGUGAUGAAUUUACGAAAAUUAGAAUAUAUUCUCAUAACCGCUAUCAUGUGGGGAGUGUACAAUUGCAUGUCAUAUAUUCUGAUCAAAGGUGAUUAUAUGAUUUUACAUGUAAUUCUCUAGAUAUGUACUUGUACAUCAAGUUACACAGUGCUCACAUGAUGCUAAUUAUAUGCAUUGCUUGUUUUUCAAUCACAUUUUUUCUGUAAUUAAUAACUUUACUAUUAUUAAGGUUUUUACUGCUUCAAAUUUUAAGUUGUGGACAUAUGAUUUGCUACUUGGGAAAAUGGCAAUAGAAUUUGCUUAUUAUCCAUGAAGUAAUCCAUUAAGGAACAUUUAAAAAGUGAUUUACCAACUGACUGCACUUUUAAAAGAUAAUGGAAGCCUUAGUGGCUUGAAAUUAUGUCUUAUCUAAUACCGAAAUUAGGAAACAUCUGCAAAGAUUGUGUUUAAGUCCUAAUGAUAUAUACAUCUCGUAUACGAUUGAAAAUGUUGUUUCCAAAAGUUUUCAGUCUAAAGAAUAAUCUCACACAUGUUUAAAGAAAGAGCAGAAAAGUUGACAAUGUUAAUAUUUUGUCUAUUCUUAACAGUUAUCUAAAAACUUCUAUAGAUUAUCGUGGAAGUAAUGUAUGCAAAAAAUUUAUUUCAACAAAGUUAUUAAUGAUUUUUCUUCUGUACUUAAUUAAUAAAAGUUAGAAUUAGUCUUAAAUGUUAUCAGGCCUAACAGUGGUGGUAAAUAUUUUGGCAAGUAUGGCAAUGCUAAAAAACUUAAAUGAUCAUUUGUCAAAUACUUGGUAAAUUCUGAGGUAGUAACUUAAUUUACUAUGCCUAAAAAUCCUAACAAAAUGAUUUGGCUGAAAAGCAUAAUUGCACUAUAAUCAACAUGGUGAUGAGUAUGAUGAGUAAGACUAAUUUAUUCGGUCUUCUGUGAGUUAAUAUUUUGAAAGCAACCUUUUCACAUACAAAACGUGUUUUAAUACUAAGUGCAGAAUGAAGUGGUUGUAUCAGGAGAUCUUGUAGGGAAAAACGAUCAAUUAUACUAUAAGACUAUAUAGUCUAUUUGUGAGAGCAUGACUACAAUAUAUACUACAUGGUUGAUUUAGCGACUUAUAUAAAUAUUGUUUCUUAUCCUCAAUCAAGUAUAUGAUUAGAUGCCAUAAAAGGCGAUAUGUAAUCUAUAAAACAUCAUAGUGUUUGGAAACUUAUUGACUUGCUUAAAGAUCACAAGUUCAUUAGUUACAAAUAGAUGUACAAAACCAAAAGGAUUUCAAAGAAAGAUUAUGGAGUUUAAAUCGAAACUUGUAACUAAAGUUUUCACUUUGAAAGAGAGGUAGAUAGUUGAUAGUUAAUAAUGAAGAAAUAAUCAUUUCUUUCUAUUAUUUUUAAAUAUUCUCUCAGAGUGAACGCAACAUUAAUAGCUCAUAUUUUGAUAUGGAGUUAUGUCAAAUAAAUGAACACGUUGAUAACAAAAUCUAUAUAGUGCAACCGAAGGAUUUUGUAGCAGAUGAUUCAAGUAAACUUGUAUGUAGACUGAAAAAUCUUUUUUAUGGUCUUAAGCAAGUUUCCAAAUAAUAUUAUUAAAGUUUUAUAAUGUUGCUAUUUUGUUCAGUUGAGAACAAAAUAAUUCUAUAUAUAUACUGCAAGGUCAGUGGGAGGAAAUUUAUUUUUCUCAUAUUCUAUAUACACGAUAUUUUGCUUACAAGUAGUGACAUUGAGGCAUCUUUUAUCCUUUGUACUAAGGUUCGUAAGGAUUGUUCUCGCUAUAAAUAUUGGAUUUUAUUAAAUUUAUCUCAUACAACAUUUGCUUAUCAUAUUUUGGAAAAAUUCAAUAUACAUCAUUGCAAGCCAGGAAUUGUUCCUGUCAUUAAGUGUGAUGGACCAAAUCAUUACGUUGUCCUUAUUUAGAUAUUGAGAAAAUCUAGUUAAAGGGUGUACCUUGUGUCAAUGCACUUAAAAGAAUAAUAUUUGCUUAAAUUUGCACUAGACUAAAUAUCGUCUUUGUGACGGGUUUUUUAGGCAGAUAUCAGUCAAAUCCAGGAUGCAAUCACUGGGUUGGUGCCAAGAAAGUUUUAAGAUACUUAAAUAGAACAAGAGAUUAUAUGCUGAUUUAUAGACAUGUUCAAUUCUUGCAGCUAAUAGGGUAUUUAGAUGUAAACUUUGCCAACUGUUAGGAUGACAUAAGAUCAAUAACGGAAUACAUAUUUAUAUUAAUAGAAAGUGCAAUAAAUAAAAUUCCAUAUCAUCUUCUACUAUGGAAGCAAAGUUUAUAACAUUUCUUUAAACUGUUACUUGGGCUAUUAGGCUUCGAAACCUCAUUAAGGAGUUGACCAUUUUUAACUUUAUGGAUAGACCCAUACGGUUGUAUUGAGACAAUAAAUUUGUAGUAUCACUAAUAACAGAGGUCUCAAUGGAUCUAAAUAUACGGCAAUCGAAUUUUUACCAUAAAGAAAUAUUACAGAAAAGUGACGUUUUAAUAUAAAAUAUUUUCACAAAUGAGAUGAUUGCAGAUCUACUAACUAAAGGAUUUUGAUCUUCUAUUCUUGAAUGACAUAUCAUUAAUAUAAGUUUAAGAGUAUCAUGAGAUGCUGUUGUUUGGUGGAAAUUAUUUUGGCUUUACUUUAAUAAAGUUUACGUAUGUGUCCGUUAUACUUAGUAACAGUUUGAUAUGUAUCAACUUUUGCAUUGAAAAUAUUUUUGAAUGUGUUGUUAUUAUGUUAAAUAUAUGUUGAUAAAGUCUUAAGGUAUUGUAUAAACCUUGAGCAAAGGCUAGGGGCAUCCGGUUAUUAGCCUUGUACAUAUGUCUUGUUAUACAUUAAAAAAAAAAGUUAACAGUAAAGAUUGUUAGAGAAAACUCCUUUAUUAUUUUGAAGCUAAUAAAACAUUUCCAAAAGUCUAGUCUGAAGACUUCUAGACUCAAGUGUAAUAGUCUAAAGAACUUCAGACUCUAUCGUCAAAGUCUGAAGACCGCCAGACUCAAGAUUCAAAGUCUGCCCUCACUGACAAUUUCCAAAUGAAGAAUGAAGACUUAUCCAAAUGCCGGAUUAUCUUCAAUGAUUCGAUUCGUAUGGUUUUUGAAAGACCCUAUGGCUGGAUAAAGCAUUUACUUAAUUGAUUAUUCUUAUUGGAAUCCAUUCCAAAAUGAAGAUCUUUUGAAAGGCGAGCAAACUUGGAAGGUUAUACUUAUAGAAACCAAAUAUCCUAAUGUAUGGGCAAACAGGAUUGACGGGCUUUCAUCACUAAUCAUCCAACGACUCGAGAUCACCUUAAUUAAUUUUGUCUAACGGGUAGAUUGGAAGAAUUCCUCUGAAAAGUGCCAACAGUCGUGAAGGCAUAGAGUAUUUAAGGCGGACUCUCCAGUUGUUUGAUAUAAUGUGUGAAAGAAGAAUUUCAAAGUCUGAAUCUCUAUAGUUCCUUACUCUUUCAUUCAUCAAGCUCAAAUUGUAUACAAAAGAGAGAAACACAUAGUGAGACUUUAUGAAGAGACCAACAGAGACUCUACACUGAGAAAGUCGAAGAUCACAAGUUGUAAAAUCUCUUUUGAUUCAUAGUGGAAUCCAUCCAGUGAGCUGUCAACACGAGAGAAUGGAUGUAGGUUUGAUCUAAGCCAAACCAAUAUAAACCUUGCGAUUCAAUUUUCUUUCCUUGAACUCUUUAAUUUUACUCGUAGCUUUAUUUAAAGUUGAUUAUGUCCUUAGUCAAUUAUCUUCAAAAGACAAUUUACUUUUAUUAAGUCUUGCGAAAAAAAUUUAUUUACACCUAUUCACCCCCUCUAGGUAUUUGCACUAGCCCUUUCAAUUAGUAUCAGAGCAUGUGUGCUUAUUUAUUGAAGUGUUUUUACUUCUUAACCUAAAGAUCUAUGACUAAUAUUUUGGCUCCAGGUUUGGUUGAAGGCCAAAACAACACCAGACCUCUCUACUUUGAUGGGAAGGAAUACAAUGUUUGGAAAAACAAGAUGAAUGCAUUCCUAAUAUCGAAAGAUCCCAUAGAAUGGGAUGUAGUAGAGAAAGAGAUCAUUUCUAAAGCUACAUCAACCUCAGGGAAGGAAGUUGCAGAUGCUGGAGAACUGACACAAGUGGAAAUAACCAAGAGACAAGCUCUUGAUGCCAAAAUCAUCUACUCUUUAUAUUGUGCUUUAUCUCCUACUGAGUAUAACAGAAUUUCAUCUUGUGAAACAGCCAAAGAAAUCCGGGACAGGUUGCACGUCACCUAUAAAGGAAUUGAUCGAGUUAAAGAAACAAAAAUCAACAUCAUACUUGGACAAUAUGAAGCCUUCAAGAUGAAGCCAGGAGAAUCCAUCACUGAUAUGUCUAGCUGUUUCACAGAGAUUGUAAAUAGUCUAGCAUUUCAAGAACAGCCAAUCUCAGGACCGAUGAGGGUCAAUAAAUUGCUAUGAGAACUCUCCAAAGACUGGAACCGUGUAAAGACCUUUAUAAGAGAAACCCAAAGGAUUAUGCCUCUUUCUGUAGACGAAUUGGUUGGCACAUUUCAAUCAUAUGAAAUAGAGAAAAUCAAUGAGGAAGAAGAUCCCAAAGGUAAGAAGUCAAUUGCCUUAAAAUCUAAUGAUGAUUCUAAUGUUACAGAUUCGAAAGAUAACUUGGACGAUGAAGAGCUAGCACUCAUGAUAAGGAAGUUCAAGAAGUUGAACAGGAAAGGAAAAAGGGUUUAACUGGAAGAAGCAAGACACUUAAAGAUUUCAGAAGAAAUCAAAUGAGGAUAAUGAGAUCAACAAAGAUGUGAUUUGUUUUGAAUAUAAGACAAAAUGGGCAUAUCAAACCCAACUGCUCUAUGUUAAAGAAAAAGAAAGGAAAAGCAGAGAAAGUCAAAAAGGCUCUCAAAGCAGAGAUAUUGAGCAAUACAGAAUGCGAUGAAAGUGAUGAAGAGUAUGUCAACAUAUGUCUAAUAGCAAAUUUAGAAUCGGACUCAGACUUUGAAACAGAUUCAGACUCAGAUUCAGACACAAAAGUCGAGGUAAGUAAUUUAAAAAUUCCUGCUAAAGUCUCAAAGUAUAUAAAUGAACUAUGUCUUAGUCUCAAAACAUCUCUUAAAAGGAUUUUCGAGCUGAAGAGGGAAAAUUCUAAACUAAAGCAAUAGGAAAAUUCUUGAAAAGAAAAUUUUGAAAAUCUAGACAAAAGUUUUUUUGAUUUAAAAGAAAAUGCAAACUCUCUUUUGAAGGAAAAUACUGUUUUGAAAUAGGACAUUUCAAAUAUCACAAAAAGGUUUUCAAAAGGAUCUGAGAAGUUAGAAAAGAUUCUUUCAGUACAAAUACCUUAUUUUAACAAACCUGGUUUAUGAAUGAUACCAGAAAUCAUUCCUUUAAUUGAUUUUCCAAAAGUGAAAGAAAGAAUCAAACAAAGACCUAUAAAAACAUUUUACAAAAGCCAUUUUCAAAAAAAAAAAAUCUAAAACCUAUUGAUCGAUGUGCUCUCAAAUGUUUAAAGUGUAACAGCUCAGAACAUUUCGAGAAGGAAUGUCCCAAGGUUUGGAGACAUGUUAAGAGGGAUUAAGCAAAGACUGUAUUUGGUACUAACUCCCCUGAACCCAUGAAAGUGUGGAUACCAAAGAAAACUUGAGUUCUUCUUAUGAUUGCAGGUCACUAUCAAGAAAAAGAUCAAAUGGUAUUUGGAUAGUAGCUGCUCAAGACACAUAACAGGAUAUUCAAGUUGUUUUAUAAUGCUCGUGCAAAUAAAUGGAGGAAAAGUUUCUUUUGGUGGAAACAGCAAAUGAAUGAUUGUUGGAUGCGAAACUGUAAGGAUUGGAAGUCUCACAAUCAACAAUGUCUCCUUGGUGGAAGGUUUGAAUUACAAUCUUCUCAGCAUUAAUCAACUGUGCGACACUAAAUUCAAAAUUAAUUUCCAAGAAGGCACUUGUUCGGGAACUAAUAAAGAUCUCUCUCAAUAUUUCACUAGACGAAGACAUGGGAAUAUUUAUCUUCUAGAUAUAAAAUUAGAAAGCUCUCAGUGUCUAAUAUCAAUUCAAGAUGAAGCAAAUCUUUGGCAUAGAAAGCUUGGCCACGUUAACAUGAAGCAAAUUGCUAAGAUCUCCUCCAAGAAGCUUGUUCGUGAACUGCCCAACAUGACUUAUCAAAAGUCUGAAUUAUGCACACCAUGUGUAUUGGGAAAACAAGUUAGAAGUACUUUUAAACUUAUAAAUCAAGUUUCUACUAAUCAAGUUUUGUAGUUUCUGCAUAUGGAUCUCUUUGGACCAACUAGAACUCAAAGCAUUGGUGGAAAGAGUUACUACCUAGUAAUCGUGGAUGAUUACUCUUGCUUUACAUGGGUACACUUCCUGGCAAGUAAGUCUAAAACUUUUUCUUACUUUUCAAAAUUUACCAAGAAUGUUCAGAAUGAAAAAGGUUAUGUUAUUUCAAGUAUACGUAUAGACCAUGGAGGUGAGUUUGAAAAUCAAGACUUUAUAAAAUUCUGUGAUUAAUUUGGUUUUCAAUAUGUUUUCUCUUCUCCAUAUACUCCAAAGAAAAAUGGGGUUGUGGAAAGAAAGAAUAGAUCUUUGUAGAAGAUGGCAAUAACCCUUUUAAUUGAGAGUAAUAUUUCCUCUCGAUUUUGGGUUGAAGCAGUCUCUAUAGCUUGUUAUAUUAUUAACAGAAUAUUCUUGAAACCUAUUCUAGAGAAAACUCCUUAUGGGUAUUUAAAGGGAAGAAGUCAAAUGUUUCUUAUUUUAAUGUAUUUAGUUGUAAAUGUUUUUUUUUUGAAGAAUGCAAUUGAUUGUACCGGUAAGUUUGAAGAAAAAUUAGACGAAUGAAUUUUCCUUGGCUACUCAACCUCAAGCAAAGUCUAUAGAGUAUUCAACAAAAAGACUUAGUCUGUGGAAAAAUCUAUGAACGUCAAAUUUCAAGAAUCUAUGCAGAAUCAAUUGGAUCAUACUCAACUUGAAGAAUCUGAACCUACUCUAAAUGUCAUAAAGUCUACUUCCCCCAAAGUGGUUCAAACUUCUGAAGCUCAACAACAAGAUGAACCAGAUUCAACUGAAGUAGAGGAUCAGCAAAAUCACAAACCAACUAGCAACUGGAAGCAUAAGUCAAGUCAUCCUAAGGAAUUCAUCAUUGGCAACAUUGAUGAAGGAAUUCGUACCAGAUCCAAAAGGCAAGAAAAGUCUAGUGCUUUAGCACUUGUUUUUGAGAUUAAACCCAAAAGUAUAGAAGAAGCCUUGGCUGAUGAAAGCUGGAUUGAAGUUAUGCAAGAAGAGCUCAAACAGUUCAGCAUCAACGAUAUUUGGGAACUAAUUCCUAAACCUAAAGGUAAAUCUAUUAUUGGAACUAAAUGGAUUUUCAGGAACAAGGUGGACGAGAAACGAAAAGUGGUUAGGAACAAAGCAAGACUCAUGGCCAAAUGAUAUACGCAAGAAGAAUGGAUAGACUAUGACGAGACCUAUGCACUAGUAGCGAGGUUAGAAGCUAUUAGAUUAUUACUUGUUUUUGCUUACUAUAAAAAUCCCAGGUUAUUCCAAAUUGAUGUAAAAAGUGCAUUCCUAAAUGGAUUCAUCCAAAAAAAAAAGUCUAUGUGGAACAACCACCUAGUUUUGAAGAUCCAAGAAAUCCAAACUCAGUCUACAGAUUGAAAAAGGCCCUAUAUGGAUCAAAGCAGGCACCUUGAGCUUGGUAUGAAAUGUUAAGUAAAUUCUUAACUCAAAAUAGUUUUGUUAAAGGAAAUGUAGAUACUAUUUUGUUCAUUAAAAGAGAAUGUAAAGAUUUUCUACUUGUUUAAAUGUAUGUUGAUGAUAUUAUAUUUUGAUCACCUAAUGAAAAUCUAUGCAAGAAAUUUUCUAGAUGCAUGCAGGAUGAAUUCAAGAUAAGCAUGAUGGGUGAAUUAACUUUCUUUCUAGGAUUACAAGUUAAACAAUCAAAGGAAGGAAUUUUCAUUCACCAAGAGAAGUAUGCAAAGGAUCUCAUCAAGAAAUUUAGAUUGGAGAAUUACAAAAAGACCGAUACACCUAUGUCAAGUUUUUCGAAGCUAGACAAAGAUGAAGAAGGAAAGAGUGUAAACCAGAAGUUUUACGAGAGCAUUAUUGGUUCGCUUCUUUACCUUACUACAUCUAGACUUGACAUUUUGUUUAGUGUUUGUAAAUGUGCUAGAUUCUAAUCAAAUCCCAAAGAAUCUCAUUUAACUACUGCAAAGUGCAUCAUCAAAUACAUUUCAAGUACUCCAAAGCUAGGUCUGUGGUAUCCCAAGGAAAGAGACUUUACUCUCCUUGGAUAUUCAAACGCAAAUUUAGUUGGAUGCAGAGUUGAUAGAAAGAGUACUUUUGGUACAUGUCAAUAGCUUGGCAACAAGCUAGUAUCUUGGUUUUCAAGAAAACAUAAUAUCGUAACUCUUUCAACAGCUGAAGCAAUAUGUAGCUCUUGGAAGUUGUUGCUCUCAAAUUUUGUGGAUAAGGCAACAGUUAAGAGAUUUUGGUAUUGAAGAAUCAUGCACCAAGAUCAAAUGUGAUAACACCAGCACCAUCAAUCUCACAAAGAAUCCAAUUCUUUGUUCAAGAGCAAAGUAUAUAGAGAUUCGACAUCACUUUAUUAGAGAUCAUGUUCAGAAUGGAGAAGUUAUGAUUCAGUUCAUUGACUCAAAGAAUCGGCUGGCAGAUAUAUUUACAAAGCCACUGAAGAAAAGCUUAUUUGAGUCUAUUCGUGCCAAACUGAACAUCAUAUCUUUUACCAGGUAAAGUCUGAAGGUGUUCAGACUCAGAAUGAUCCAAAGUUACAACUGUAAGUUAAUUCUUUCUAAAUGCAUGUGAUUUUAUUUUUGGAUAAAUUUUUGAAAAGGUACGUUGAUUUUUCGAAUUGUUACUUGCCUAUUUUACUUUUAGAAUUUAUCUUUUUCAAGUUUUGAAAUUAUGGCAGUUUUUCAUUUUCAAAAAGGCAGUUUUUACUUUUUCUUUUGUGAUGUUUCAUAUACCCAGUUUCACUUGCUAUAUAUAUUAUCGAUUUUCAUCUUCUCCGUUUUCACUUUCAAACCCUCGAAUACAAAAAUCCUACUUGCUCUCACUUUCUCUCUAGUUUAAUCCAAAAAAUUUCGCAUUUUUUCACGAGCAAGUUCGAGAAUUUCCCCAAGAAAGUGACAAUGUCUUCCCAAAGAAAGUCUUCUAGAAUCACAAGCAGGGGACCACAGCAUAUGCAUGAGGGUCCUACGCACUUCGAUCUGACUAAAAAAGAAGACUCUCCUCAACAGUUGUCACGACACGAACCUUGAGCACGUGUCCAUCCCUCUACCGUCGAUAAAAUUUUGCGACUUCCCAAGACGAGUCGCCAACCCUUUUCUUUUUAUUGCACAUGCGAAAGCGAAAAUAUAAAUCUCCUAACAGUAACUAUCUCAAAAUAAAAAAAGUAGGACAACAAAUUCACAAACAAACAUGCUUUUAUAUAUACAUUGAGUCAUGUACAAAAGUCUAUGGCCAAAAGACUACAAAAGACUAGCCUUCCAAAAAGAAGCGGUUCUAACUAACCUACACUUCCGAUCACCUCCUCUCAGAUCCAGAUCCUCCACUUGACGACCCUGAAAAUGGUCAUACAAUAACCAAUGAGACAAUGUCUCAGCAAGUCCAUGCUCUAAAUUCCGAUUAUGAGGGAAAUACGCCUAGAAGCGUCCUAAUCACACAAUCAUAGAAUCACAGAGGCUUACCUUGGCCUCAGAUCCACCUUGCAGAUCAAUACAGUUUAUAACUUAGACAGCAUGAAAGCAUGAGCAACAACUAAGCUCAAUUAACUGGAACGCCACAUUGAAAUUCUCAAAUAAGCACAGGAGUCCUUAUUAUAAGGCCAAAUCGUUAUGACACGUCACAUACCAUGCCACACAAUUUUGUCCUAUAAUCUGGCACAUUCAACUCAAUUAUACAUGCAUUCCUAGUUUUGAUCUCGGUAUAUAACAUGGCCUACUCUCUAUUCGGCAGUCUCCUAGCAUUGCCAGGCUUCGUCUCACCCCAUUGAGCACGACACGUCUCUUUCAGACAACUUUCCCGAAGGAGCAUAGGGUCCAGAAUUUACUGCAACCGGCUUCCCGUUGUCUAGGGGUAUCCUAAAUAGGGAUAACGUCCAGCUUAACAGCCCGGGAUGAUUUCUCUUAACCAUCACACGAUCACUCAAAUAUGGCCUAGGGUACCUUGCAUUGCACUCAAAUACUUCAAUUAAAAUGGUGAACCUGGCCUUUUUCUUCGUAUUAGAAAUACACAUGAAAAUAUUCGUGUGUGGAUACACGGUCAACUUGACCCAGUAAAAUUGAUAUCUUCCCAUUUAAAAUCCUACCGUUUUAUAUAGUACAUAAAACCAUUUUUUGUGUUAAAAUCCGACACCCGGGAUUUUUUGAAUAAAUAUUGGAAAUUCACAAUUUUUGGAAUUAAAUACCAAAAAUCCAAUCAGCACUCAAUUUGCAGAAAUUAACUCUCAAUUACAGAAAGUAACCACACCACUGCAAUUAGCAUGAAAUUCCGGUCAUCAGUUAUCCCGACCUAAUUUUCUGAAAAAUAAUUAUUAAUUAAUUAAUUUCGAAAAUUAAUUAAAUAAUUCUAUUUAAUUUCUAAAAUUAUUAACUUAGGCUAAAAUCACUAAAUUAAAUACCAAUACGGAUCCGGAAAAUUCCCGAACCCUUCUAGAUAAAUACUACGAUUUAUCUAGGCCUUAGCUAAACCAUUCUAACCACCUAACAUGCUCAAUUAAAUAAUUAAAUUUCUAAUUUAAUCUAACUAACCACCUAAUUCCUAAUUAAAUAAAUCUAAACAUCCCUUAGACGUCAUUAGCCUACUACGAAGAGUUUAGUGCAUAAGCUCACCGGUUAAUUGUGAAAAUCGGUUCACCGCGAUGGCGGCGCGACGGCGGCCGAAAUCCAAGUUUUCGGUGGCAUCGGCGGACACUCGGGCCGGGCCUGGAAUUGGCCCAACAAAUCUCAGCCCAAAUUGAGAUUUGUUAUCGAGUUGGACUGUGCUUGCUUUGUGGGCUUGGGCUUCAAAUGGGCCUGACCAAAACUGAAGAUGGGCUACUGAAAUUCACGGGCUGACUUGCAUGAAGAUGGGCUGCUUUCUUGGGCCAAAUUGUGGGCUUGCUGGACUGAAGCAAAGAAGCAGCAAUUUGUUGGGCUGAACUUCAGUGGACUGUGGGCACGAUGAACUCGCUGGGCUGCUGAACCGGUGGAAUGGGCUGCACGAAAAUGGAAGCAGGCUGGUGGCGCCGAAUUCGCUGGGCCGAAGACGUAACGGAAGUUGGCUCGGGGGCGUGCGGCUUCGCUGGCUUGCGGUCAACGGUGGAGCAGGGGUUCGCGAGUCCUCAAUGGCCAGAGUCGCUGGCUGCUGACUACGCGUGGAGAAGCUUCGCUGGCUUGGAACUUCGGUUUGGGCCGAGGAAGAGAAGACACGGCGUGUGGACGUGCUGGCAGGUCAACAAACGAACCUAGCGGAGGAAGCAAGUGUUGGCGUGAAGUGGCAGGCAGCAGCACGCGAAGAGAGAACUCGGUGGAAGUGCUGCGCGUGAGAGGAGAGGGAUCAACGUUGGGCUUCAAUUUGGAGGCUUUGAUGGGGUGAGUCUUCGUUCGUGAGCUGAGGGCUUCUUCGGUUGGCCGUUGAAGAAGAACACGGCAGGUGGCAAGGAGGAGGUUUCGGUGGAGGCUGAAGACGUGGAGAUGGGUUGAUGAAGAUGCAAGGCUGAGCUUCGGGUGAAGUAAAAAUGAAAGCAGGGCAGCGGGUUUCGGUUUUGAGGACAGAGAAGGCCAACGCAUUCAAGAAAAAUGAGGCCACAAGCUUGCUCGAGAAGCUUGAAAAGAGAAGCUUAAAGUCCAUGACUUAUCCCUUCCAUUAAUUACAUGUCUCCCCUAUUACUUUCUUCCAAGAUAAAGCCACAAAUUGUCCAACUUAAUGCCAAAAAUUCCAGCCCUUUGCCCAAAACCGAAUUUCACCACUUUAGGAUUAAUUUCUUCACUCAAUUUCCCAAAUUGAGGUCCAAUUUCAAUGAAGAAAAAUCCCGUGAAAUUUUCUACAAGUCCCCAACACUCAAAAGCUUCGCUUAGAAGUUCAAAUUUCCUUUAAUUUGGCCCGUCCAAUUUUCCGCUAAUUUUCCACAACGUCCGAAUCGAUUUUCCGUAAAAAUCUCAUAAUCUCUGAAAAUUUAUCAAAGGAUGAGUCGCCGUUUCUAAAAUAGAUCGUGACACUACAGAACUUUCAAUUUCUGAAAUCGGGUUUAAAUUCACGGUUAAUUUCACUUCAAAGCGAUUUUAGCGUGACCUAGUCUAUCGGGUAGCUUUUAGGAAUUUUUGGUGCAAUUGACUCGUGAUCGAUUUAUCUCAAGUCACAAUGUAUAUCUUCGACACAUUAGCGACUCUUGAUUGGGGUGGAAAGAGGGAGUUUCCAACCAAUUAGUGUGUCUGUUGCUCACGCCACUCUAGAACUUGUUCAGGACAUAUUUGUUGAGGGCAAAAUUUCCUACAAUAGGAUGAUUGCCUUUAAUAUCUUGCUUCACAAAAUCGUGAUCGACUACAUCAAGCCUAAAUCAACGUCAAAGACUGAUGUCUCUCACUCGGAAGCGAAAUUGAUGUACGCCAUCAACAUUGGUCAUAAGUUAUCACUGCCUCACACUAUCCUCAUGCACAUGUACAGGACAGUAGUGAAGGACAAGGGACAACUCCCUUACUCUGCUCUUAUCACAUGACUCUUCAGACACUUUAAAAUUCAUAUUCCUGCUUUUAUGUGUGUUAGAAGCAUUGCUCCAAUGGUGAUUGGACUGAAGAUGGUGACAAAGAUGCAUCUGAAAGAGCUCAACAAGGUUUUGAAGCGCAUGAAGGAGAAGUUCGCUGUCAAGGCAAAACAAGACUCUACAGCCCGAAAGAGAAAAGGCAAGGAACCAAUGAGUGAACCUAUCAAGAAGAGGAGAACACUCAUCUUGCAGGACUAAGAAGAUAAGAAUGACAUCACUUGUUCCACCUUUGCCUUAAGAAAUUUACGAAGUUUUGUUUUCAAGAGUCAAAGGACAAAGAGAUAAGAGAAAGUGAAAAGACAGAGAAAAGAGAUGAAGAAAGAGAAGAAAAGAAGAAAAGGAAGGAAGAACAGAGGAAGGAGAAAGAGGAAGAGAAGAAAAUGAAGAAGAGGGUCAAGAUGACCCUUUUGAGCCUACAUUGUUUGUAUCCUUGUCAAGUGACUCAGAGGAGACAAUGAGUGGAACUGCUGGAAAAAGAAAGGAAAAACAUCACUCAAAUGUUGAAGCAGAGCGAGAACAGGAAGAAGAAUUCAUUUCUCCACCUAAAGGCAUACAAACAAGGGGAGCUGUUGACAAAAGAGGUAUUUCUUCACCUACUCUUACUAGUGAUGUUAGUAUAUCUACAGUAUAUCCAAAGGAUGUGUAUGCCUCUCACUACCCUGAAGCAGACAUUGAGGCAUCUACUCCUCGUAAUGGUAAUCGAACUGCUGACGAUCCAUCAUAUCUCAAGACUCCUAGAACUGAUUCGGCUAGACCUAAUGCUGCACCAGAUCAAACAACAAACUUUUCAAGACUGUUGGAUAUCCUUUUGGAUUUGAAGAAACAGCAAUCUGGUUUAGAGUUUGAGAUGAAGGACCUCAAGAAAGCUUUCCAAGAAACUUCAGUUUCUUUAUAACAACAGCUACAAGCCCUAAAGACUCAAAUGCAAGAUACUGUCAAGGGUGAAGAUUUGGAGUAAUCAAAGGAGGCUCUAAGGAAGCUUGAGGAGACUGUCAAGUCUAUAGGGGAGUUCCGGCUCAUUUGAAUCCCAAAGCAGCCAUGAUUUUUACCCAACGCUUUCUAUAGUUUUUUUUUCUCCACUUUGCUGAUGACAAAAAGGGGGAGAAGUUAUACACAUUUGACCUAACUUAUCUUUAUCUUUAUGGGUAUUUGGUAUUUUUUUACUUGUUUGAUUUUGAUGAUUUUUUUGUUUGGACUUUGAUAUUUUUUGGCUUGGCUUUGGACUGAUAUUUCGGACUUUUAAUUGCUAUUAAAUCUUUUGACGCCUACAGUGACUAAGCUUGUGAUACCGAUUGUGGAUGGAUAGUUAUCUUAUCUUGCAGGAUUAACAUGUUUUCUGUGGUUAUAGAAUCGAUGAUAUCCAAGUCCUAAUCAACUUAUUUUUAUGAAAUAUCAUGUAUUGCUUAGUGUUGUUUUGCAGGUCAAAAGUUUUCAAAUUUGCAAGAAAGUUUUGUCACCAUUAAAGAGGGAGAGAUUGUUGGAGAAAACUCUUUUAUUAUUUUAAAGCUGACAAAACGUUUACAAAAGUCUAGUCUGAAGACUUCCAGACUCAAGUGUAAUAGUCUGAAGAACUCCAGACUCUAUCAUCAAAGUCUGAAGACCGCCAGACUCAAGAUUCAAAGUCUGUCAUCACUAACAGUUUCCAGACGAAGAAUGAAGACUUAUCCAAAUGCCAAAUUAUCUUCAAGGAUUCGAUUUGUAUGGUUUUUGGAAGACCUUAUAGCUGGAUAAAACAUUUACUUAAUUGAUUAUUCUUAUUGGAAUCCACUUCGAUAUGAAGAUCUUUUGAAAAGCGAGCAAACUUGGAAGGUUCUACUUAUGGAAACCAAAGAUUCUGAUUGUAUGAUCGAACGGGAUUGACGAGCUUUCAUCACCAAUCAUCCAACGACUUAAGAUCACCUUAAUUGAUUCUGCCCAAUAGAUAGAUUGGAAGAAUUCCUUUGAAAAGUGCCAACGGUCGUGAAGACAUGAAGGAGUAUUUAAGGCAGACUCUCCAGUUAUUCGAUAUAGUGUGUGAAAGAGGAAUUUCAAAGUCUGAAACUCUAUAGUUCCUUGCUCUUUCACUCAUCGAGCUCAAAUUGUAUACAAAAGAGAGAAACACAUAGUGAGACUUUGUGAAGAGACCAGUAGAGACUCUCCACUAAGAAAGUCGAAGAUCACAAGUUGUAAAAUAUCUUUUGGUUCAUAGUGGAAUCCAACUAGUGGGCCAUCAACACGGAAAAGUGGACAUAGGCUUGAUCUAAGCCAAACAACUACAAACCUUGCGUUCCAAUUCUCUUUCCUUGAACUCUUUACUUUUACUCGUAGCUUUAUUUAAAGUUGAUUACGUCCUUAGUCAAUUAUCUUCAAAAGGAAAUUUACUUUUAUUAAGUCUUACGAUAAAAUUUUAUUUGCACAUAUUCACCUCCCCUCUAGGUGUUUGCAAUAGCCCUUUCAAAGAUAAGGCAUAUGUGGGUUCAUUGGAAUCAUAAAGAUAUUCUCUAGUGACACCAGUUUUUUUGUGACGCUUAAGGUAAGAGAAUGGUGACUGACAAAUGGGAUCUUUUUAUAAGAGAUGUUAUCCAUUUGCCACACUACCAUAUUGAAUUCAUAUCAAUAAAGUUGAAAGCACUCGUGACCAUGGAAUGCUAUGUGUGUAUACAUGCAGUUACCAACAUGAUUCGGUGUUUGAGACUUUAUAGGAUGAGAUUGACUAUUAAAAAUCAUCUCUAAACCAAUGUGCGCACAUACAGUAUAAUUUUUAAUAUAGUCCAAGUGAGAAAAUAUAAAAGUUUUCCUAAUGUGGACUAUAUUAAUUGAAAUUGUAAUUUACCGUUUUUAUGGGGUUGAUCUAAGGUGGGAUAGAAGGUUUCUUAAUUAGUCUAAUAUGGGACUAGCUAGUGUGGGCCGAGUUAAACCUGGCUCGUAAUGAGAGGUUCUGGUUGGAAACUCUAUAAAUAGUGCUCAAGUAUCUCCUAUAAUCCUAAUUCUCACUAAUAUCCUCACAUAAGGAGCGCUUACCUAACGCUAAAGGGUGAGGGGGCCGUCUCAUUAAGCAAGUGAUACGAAAGGCAAUAAAAGAGAAGGACUUGCGCGCGAAUCAUCGCUUUUUCGCUUCCGCAUCAAGAAUGAUGAAUCCCAAAACAUGGACAAUAAUCUUUCUACUUGAUCAUCUAUGCUCUUGUUCUGAUUAUGGAGAUAUUAGGAUUACACGGUUUACAUCCAAUAGUAGGAACAUUCACUUGUAAGUUCAACGUGGAUGGCGACGAGGUCUUUAUCAAAGGAGAUGCUGCAACAGGUGAAAAGGUGGUUGAGAGCAUCACAGGAAACAUUUUCCCCACAAACACUUCUGUCCUUGUUUUUAGCUGCCCGAUCGUGUCAAUCUUAGAUGGUCCGACUGCAGAUGUGGCUUAGAUGGAACCUUCGGAGUCAUCAUGAAGAAGCAGGUCAACAAUUGAUGACUCCUAGCUAGGUAGACUUUGGAAAAAAAAAGAGUUGGGAUUUAUCAAAACUCAAGUGGACACGAAUCGAGUUCUAUGUGUUAAAGAAAACUCCGUAUUGUUUUGAAGCUAGCAAAACCUUUCCAAUCAGUUUAAUCUAAAGGAUCAAGACUCAUAUGUCAAAGUCUAAAGACUGUGAAGAUGUCAAGACUCUUCCGUCAAAGUCUGAAGACUGUUAGACUUUAAGCUCAAAGUCUAACCUCACUAACAGUUUCCAGAUCAACGAGAGAAGACUUAUCCGAAUGUGAGUUUAUCUUCAAGGAUUUAGUUCAUACGGUUUAUGGAAGAUAUCAUGGCUGGAUAUAGCAUAUUAUGAUCAAUUAUUCUUAUUGGAAUCAAUUCGGAUAAUCAGAUCUCUUGAAAGGCAAAGUAUACUUAGAAGGUUCUACUUAUGGAAAUCAAAAUCCUGAUUGUAUGGGCGAGCAGGAUUGGUGAGCUAUCAUCACAUUCCUUAAAUAACUUGAGAUCUCCUUGAGUGAUUCUGUCCAACGGGUAGAUUGGAGGAACUUCUUUGGAAAGUGCCAACAGUUAUGAAGGCAUGAAGAAGUAUAUAAGGAAGACUCUCAAGUUAUUCGAGUGUGUGCGUGAAAGAAAUAUUCCAAAAUCUGAAGCUCUUCGUUCUUUGCUUUUUCAAUCGUUGAGCUCAUAUUGUACUCAAAAGAGAGAACAAACAUUUGUGAAACUUUGAAAGAGUGUAGUAGAGUCUCUACACCGUGAAGUCAAGGACGUGAGAUUGUAAAAACUCUUUUGAUUCAUAGUGAAAUCCAGCCGGUGGGCUGUCAGUGCAGAAGAGUGGACGUAGGCUUGACCUAAGCCAAACUACUAUAAACCUUGUGUUUUUAUUCUCUUUCUCUGAACUUCUUACUUUAAUUCGUAGCUUUAUAUAACUACUUGUAGUAGUUUACAUCUUCAGUCUAUUAUCUUCUAAAGAUGAUUUGAUUUACUAAGUCUCGCGAAAAUUUCUAUUUACACCUAUUCACCCCUCUCUAGGUGUUAUUACUAACCCUUUCAAUUGGCAUCAAAGCUCAUGUGCUUAUUUAUUGAAGUGUUUUUACUUCUUAAGCUAAAGAUCUAUGGCUAGUAUUUUGGCUCCACGAUUGGUUGAAGGCCAAAGCAACACCAAACCUCAUUACUUUGAUGGGAAUGAGUACCAUGUAUGGAAGAACAAGAUGAAAGCAUUCCUGAGAUCAAAAGAUCCCCUGGAAUGGGAUGUAGUAGAAAAAAUGGAUCAUUCCCAAAAGUACAUCAACCUCAGAAAGAGGAAAAGAAAUCACAGAUGUUGGUGGAAUGACACAAGAAGAAAUAACCAAGAGACAAGCUCUUGAUGCUAAAGCCAUCUACUCCUUAUAUUAUGCUUUAUCUCUUACUAAGUAUAAUAGAAUUUCAUCUUGUGAAACAGUGAAAAAAGUUUGGGACAAGUUGCACGUUACCUAUGAAGGAACCGAUCGAGUUAAAGAAAUAAAAAUCAACAUCCUACUCGGACAGUAUGAAGCCUUCAAGAUGAAGCCAAGAAAAUCCAUCACUGACAUGUUUAGUCCUUUUAUAGAAAUUGUAAACGGUCUAGCAUAUCAACGACAACCAAUCUCAGGACCAAUGAAGGUUAACAAAUUGCUACGUGGACUAUCCAAAGACUAGAAUCAUGUGAAGACCUUUAUAAGAGAAAUUCAAAGGAUAAUGCCACUUUCUGUAGACGAAUUGGUUGGCACACUUCAAUCAUAUGAAGUAGAGCAAAUCAAUGAGGAAAAAGAUCCCAAAGGUAAGAAGUCAAUUACUUUAAAAUCUAACGAUGAUUUUGAUUAUGCAGACUCAGAAGAUGACUUGGAUGAUGAAGAACUAGCACUCAUGAUAAGGAAGUUCGGAAAGCUAAACAGGAAAGGAAGAAGGCUUAACUGGAAGAAACAUAAUGCUCAAAGAUUUCAAAAGAAUUCAAUUGAAGACAAUGAGACCAACAAAGAUGUAAUUUACUUCGAAUGCAAGAAAAAGGGGCACAUCAGACCCAAUAGCCCUUUGUUGAAGAAAAAGAAAGGAAAAAUAGAGAAAUUCAAAAAGGCUCUCAAAGCAAAGACAUGAAGCAAUACUGAAUGCGAAGAAAGCAAUGAUGAAUAUGCCAACAUAUGUCUAAUGGCAAAUUCAGAAUCAAACUCAGACUCUAAAACAGAUCUAGAUGUAGACUCAGAUGAGGAAGUCGAGGUUAGUAAUUUAAGGAUUCCUGCUAAAGUCUCAAAAUAUAUAGAUCAACUCUGUCUUAAUCUCAAAACAUCUCUUAAAAGGAUUUCCGAGCUGAAAAGGGAGAAUUCUAAACUAAAGCAAAAGGAAAUUUCUUGGAAUGAAAUGUUUGAAAAUUUAGACAAAAUUUUUAUUGAUUUAAAGGAAAAUGCAUAUUCUCUUUUGAAGGAAAAUAUUUUUUAAAUGAGAACAUUUCAAAUAUCACAAAAAGGUUUUCUAAAUGAUCUGAGAAGUUGGAAAAGAUUCCCUCAAUACAAAGACAUUAUUUCAAAAAAUCUAGUUUGGGAAUGACACCAGAAACCAUUCAUUUAAUUGAUUUUCCAAAAGUAAAGGAAAGAAUCAAACAAAUACCUACAAAAACAUUUUAUAGAAAUCAUUUUCAAAAAGUUUUUGUAAAAUCUGUUGACCAAAGUGCUCUCAAAUGUUCAAAGUGUAAUAGUUCAGAACAUUUCAAGAAUGAUCGUCCCAAAAUUUGGAGACCUGUUAAGAGAGAUUGGGCAAAGACUGUAUUUUGUACUAACUCCCCUAGACCCAAGAAAAUAUGGGUACUAAAGAAAGCUUGAGUUCUUUUUGUGAUUCCAGGUCACUAUCAAGAAGAAGAUCAAAUGGUAUUUGGAUAGUGGUUACUCAAGACACACAACAGGAGAUUCAAGUUGUUUUGUAAAGCUCGUGUAAAUAAAUGGAGGAAGAGUUUCCUUUGGAGGAAAUAGCAAAGAAAAAAUUGUCGGAUGUGGAACUGUAAAGAUUGGAAGUCUCACAAUCAACAAUGUCUCCUUGGUGAAAGGUUUGAAUUACAAUUUACUUAGCAUAAGUCAACUGUGCCACACUCGUUUCAAAAUCAAUUUCCAAGAAGGCACUUGUUUGGGAAUUAGUAAAGAUCUCUCUCAAUCUUUCACUGGACGAAGACAUUAGAAUAUUUAUCUUCUAGAUAUAAAACCAAAAAGUUCUUAGUGUCUAAUAUCGAUUCAAGAUAAAGCAAACAUUUGGCAUAGAAAGCUUGGUCAUGUUAACAUGAAGCAGAUUGCCAAGAUCUCAUCCAAGAAGCUUAUUCAUGGACUGCCCAACCUAUCUUAUCAAAAAUCUGAAUUAUGUACACCAUGUGUAUUGGGAAAACAAGUUAGAAGUUUUUUUAAACCUAUAAAUCAAGUUUAUACUAAUCGAGUUUUGCAACUUCUACAUAUGGAUCUAUUUGGACCAACCAGAACUCAAAGCAUUGGUGGUAAGAGAUACUGCCUAGUAAUUGUAAAUGAUUAUUCUCGAUUUACUUGGGUUUACUUCCUAGCAAGUAAGUCUGAAAAAUUUUCUUAUUUUUCAAAGUUUGCAAAGAAAGUUCAAAAUGAGAAAAGUUAUGUUAUUUCAAGCAUACGGACAGACCAUGGAGGUGAGUUUGAAAAUCAAGACUUUACUAAAUUUUGUGAUGAAUCUAGUUUCCAGCACGUUUUCUCUUCUCCAUACACUUCAUAACAAAAUGGAGUUGUAGAAAGAAAGAAUAGAUCUUUGCAAAAGAUUGCAAAAACCCUUUUAAUUGAAAGCAAUAUUUCUUCUCGAUUUUGGGCUGAAGUAGUUUCUACAACUUGCUAUAUUAUUAACAUAGUGUUCUUGAGACCCAUUUUAGAGAAAACUCCUUAUGAAGUAUUUAAAGGGAAAAACCAAAUGUUUCUUAUUUUCACGUGUUUGGUUGUAAGUGUUUUGUUUUGAAAAAUGCAAAUGAUCGAACUGGUAAGUUUGAAGAAAAAUCAAAUGAAGGAAUUUUCCUUAGCUACUCAACUUCAAGCAAAGCUUACAAAGUAUUGAACAAAAAGACUUAGUCUGUGGAAGAAUCUAUGAAUGUCAAGUUUCAAGAUUUUAUGCAAACUCAAGUGAACCAGACUCAACUUGAAGAAUUUGAACCGGCUCUAGACAUCAUAAAGUCUGCCUCCCCCGAAGUGGUUCAAACUUCUGAAGUUCAACAACAGGAAGAACCAAAAGAGUCAACUAAAGCAAAAGAUCAGCAAACUUUCAGACCUACUAGCAACUGGAAGCAUAAAUCGAGUCAUCCCGAAGAACUCAUCAUUGCAACAUUGAUGAAGGAAUUCACACCAGAUCCAAAUGACGAGAAGAGUCUAGUACCUUGGCACUUGUUGCUAAAAUUGAACCUAAAAGUAUAGAAUAAGCCUUAGCUGAUGAAAGCUGGAUUGAAGCCAUUUAAGAAGAGCUCAAACAGUUCAGCAUCAACGAUGUUUGGGAACUAAUUCCUAAACCCAAAGGUAAGUCUAUUAUUGGAACUAAAUGGGUUUUCAGGAACAAGGCGGAUGAGAAAGGAAAAGUGAUCAGGAACAAAGCAAGACUCGUAACCAAAGGAUAUACGCAAGAAGAAGCGAUAGACUAUAACGAGACCUAUGCAUCAGUAGCAAGGUUAGAAGCAAUUAGAUUAUUAAUUGUUUUUGCUUGCUAUAAAAAUUUCAGAUUAUUCCAAAUGGACGUCAAAAGUGCAUUUAUAAAUGGAUUUAUCUAAUGAGAAGUUUAUAUGAAACAACCGCCUGGUUUUGAAGAUCCAAAAAGAUCAAAUUCAGUUUUCAUACUAAAAAAAAAGCUCUAUAUUAAUUAAAGCAAGCACCUCGAGCUUGGCAUGACAGGUUAAGUAAAUUUCUAAUUCAAAAUGGUUAUGUUAAAGGAAAGGUAGAUACUGCAUUGUUUAUUAAAAAGGAAUGUAAAGAUUUUAUACUCAUUCAAAUUUAUGUUGAUGAUAUUAUCUUUGGAUCAUCUAAUGAAAAUUUGUACAAGAAAUUCUCUAAUUCUAUGCAGGAUGAAUUUGAAAUGAGCAUGAUGGGUGAAUUAUCUUUCUUUCUUGGAUUACAAGUGAAACAAUCGAAGGAAUGAAUUUUUAUUCACCAAAAAAGAUAUGCAAAAGACCUCAUCAAAAAGUUCGGAAUGGAGAAUUGUAAAAAGACUGAUAUACCAAUGUCAAGUUCUUCGAAGCUGGACAAAGACGAAAGAGGGAAGAAAGUUUACCAGAAGCUCUAUAGGAGUAUUAUUGAUUCACUCAUUUAUCGUACUGCUGCUAGACCUAAUAUUUUGUUUAGUGUUUGCAUUUGUGCUAGAUUUCAAUCAGAUCCCAAAGAAACUCAUCUAAGUGCUGCAAAACGCAUCAUCAAAUACGUUACAACUACUUAAAAGUUAGGUCUAUGGUAUCCAAAAGAGAAAGACUUUACUCUUCUCGGAUAUUUAGAUGCAGAUUUUGCAAGUUGCAGAAUUGAUAGAAAUAGUACUUCUGGUACUUGUCAAUUGCUGGGCAACAAGACAGUAUCUUGGUUCUCAAGGAAAUAGAGUAUUGUAGCUCUUUCAACAGCAGAAACGGAGUAUGUGGCUCUUGGAAGCUGUUGUUCUCAAAUCUUAUGGAUAAAGCAACGGCUGAGAGACUUUGGAAUCGAAGACUUAUACAACAAGAUCAAAGGCAACAACACCAGUGCAAUCAAUCUACCAAGAAUCCAAUUCUCCAUUCAAGAGCAAAGCACAUAGAAAUCCGAUAUCAUUUUUUUAGAGAUCAUGUUCAGAAUGGAGAAGUUUUGAUACAGUUCAUUGACUCGAAGAAUCAAUUAGCAGACAUAUUUAUGAAGCCACUGGAGAAAAGUCUAUUUAAGUCUAUUCUUACAUGACUGAACAUUAUUUCUAUCAGUUAAAGUCUAAAGACGAUCAGACUCAGAACAACCAAAAAGUGAAGACUGUAAGUUGAUUCUUGUUAGUAAUUUAAAUUUAUGGGUAAAAAAUUUGAAAAGGUACGUUUACUUUGUGAAUCGUUACUUACUUAAUUUAUUUUUAGCAAUUAUCUUUUUAGUUUUAAAUUAAUGGGAGUUUUUCAUUUUCAAAAAAGGCAAUUUUUUUUUCAAAAAUGCAGUUUUUACUUUUUCUUUAAUGACGAUUCGUAUACCCUAUUUCGUCUGCUUUAGAUACUAUAGAUUUUCUUCUUCUUCAUUUUAACACAAACCCUUGAAUACAUAAUUCCAUUUGCUCUCACUUUCUGAGAGUGCUAGUAUGAACAAAAUAAAGGAGUUAGGGAAGAGAAUAAGAACACAAUAUUUAUAGUGGUUCGGCUUAAUCCAAGCCUACGUCCACUCUCCCACGAUAACAGCCUUCUUGGCUGGAUUCCACUAUGCAAUCAACAAGAGAUUACAACUUCGAGUGCAAACACUUAGUAGUAGAUCACACUAUCUCACUAAGUCACUCUUUCGGUAUUUCUCUCACGAUUACAAACGUUUAAGCUCUCAAGAGACAAGUAUAUGAUCAAAAGUCGCUCAGACUUUGGAAUUAUAAAUUCUACGCUCCGUCUCUUACUUGCUCAUCGGUCCAUGAUCUCCUUAAAUACUCCUCCACUUCCAAACUACCCGUUGGACAGCAUCCCGGAGAAUCGUCUUCCAAUAUACCCAUUGGACAGCUCUGUAUCUAGAAGAUUUGGUAACCGUUGAGUGACAAAGGUAGAAUCCCAAAUUGAUUCCGAUCGCCCAUACAAACGAAAUCUUGGUUUCCAUAAGUAAAGCUUCUUCGUAUAGAAAGAUCUUGUCUUCAAGAUCCAAUCGUCAAUCAAAUAGAUUGAAUCAAUCAAAUCAAUCCUGAUGUGGAAUCCAAACCAAAUCACUAGCCGUUAUAUGAUUGGGCUUGAGUUACGAUUCAUCGAAUCUGGAUGUAAAGUCUAAGUCUGUAGACUUUACAAUAUGAGUCUGUAGACUUUACAAUCUGGGUCUGUAGACUUUACAAUCUGGGUCUGUAGACUUUAAGGUCUGUACCCAGUUCAGCUUCAGCAUAGAGUCUGUCUUCUGGUUCAGCUUCAGCAUAGAGUCUAUCUUCUGGUUCAUAAUUUACGUUCAGUCUGGAAUUUAUCAGAGUGAGCAGACUUCUGAUGUAGAAUAGACUUUGACACUAAAGUCUGGCAGUCUUCAAACUUUGAGUCUUGAGUCUGGCAGUCUUCAGACUUUGACACAGAAGUCUGGAAAUCUUCAAAAUAUACUCUGGACAUAUGUUACGUUCAGACUUCUAGCCGUCUUUUGACUUUGAUAAUAUCCUCUACAUGUUCUAUCAUCUGCAUGGUCUAUUACUCAACCAUCAAACAUGUUAGUAGCCUUUGAUUUAUUUUGUCAUCUUCAAAACAUCAUAAGGGAUUUCCCUAACACUUUCUCCCUAGUUUAUUUCAAAAAGAUCUCUUUUUUACGAACGAGUUCGAGAAAUCCCACAAAGAAGCGACAAUGUCUACUCAAAGAAAGUCUUCAAGAAUCGCAAGCAAGGGACCACAGCAGAUGCGUGAGGGUCCUACGCACUUUGAUCUAACCGAGGAAGAAGAAUCUACACUAUAGCAGCAGCAAAAUCAACAACAACAUUCUUAACCGCGUCAGUCACCUCAACACAGGACACAAGAUCCUCCACAGUAACAACCAAAAGAAGAAAUUAUGGAAGAGGUUAAACCUAUAAGAACACAAAAACCCCAAUUUUUGUUUAGACUCUACUCGAACUUAAAGACGGGUGGUUCUCCAAUGACCUUGAUCGAUGAGUUUCUGAAGUCAAAUGGUUACAAGAAUGAAACUUUUUUCUUAAAAACCACGGAGAGGUUAGGCAUUGCGCCUGUUGGAUCAGCAGCAAGGGCUUUUGCAAAUUUUCCUAGUGAUCCACAAUACGGAACUGUUGAUCAACCUGAAGGUAAGGACAAUGAUGAGAAGUUGUAUACGCAUUUUUAGCCAAGGUUGGGCAUCGCUGCAAAUGUUCAUGGCGAAAGGACAGACCUUUUUCGUUCUAAGGACCACAAGAUAACUUAUUCUAAACUGCUUAAGCGAGGGGUGAUGUACCCCAGAAGUGUUGAUUUUGUUUUCCUUGAUUCGUUGAAAGUAAAACUGAGGGAAAAGUUUGCACUACUUCAACUUGAAUGUUUUUGUUCGGAGACAACUGUUGCUCAUCUAGAACUUACAGCCCAUUUCUAUUCAAAUUUAUCCUUUUUAGAUGCUAAUAGAUUUUCAUUCAGUGUUAGAGACAAGGAUUUUGUGGUCGAUGUGGACACACUAGCUGAUGUGAUUGGGGUGGAAAGAGGGAGUUUCCAACCAAUCAGUGUCUCUUUUGCUCAUGCUACUUUGGAGCUUGUUCGAGAUAGGAUUGCUAAAGGCAAGAUUUCAUACUCCAGAAUGAAUGCAUCCAAUAUCUUGCUUCACAAGAUUGUGAUUAAUUGUCUCAGACCCAAAUCUACAUCAAAGAUUAAUGUCUCAAACUCUGAAGCAAAGCUGAUGUAUGCGAUCAAAAUCGAAUUCAAAUUCUCUCUACCUCACACCAUCCUUAUGCAUAUGUAUAGGACAGUGGUGAAGGAUAAAGGACAACUCCUUUAUGCUGCUCUUGUUACUAGAUUAUUCAGACACUUCAACAUUCAACCUCCCAAUAUUAUGUGUGUUCGAACCAUUGCUCCAAUGGUGGUAGGAUUGAAAAUUGUUUCCAAAAUGCGUCUGAAUGAGCUGAACAAGGUUUUGGAGAGCAUUAAGGUGAAGUCCCCUGACAAGGCUAGACAAGACUCUACAGUAGGAAAAAGGAAAGGCAAAGCUCCCAUGACUGAAUCAGUUAAGAAGAGGAGAACACUCAUCUUGUAGGAUGAAGAAGAUGAUGAUGAUCUCACUCUCUUCACUUUUUCCUUAAAGAAUUUACAGAGUUUUUCAGAGACAGAGGAUCGAGAGAAUAGAGAAAGGGAAGAGACAGAGCUGAGAGAUACAAUGAGGACAGAGGAAGAGAAAGGUAGAAUAGAAAGAAGAGAAGAGAAAGAAGAAAAAGAGGGUCAUGAUGAUUCUCAUGCAGAGGAAGAAGGACAACAUCACAUUGAUGCUGCAGAAGAGCAAGAAUGGGAAGAAGAGUAUUUUCUCCACCUGAAUGCACAAAAACAGGAGGAGCCGCUGAUAAAAGAGGUACUUCUUCACUUGCUUUCACUAGUGAUGAUGUUAGUCGUUCUCCUACCAAUCCAAAGGAUGUGUUUGCCUCACAAUUUCUUGAAGAUGGUAAUGAGGCUUCAUCUCUAAGUCUAGAUGUUCAUGCUAAGGUUCCAUCAUCUAUCAACACUCCCCAAGAUACACACGCUAAAGCGAGUACUCAAACUGACAAUACAACAGACUUUAGAAUACUACUCGAGCUUCUUGUAGAGAUCAAAGCUCAACUUCAUGGAUUGGAGUACGAAUUUCAUAACAUGAAGUCAACUCAUCAAGCCUCUUCAAUUUCCUUGCACGAUCAAGUUCAAGCUCUUAAGCUUCAAGUUCAAGCUACUGCAAAGGGUGAAGAUAUUCAGCAACUGAAGGAUGACCUGAGGAAACUAGAGGAGACCAUCAACUUUAUUGGGGAUUUCCAAAUCGUUCGUGUCCCCACACAGCCUUGAUUUUAUCUAAAUUUCUUUUUAGUUUUCUCCAUCUUUUUGCUGUUGACAAAAAGAGGGAGAAAGUGCAGAUUUGAUCUUGAUUUGAUCUUUUGAUGACUUUUUGUUUGACUUGAAUUUGGUCUGACUUUGAUGAUUUUGGACUGUUGGACUGACUGGUGAUUUUAUUUGUUUGGUUUGAAUAUUUUUGACUUGCAGCAACUAUGUCUAUGAUUUUAAUUAUGGAUGGAUAGUUAUUAUGCAAGACUAAUAUGUUUUCUGUGGUUGCAGAAUCAAUACUAUCCAGAUCCUAAUUAAUUUAUCUUUAUAAGACAUCACAUUUUGUUUAAGUGUUGCAGGUUAAAAUUUUGCAUAUCAGCAGGAAAGUUUUGUCAUCAUAAAAAAGAGGGAGAUUGUUAGAGAAAACUUCGUAUUGUUUUGAAGUUGACAAAACCUUUCUAAUCAGUUUAGUCUGAAGGAUCAAGACUCAUAUGUCAAAAUCUAAAGACUGUGAAGAUCUCAAGACUCUUCUGUCAAAGUCUGAAGACUGUUAGACUUUAAUUUCAAAGUCUGACCUCACUAACAGUUUCCAGAUCGAUGAGAGAAGACUUAUCCGACUGGAUAUAGUUUACCUUCAAGGAUUCAAUUCGUACGGUUUGUGGAAGAUAUCACGAUUGGAUAUAGCAUCUUAUGAUCAAUUAUUCUUAUUGGAAUCAAUUCGGAUAAUUAGAUCUUUUGAAAGGCGAAGUAUACUUGGAAGGUUCUACUUGUGGAAACCAAAAUCCUGAUUGUAUGGGCGAGCGGGAUUGGUAGGUUAUCAUCACAUUCCUUAAAUAACUCGAGAUCUCCUUAAGUGAUUUUGUCCAAAUGGUAGAUUGGAGGAACUCAUUUGGAAAGUGCCAACAAUUAUGAAGGCAUGAAGGAGUAUAUAAGGAAGACUCUCAAGUUGUUCGAGUGUGUGCGUAAAAGAAAAAUUCCAAAGUCUGAAGCUUUUAGUUCUUUACUUUUUCAAUCGUUGAGCUCAUAUUGUACUCAAAGAGAGAACAAAAAUUUGUGAAACUUUGAAAGAGUGUAGUAGAGUCUCUACAUCGUGAAGUCGAGGAUGUGAGACUAUAAAAUUUCUUUUGAUUCAUAAUAAAAUCCAACCGGUGAGCUAUUAGUGCGGGAAAGAAGACGUAGACUUGACCUAAGCCAAACCACUAUAAACUUUGUGUUUCUAUUCUCUUUCCCUGAACUUCUUACUUUAAUUCGUAGCUUUAUAUAACUGCUUGUAGUCGUUUACAUCUUCAGUCUAUUAUCUUCUAAAGACGAUUUGAUUUACUAAGUCUUGCGAAAAUUUCUAUUUACAUCUAUUCACCCCCCCCUCUAAGUGUUAUUACUAGCCCUUUCACUAUGUAUGCUCCUCCUAUACCUUUUUUUCUAGAUGCACAUAUAAUGCAGAGAAACAAUGUCUAUUCUUUAAUCGAUUUUCUCUGCAUGUGAAAAAGGUACGAGAGGAGUAAACAUUGAACAUGACUUUUGUUUAAUCAAGUUUCGGUAAAUCCCAACAUUUCAUCGAUUGUCAAUCUGAUUCUUCACAACUCCACCGAAGAUCCAAUCUGAGCCAAAGUUGUAGGGGGACUGUCUACAAUCGACGCAACCAGGCAACUGAAAACAGGGAGAGAAGUGUCCAGGAGGACGAAAGUUUUCCUGGUUUGCUCUCAACCACCUUCCAACCCAUUCCAGUAUCUCCUUCAAUCAAGAACUCGCCAUCCAUAUUGAAUUUACAAUUGAUAGCUGCUCAUCCAAAAGGAAGUUUCAGAAUAUGUGAUGGUUUUUUAAUGUUGGGCUUAAGGCCCGUCCGCCCAUGUUGGGCCUAAAAGCCCGACCCACAAGAGUAGGGCCCAUGGACGAAGGGGCACGAUUAAUUGUUUUUUUGGAGGGACAUAUUGUGACACUACUCGACGGCCCCCGAUCCGAUUUGGGUCGCCACAGUUCGCUUACCUUUCACUUUCCUUAUUAACAUAUCACUCUGAUACCGUUUCUAUUGUAGCGGGUCCAUACAACCAUGGGGGUUUACAUCUAUUAUUAACGGUCCCUUGCGCAAUUUACAUAACGGAAGCAUAUCCAACAAUUCCCUUCCCUACAUUCAGAAAUUGAUGCACACCAACUAAACAUUUAUAGGUAAAAGCCGUACACUUUUAUUUACUUAAAUCAGAUGGACAUCAUUCAUCGGUACAUCAAAAUGCCGUAGUCUUUUAUAUUCGGCUACACUCCAAAAGAUGACCGACAUUUCCUCAAACAGUCAUACACUUUAAGUCCAUCGAUCCGUGUCAGCGUCCAAAAGCUCCUUCCAUUGUUAUCCUCCUCCUCACGGUCACAUCCAACCGUUCAAACCAUCUACUAAUCUGAAAUGUUGGUCCCCAAAAGGGGUGAGUACAACCACUCAACAGAUAAAGGGAUCCAAUAACAACUCGAUGCAUCAUACAAAUCAUACAUGCAUUGCAGGCAUAACUUACCUUGCAGCCAUGCGUAAUACUAUCAUGCAUCAUCAUGCCUUAUCAUCAUGCAUAUCAUAUCAUCAUAUGUCAUCAUCAUAAUCAUCAUCAUGGCAUCAUUACAUCAUACAUGUCAUCAUUAUCAUGACAUCAUCACAUCAUAUAUUAUCAUCAUCAACGUGCAUAUCAUCAUGCAUAUCAUACCAUGAGUGAUCAUCAUAUCACAUCACAUGUCAUCAUGCAUAUCAUACUAUGGGUGAUCAUUAUCACAUCACAUAUCAUCAUCAUCAUCAUGCAUAUCAUCAUGCAUAUUAUACCAUGGGUGAUCAUCAUAUCACAUCACAUAUCAUCACCAUCAUCAUGCAUAUCAUACCAUGGGUGAUCAUCAUAUCACAUCACAUAUCAUCACCAUCAUCAUGUAUAUCAUCAUGCAUAUCAUACCAUGGGUGAUCAGCAUAUCACAUCACAUAUCAUCACCAUCAUCAUGCAUAUCAUCAUGCAUAUCAUACCAUAUCAUGCCAUGAGUUAAUUUUCAUCUUUAUCUUUAAAUUUGAUCACCACAUCACCCUUCCUCGAUUCAUCAAUUUCAUCCCAUAUUUUACACUCGCAUCCCAUGCGAGAAAAACCUCCGGGCAUGUAUCCAAGAUACAACCGGGCAUCCGGCCCCCCACAUUCCGGGCAUCUCGCAUCCCAACUAGCAUCACGAGGAACCUCCGGGCAUGUAUCCAAGAUACAACCGGCCAUCUGGCCUUUACCCUUCUAGCCAGGCAUCUCGCACCCAAAUCCUGGCAUCGCGAGGCAUUCCCUUCGGGCAAAGACCUCCGACAGAGCUUCCGGAAUUAUGUACCGACAUACCACCAGGCCUCCCCUGGAAUUACGUACCAUAUACCACCGGGCAUCCCGACACUCCCGGGGAAUCUCCGGAAUUAUGCCACUAGGCCACCGAGCAUCAUCAUCCACAUAUACCAUUUCUUUAUUUCAAUUUAACAUGGCAAUUGGCAUGGUAUCAAACGAAUCACAUUUGACAUGGAAUUCACACUUGCAUCUCAAUUCAUAUGUCAUACACAUGCCAAAACUUUAUCCCAUACACAUCUCAAUUCAAUACAUGUACAAGGACCAUGUCAUACGCAUACCAAGACUUUAUCACAUAUACAUCUCAAUCCAAUACAUGUGCAAAGACCUCAUCACACAUAUGCCACACAAAUAGAAUUGAAUCCAUGGCCAAAUAAAAAUCCAUUUUAUUUUUUUAUUAUUUUAUUUUUUUAUUAUUAUUUUAUUUUUUUAUUUGAUAUCAAUAAUUUCCCAAAAUUACAAAAAUCCAAGAAAUUAUUAAACAAACCCAUAGGAUGAUAUUUACUUGCAAAAUUCAUGGCCAAUAUGAAUUUUUUACCAAAUUCCACAAUUUUCCAAAACAUCCUAUGAUUCUCGGAUUUAAACCAAAUGCACAGUUUUCGAAUAAAUUAAAUUAAAAUAUCCAUUCGGCCUCUAAAAAUUACGAAAUUUUACAGGGUGAUAGCCAAGACAUUUUCGUGCAUCUUUCAUGUAGAACUCCAAGUCAAAUUCCUUAUAGAUUAUUUUAUUCAACCUCACGAAGCUUCUGGAACCCUUACUGCAUCGUCCAGAAUACACAUCUCCGAAAUAUUAAGAUUUCACCCAUCUAUUCUCUUUAGUUUCUUCUGAAAUUCGUAUAUGUUAUGUAUCAAGGUGUCCUUUACAAUUUUCAUGAAUAGAUCUAGGUCAGAUAACCAAAUUAUGGUCACCAUUUAAGUCCAUCAAGUCUCGGGUGUCUCGGAACACAUCACCAGAAUCAUCAUCUCCAAGAUCUAGUCGAUUAACCAAGAUAUACUUGUUAUUUUCACUUAAAAUUUGAGUAUGUUGUAUUUUAAGAUGUUACCUACAACUUUCAUGAAGACAACGAAGUCAGAUUUUCAUCACAAACCAAUAUGCAACCAAGAAUCCAACAAGAAGUCAGUGAAAACAUCACAGAUCUGGGGUCUCCGUAAGAUGAAGCUUUAACCCCUUAAAUCUCCAUAAUUUUCCACUAAAUUUCAGUAUGUUAUACUACAAGAUGUUAGCUACAACUUCCAUGAAGAUAUAGAAACCAAAAUCGGUCUUCAAACACACAUGCAAGCUCAAACAAGUUUCUGACUCCAAACAGUUCAUGCGAAAACAUUGGUGCAAGAGUAGAAAGUGGAUUCCCAACUUGCCUCUAGACCUCACGGACAGCACGAGCGGACGGCACAUGGCGGCGAACGGGCUCCUUUCUCUCCCUCUCGGCUUCCUCUCUCUCUCGCACGAUUCUCUCUCUCUCUCCCUCACUUGGCCGAAUGGCUAACCAGCCAUUCUCUCUCCUUUCCUUCCCUUUUAUAUUGCAUGCAUUCUAGGUUUGCAUGAGGGACAAGUGUUCUCAUGAGGAGAACAAGUGGCAACAAGGAGAGGACAAGUGUUGGAUGACAUGCAAGGUUAAUGGGCCUUCUUCUUGGGCCAACCUUGGGCCAUCAAAUGGGCUGGUCGACCACUCCUUUUUGGGCCUCUAUUGGGCCGGCCAACUUGGCCCAUUAAAAUCCACCUUUUGGGCUUAAGGCCCAAACCUAAUUUAAAUCCUCAUUUCACCUUUCAAUUAUUCAUCUUUAAUUCUUUCUUUUAAGAAUUUAAUUACUAAAUUCCACAUGGCCAAAAUCUUGAAAUCAUAAUUCCAUAAAUCCCAAUUUAUAAAACACAUGGCCAAUGAUAGGAUUUUCUUUCCUAUCACAUAAUUAUCCCUUAAAAGCUUGGCCAUAAAUCUUAUUAUAAAUUAUGGAUUAAAUUGCCAUAAAAUAACUUGAUGGUACUUCCAUCACCUAUUCAUAGACUUUAAUGUAACUAGAGGUCAUUAUGAAUUUUGGGAUGCCACACAUAUAUAAGGGAGGAGAGAGAGGGAGAACGCACAUUUUGACAUUACGUACGUUCCUUCCUCCCUCUCUCCCUCCAAAAGGAACAGUAAGUAAAAAGAGGCGACGCCGUCUUCCCUUCAAGCGAAUUGGCAUCAUCGGAUCGAACAGGGCCAACUUCUCUUCCUCACUUCAACAAUUGUGUUUGAUCUGUGGCUAACAAGGUACGCUCGAAUCCGUGGUGUGCUUUAGGAUCGGUGAUACGUGAUUUUCCCGAGCUUCGUCUUCCGCAUUCAGUUUAGGGGUUCGAUUUAGUGUCGAAUCCGGUUUUUGGGGAUCCAUUAAUAUCAACAAUAUACAAAAAGGAAAAAACUUAAAAACUCAGUAAUUCGCUCCUUCGACUAUAUUGAGGUAUUUUUAUGCCAUCACGAACUUACUUUGAUCUCUUCUAACCCUUGGAAGUGACACCAGGAACAGGUAACAGUCUCCGGACUCCACAAGUUUCGCAUGCCCCGUGAUGGAUGCUGUAAGCCCCACGUUCGCAUUCCUGACCACUCCGACUCCAGCACUGCAGGUGACGGCAGCACCACAACAUUGCAUCUCUGUUGUACUUAGCAGAGAAAAGACCACCUUAGAUCAAGUUGAGCCUUGAAGUAGGUGUUGCGUUCUCCGGACAACCGUGAUGACGUCGAGGAGGGUGAGCGUUAUAUGGAACCAUUCGAAGAGCUGCGUUGCUGUCGCAUUUUCUUCCGUGACAAUCACAAGGAGGCAGGAAAAAAAAAGAGAUCGUCCCUCUGACCGCACCUCCCGUGCCACCACUUCAUAAAACACCUCAUCCAUGGCAUAAAUUGGUAGCUUGGCAGCAUAUGCUCCAAAACAAGCUCCUCUAGCCCAAACAAGCACUUAACCUUGCAACAACCUCUUCCCUAAGGUAAGCGGUGCUCGGAUUACCGACAAAGACUACGUUGUCUAUCGCCAUAUGUCGCUCUAAAAGCAACAAACAAGGGCGCAGGUUGGCCAGAGAAAUGAACUGAGGGUAUUUGCUACCCGGACGGAGCACUUUGCUUUGGUUUUAAGAGAAGAAAGAUGAACUUAUUGCGCAUCGUGUGAAUUAAACUGGUAAACUAGUAAGUCUAAAGAACUUGGUUUGACGCUUUGGACAGAGUGAACUAAUAUUCAAUGAAAUAAUAUAGCAUAGACAAUAAUUACCGAGUGAAAGAGUUGGACUCGCCAAAGUGGCACUACGCAAGCUUAUAAAGUGCUAGGCAAAAGAAUGCUUCAAGUGCCAAAAGUUGGUAUAAAUGGUUACUUAAAUGCCAAAACUUAUGAAAGUGACACUUAAAUGCUACUUUUUUAUAUAAAAAAAUGAGACACUUGAGUGUCACAUCCAGUGAGCCUCACUAAAAAUCUUACGAGGCAUUUUUUUAUUAAUUUUCUCGCUUACGUGACUCACCGGAAUGCCGAAUUAGCAAAACACACACAAAAACGACGUCAUUUUGGCAUAAUUUAAAUUUUAAUAUAAUAUACAAAUUAAUUAAAUUAAAUUUACAAAUUAAUUAAAUUAAAUUUAGAACAAAAUAAAUUUAUUUUUAUUUUUAUUUGUAUUUAAAAAAAAAGAAAUGAGGAAGAGGAGGAGGAGAAAGACAGCCGAUAGCUGAGGGCUGAGCCCUCGCCGCCACCGCCUCCCCGCCAUCUCCGAAAGGUGGGGGAGGGUCGGCCGGGGCCGCUAAGCCUUGGCUGAGGGCCAGUGGCCCCAGUCGACCGACAGCGAGGGCCGCAACCCUCACCCAGAUUUGGGGCGAGGGCAUGCAAGCCCUCAUCGCCAGUUGACUGGGGCCGCCGACCCCCAACCUAGGCUCAGCAGCCUCGGCUGACUCUCCCCCACCUCCCUGGCGACGGAGGGGAGGCAGCAGCGGCAAAGGCUGAGCCCUCAGUUGUCGGCUGCCUCCCUCCUCCUCCUUCCCCUUCUUUUUUUAAAAUUAAUUAAUUAAAUUUUUAAUUUUUAAUUUAAUUAAUUAUUAUAUUAAAAUUCGAAUUAUACCAAAACAACGUCAUUAUGACACUAUUUAGCCAUAUUAGCAUACAAAAUGACAUCAUUUUGCGCGUAACUCGCCGGAAAAUUGCCAUAUCAGCGUUUUGGCUGGAUUUUCUCACCGAUGGCACUUAAGUAAUCCAUUUUGCUUUGAUUUUGGUACUUAAAUAUCACUUUUGUAACUUUUGGCACUUAAGUAUCACUUUCGUAACUUUUGGCACUUAAGUAUCCCUUUGUGCCAACUUUUGAUACUCCGAGAGUCCAGAUGUCCUAACAUGGAAUCACUCAAAUCAAUUCAAACCGUUAAAGGUAGAUUUGUUUGAAAAAAGUAAAGGCGAUGCUUGGUAUUGUUAUAUUCGAGAUCAAUUUCAAGGGAAGCUAUUAGAACUAUAUAAAAUUGAUUGUUGGAUUGUUGAAAAAUUGAGCACAUGGUUUGCAGGUUAGUCCCGGGGUGAAUAAAUGCCACACUGUUUUUGAAUUUUAAAACCUUAGCUAUGAAUAUAGAGUGCUAGUGAAGUAUUGUAAACAACAAGAUGAGCAUUGGUCUAGCAUCAACUCUAGACCAACCUUGGAUCGAUCCAACUCGACCGAUCCUAGUCCAGUCCAAAUAGGGACUAGGUCAAUCUUUUGUCCUGGAACCCCUGAACCCUACAUAUAUAUGUUUUUAUCUACUUUAAAUUAUAGCACCUUCUCAUCUAUUUAUCUUCGUAAGUCAAUUUGUCAUGUAAAUUAGAGAAAAAAAAAAAACAUAAACCCUCUUUACCAACCUCGGCCUCGGCCUCACUCGCCUUGCUUAUGACUCACCUCCUUCACUUGCAUCACUUGUCUUGUCGCUUCCCUCUUUUCACUCACCUUGCUACUCACCUCUAUUCUCUUGCCUCGCAUGUUUGUUUUUAUGGUUUAUUGCUUUUAACAAAGCUUUUAACAAGUGCAAAUUUCUAUUGUUACUUUAUUUUAUAUUUAUGUUUGAUAUGUAUGUAAUUUGAAAUAGUAUGAUUGUCCUUGUCCUUUUAAGAAAUAUAUAAUAAAAAAAAAAAAAAAGGAAGAAAGAUAGACAGUUGAUCCGGGAUAGACCCUAGAACCGCACCAAACCCAUAGGGUCAGUCUAGCCCUCAAUCUCGAGCUCAACAGCAUUAAUCCUCAAUCUCAAAAAUUGAGGACCAACAUUAUACAAUUGGUCUCUAGGUUAAAUGCUGGACCAGCCCAACCUAGACUAUACUCACCCCUAAUAAACAAGGAGUUGUAGUACGAAGCCAGAAAAGCAUUAUCAAUUCAAUAAGAAGUUCUUCCUUCAUUGUGCUUUUACUUCAAAUUUCCAUAGUUUAUACUAAUUUUUUUGGUUCUUCCAUUCCCACUGCAUUCUAGUGGAUUACUGUCGCUUUGACAACAACUGGAAAUGCCACUUGAAUCAAGUGGCUUGAUCAAAAUGGCUUUGCACAUGAUGUUUAUUCUAUCAAUCAGCUAGACGAGUAAUAGAAAGAACUGUUCUUUUUUUGGUUGAAAAAGAAUUUUAUUUAGCUUUCGUUGUCAUGCGCAGUGGCUAUGACCAUUUAGGCGAACCCCAGCUUUAACGCAAGCAUUUCCAAAAUCUUCUAAAAUCCCAUAGUCCCCAGGAGGUUCAUAGGAGUUUUGGCAUUUAGUAUUUCCAGAAUGCUAAUAUGUUUUCUUCUUCCAAUUUUUCCCUCGCUAAUGAUUGAAAUUUCCAAAAUGCUCUCACCACCGACAACUUCAUUAGACAUUGUUGGUGAUGCCAAAUCUAACCACCAACAAGCUAGAUCUAGCGCCAACAAGCCUUGUCUGGGGUCACACAAUCCCACCUCGCUGGGGAGCUGGGGCUAGAUUUAACUCAUCAAUGAAAAAUUUGAGUUUUUUUUGUGAAAAAAAAAAUAUUGCAAAAGUUCUUCAUGAGUGUGCUUUUACCAAAUAUCAUUAAAAUCAAAGUUACUUCUCAAUACGCUUUUACAUUAUACUUUACCAAACACAAUUUACAUUUCGAGAAACCACUUCAAUUUACAUAUUUGAGAGAUUUUUACCAAAAGUCCAACCAAAUAACCAACAAGUUAAGGCACUCUACCUAACUUGCCACGCAGCCUUACACUCCAACCUCGUACAGGUGUUUUUCCAUUUUAUUCUUCCUGGUGCAAUUUGUCCAUGCAAGCUGGCUAAACCUAUAGAACAUGGUAAAACAUUUUCCACUUUGGCAAAAUCGAGUUGCUUGAUUCAUUAAAUCUCAUCCAAGGAAGAAAAAAAGCGAAAUGUCUGGUAUUACUCCUGUUAUAACAUGAUAUAACAACGUAAAUGUGACCUUGAUUACUUGCUACGAAAUUAAGGCCCUUCUUGAUAUUGUAGAUUUGCAGGUGUAAUUGACCAAAUCUAACUUCAUUUGCCCCUAUUGAUAAAUAAUAGUAACAAAUCCUGAUUCCUCUUCACCGAACGGCAUUUUUGUCGGAUACCAUAUGCCCGAAGUUCUCCAUACGUGAAUAAAUGGCAAAUCUAUAUUAAUGUAAUCGUUUCAUAAUUUUUAGAUUUUUAAGGUGCAGUAAUCUAGCAUCCAAGACCUCACAAAUGCGAUAACUUUCCCAUGAUAUUCACUUAAUUGAUUUAAUAUCUCAAUCGAUCACUUGAAUACUAUAACUUUCAUACGUUGUUUAUUCAAGUAAUAUGACGUGUUUGUUUAAUAUGAGAAAUUUAUAGCAAGGUUGAUUCUAUUGUGCAUGUCUCAAUCAAAGGUUACACAAAAAUUAGAUUUAUGUAACCAAAUCGAUUCUAUCGGAGAAUCAAACCAUCCUGAAGCCAAUCCAAUUCUAGAUUCAUGUUGAAACUAAUGGAAACUAGUCUGAUGCUUAGUUUUUAGUGAAGAACCUCUCAGAAACCGGACCAUCCAGUCCAAAUUUGAAAUUAGUUUCAUAAAGUCUAAAAAAACCCUAAUUAUUUUCUCGACAUAUUUCUCUCUCUUUUCUCUCCAACUUUAUCCAAAUACUUCAUCUCGCUCGCUCGUCCGCCCGCCGGCCCUCGGUCACUUCUAACUCGCCUUUUCUCACAUAAUUCAUCUUUUAUUUUGAAUCGUCUUGUUACUUAUAUCACCUCGCUAUAAAUAGAAAAAUGAAAUGAAAUACUCAACUCUGUUGGCGAUUCUGACAGGUAGGUUCGAAUCUCAAGGCCUGAGUCUAAUUGAGUGAUUCCUAUGUUGUCGGGUGCGUUGACCCGGCCUAUGCAAGAAUCUCAGACCAACAAUCGCCAUGGACUGGUCCCGACCCGGCGCCGCCGUCAGGAGCCUGCGGCACCGCUUCUCGCCGAGGAACGCCGCCGAGGUCGUCGCCGUCCUCGUCCUUCUGACGGUCGCGCUCUCCACCCUCUCGUCUUCGACGAGGCGCUCGGCGGGCCCCCUCCAGUCCAGGGCCUGCGAGUUCCCGGCGAUCUUCAACUUCGGCGACUCCAACUCCGACACCGGCGGCAAAUCCGCCGCCUUCCACCGUCUCCUGCCCCCGAACGGCGACACAUUCUUCGGCACAUCCUCUGGCCGGUACUGCGACGGCAAAGUGAUUCUUGAUUUCAUAGGUGAACGAUUGGACUUGCCCAUUUUCUGUCCAAUAUUCUUGCCUGCCAAUUUCGUGAUUUUGCUGGAGUUUUGAUAUAUAUAUACAUAUUUCAAGAAACAGUUUUUAGACUGUCCUGCUGCAUUUCUCUGCAAUUUUUCCACUGGGUAUGUGUAGCAAUGCUCCAUCUCUAACAUGGAGUGAUUGAGGGAUAGUUGAAUGAUUCUUAUUUUCGGGUUUGAUCCAUAUGAAUCGCGCUGGAUGUUGUGGUUUGCGAUGCCAUUUUGAAGACCUGAUGAUAAAGAUAUAAUUUGAGAUCUUAUGGACUGAGUUAUGAGGUUCAGCUUGAUCUCCUUGAUAAGUUAGUUUCUUCUCUCUUAGCCUCUCAUUCGGUAGUGUGUUUGCAAAUCUGGUGGCAGCUGAGAAGUUGGGAUUACCAUACUUGAGUGCAUACUUGGAUUCCAUGGGGACAAACUUCCGUCAUGGGGCGAAUUUCGCCACGGGAGGGUCCACGAUCCAGCCGGUGGAUACCCGAAUCUUUGAGGGAGGCUUCAGUCCCAUCUCGCUCGACAUAGAGCUUUCGCAGUUCGAGCAAUUCAAGGCACGCACUCUCGAGCUUCAUGCCGGUACUUGACUAUUCAUUUGAUUCGCUGACUUUGGACAAGUUUAGGUCUUUGCAUUUUCAGAAUCUGUUCUAACUCGCAAGCAUGGAGGUCUGAAAAUUCGUGCAUUAUGUUUCUCAGGUAAGAGUGAUUAUGCAAAGAGCAGUCUGCCAAGACCCGAGGACUUCUCCAAGGCAUUAUACACAAUGGAUAUUGGUCAGAAUGAUCUUCAUGCCACAUUGAAAUCCAUGACGGAGAAACAGGCAUUGGCGUCCAUUCCCAACAUUUUGAAUAAGUUUGCUGUAGCAGUAGAGGUAAGUAAAAGUUUCGUUAAUUAACUGCUUAUGAACUCUCUAGUUUGUGAGGAACGUCAUUGUAUACCCUUCACGAAGGAAAGCAGUGGCUUGACUGGGCAUUAUCAGAACAUCUCGUCUGUUUUGCAUCCUAACAUUAUCUCUUGCAUGAAAGAGAAAGGAGUUUGUAAGCUCAGAGCUGCACCGUAGCAGAAUAAACCCAUGCAUUUUGCUUAAUGUUCAUUGAAGUUAACAAGAACUUAUCAAGGAGCCUUUUAAUCAGCUUUAUGUACAAAAAGGAUGGGUGGAAGAAGCUGGAUCUGGAUAUAAGAUGUUUGAAAUUAAGGGAAUGUUGCUGAUCUUGAUAGGCUUUUCUUUAGUUGCUCAGUGCAUGUUACAUGAGAGAGACUUUGCCUUUGGAUGCUCGAUUGGUUGUUUUUGACCUGAUUGGCUUGCUUUAUGAAAUGCAGCUAUACUCUUCCAAAUUCUCAUGUCAUAGAGUACUUAACGAAGUAGUGAUUAAACUAUGGCUUUCUAGCCGUUGUAUUUGUUGUCAAUGCUUGUGAGAGUUUCACAAUGAACUUACAGAAGUUGUAAGUAAAAUGUGUAAUUAACAAAUCCCAUGCUUUGACAUAGAAUAUUGACAUUUUCCCUUAAAUAAUUUUAAUUAAAUGUGUAAUUAAGUCAUUUUAGGAUUCUAACGCUGAUUACAUGAUCUCAGAGAUUAUAUCAGCAAGGAGCAAGGGCAUUUUGGAUACAUAAUACAGGACCAAUUGGAUGUUUGCCCCAUUACUUCGUCUUUGAUCCUCCAGAAUCAAACGCGACAGACAAAAAUGGAUGUCUGGCAUCCUACAACAAAAUUGCGCAAGAAUUUAAUAUGCAGCUCAAAACACUUGUGUCCAAGCUAAGACUUCGUCUUGUGGGCACAACACUAAACUACAUUGACAUUUAUUCAGCUAAAUACACUUUGAUCUCUGAAGCUCAGAAACAUGGUAAGCAUCCUGCAGCUAUCUAAAUUGCAGAUUACAUGCAGCAUGUAUGAUAUGGAAUGAGUGCAGAAUUUGACAUCAGUUCAAGUUUCAAUUGGAUUCUUCUAGGUUUUGGUGGUCCACUAGAGUAUUGUUGCGGGCAUGACGGGGAUUACACUGUAUAUUGCGGACAGAAGGCGAUUGUGAAUGGAACUGAAGUAGUCGGGGAUUCUUGCAGCGACCCUUCGAAGGUGAUAAGCUGGGAUGGAGUGCACUAUUCUCAUGCUGCAAAUCAGUGGGUAGCAAACAGAGUUGUUGACGGCUCCCUCUCGGAUGUUCAGGUUCCUCUCACGGAAUCAUGUCACGAGUCCAUUCACUCCUGAUCAUUGUGUCCAAAAGGUGAACAGUCCUGAAGUUGCAAUUCACCUUAGUAAAUAUUCCAGUUUUUCCAUCCCAAAAGUCCAGCUGAAUCAAAGCGGAUCAGAACAUUCCUAGAUUCACGGUGGAGAAGCCACAACAAGCUACCUGAUCUUGCUAUACUUAGUACCCUUCUGCAAUUUCAAAACCGGUGGUAGAUUCUACGACAGUGGACAUUAGCCGGCACACCGCUCGGCAAGCUUGUAAAUGAUCAAUUAUUUUAUUUCAAAAACACCUUCAACAUUUUUUCUUUCAAUGCCAUUUGGUUCUUUUCCUUCUUCACUCCAUAAUUCAUCUUCCUUCUGCUUCCUCAAGGCAAUGUCAAUUCAGAAACCAAAAAAAUCCGCAUGACUAUCUAGGCAGAGAAAACGCCCCCAUCAAUCAACCUCGAAAAACUGCUCCACCGGUCGCCUCCAUCCAUGCUACCUGAAUCCCAUCAAGGUGUGUUAUAACCUGAGCCUUGCCGUCAUUGCUGGUUUCGACUCAUACCGGUGUUUGUCAAAUGUAGGAACUCACUAAAAUUCGGAUCUCUUCUAAGUAUCUUGAUCAGAUUCUAUUCUAACGAAGGCCGUGCAGCAAAGAUUUUGGCUUCAUUCGUGAAAGUUCGGUUUCGAACGAUGCUAUGGAAGCCAAAGUUACUGUCAUAGGCAGGGCGACAAACUUUCAUUUGUCUGGUUCGCCAUUCCAACCCGAUAUAUUUCAUGUCGAAAUCAGAAGCCACGGACAGGACGAUGCAACAGAACCGGCUGAUGGCUCCAACAUGUUUGGAGGAUUGCAAUUUCGCCGUAAUGGCGGACUUUAACUGCGCCCUACUUAUGAAGCUAAUCCUGGAUGAUGAUGCACGAUGAAAAUAAACUAUCGAAUCGAGUUUUAAAAGGAAUAGAUUUAGGGAUAACAUCCUUUUCAGAGAUGAAAUCGAAGGCCGAUGGUUCUUGUCAAUGGCGGGUGAUGUUAUAACAAUGUUUAGGCUGAUCUUGGACGGGUGCCUAAAUUUCGAGAUGUAGCCUAGAAGAGUGUUAAAAGUAAAAAUGGAAGUGAAUAGGCUCCGUUUUGUUUUGCACAAAAUUAAUAAUUUUAAAAAUAUUUUUUAAAUCAUUGAUAUUUCAUGUAAUAAUGGAAAUGGAGAUGGAAUACCUCGUAAUGUUGAAGACACUCAGGCAAAAAGCUUGCUCUCUCCAAUGUAAGAAGCCAUAAAAACAGAACUAGGCAACCUCUCGGCAUUAGAUUUGCCCAAAUAACUAUCUUGCUUCAUUUCAAUUAUUAACUUUGUAUUCUUAAUUUUGUUAGUAAGUUUUCUUAAAAAGUCAUGAAUGAUGCCACGUUGGCAAUUCUCUAAAAAAAAAUUGACGAAAUGAAUGACUUGAAAUAAAAAGCAUAUAAUCUAGGGAGGAAUUGCACACACAAAAUCCAGGAACCGGAUCGAACAAUUAAUUCAGGAACCUGAUCGAACAAUUAAGAAAAUUCAAGGAGCUUGCUUUUUUUCCUUUGUUUUGUUUUGUUUCGUUUCAUUAUUCUUUUUUUUUUUCCUUUGUUGUUGUUUUGUUUCUGACAAAAGGAGCCAAAAAAAGUAAAGUCGGACCUACAGAAUAUCAAUCGUUACAUUCAAAAUGGCCAAUCAACUAGUCACUCACGCCUUUCAAAGUGCGAUUUGUCUACUUACUUUCUGUGUCAUUUAUAAAGAAAAAAAUGUAUAUUUCUCUUGCCCCCCAAAAGACCACAACUUGAAUGUGGAACAGUGUCAUUUUCAAUUGCAACAUUUAUCUUUACGUAGGCUUCAAUGAUCAAUCUAGAAGACGACAACAUACCAGUAUCAAGACAAAGAAACAAGAACAAAGGGCAGAAGCCGUGGCUGAAGUGGCAAGACAGCGACUCGAGCCCGACCAAUAAUGCUUCCUGAUUCUUCAACCAAAACAAGAAAAUGUACACCUCCAUCGCUUCCGUUCUGAUUCUUCAAGAAUUCAUGUUCUCUUUUUUCUUUCCAUUAUAACCAUGUUUGGAGUCCAUGUCAGAGACUCUAUGCCCAUCACUGUUUCCCGAAGUGUUGGGUUUUCCGAGGCUACAAGACCACCCCGCAAGUCGGCGGUCUCCCUUUCCGUAGCAAUUGAGUAACUAUCGGGGUUGAAGAGCUCUAGCGAUGUGUUUCAUCACGAUUUUUUUACAGAGAAAAAUUAGCCGAAUAUACGAUAUGAUGCAAUCUAUGAAGAUACUCACUUGCCUUACGAAACGUUGGAUUUAAGUUAUAAUAACUCAAUGUCAUUAACAUUGCGUUCGACAUCAUCUGCACUCUAGAUUUUUGGGAUUUGCGAAGUGGGUCAUCCAGGAGAAGUCGAGUUCGUGCACUCGUGGAAGAUGGUCGAGAGAUGAUGAUGCGUGGCAGCUGAAGACUUCUGUCACUCUGUUUUUCAUUUUUGCCAAAAAGCUUCGUCACUUGUAUAUACUAAACAACGUGUGCCGUGUGCCGUCCGUGAUUGACUUCUGGGCGUGCACGUAGACUUCGGGCGCGAAGCAUUGCCGGCCAUUGCGGACAAGCUUGAAGCUUCGCUGACCAUUUCUGCGAAUCUCUCUCUCUCUCUCUGUGAAACUACAAAAACCUUCGCUCGUUCUUCAAGCUGGGAAGGUGCUCUUUUGGAUCUUCUGCCGACAGCAAGAGCUAUGAGGAGAAUUGGGAUCGACAGUUCUUCCAUCUCAAGCGUUCGCAGCGACGUACGCUGUCCUACCCUUUUCCCUUUUCUUUUCGAAUUUCUUGUUUAAGCAUCUCGCGUGCUCGUUGUUCAUGAGGAUCGGCAAUUUAGCAGCAUCGGAAGCUCAUUUGCAUACGUUUUGCUCAUUGGGAGACUGCUCUGCUUGUUUUUUUUUUUUUUUUAACUUCUUUCUUUUAUGCAAGAACCUUCCAUGAAAUCAUCGCUCUAGCCAUAGCAUCUUAGCUUUGAAGUGAUUCUCUGGUAUUUUCCCUGUUUAGAUUUAGAUGGUUGGUACAAGAGAAGCCCAAUUGAGUAUGGGGAAGCAAAACUUCGGGCUCGCGAGGUGCAUUGCGGUGGUGGUGAUCGGAGUCAUUGUGGCUAUCGCAUUUUCAGUCUUGAUGCCACGAAAAACGGAGAAUGGCUGGGCAUUCAGGGACUCCGGGGUUUGCCGCUUCCCGGCGAUUUACAACUUUGGCGAUUCGAAUUCCGACACCGGCGGUCUGUCUGCUGCGUUUUACUGGCUCCCUUCGCCUUAUGGGAACAGCUUCUUUGGCAAACCAUCGGGCCGGUUCUCGGAUGGCCAAGUCGUUAUUGAUUUCAUGGGUAUGCUUCAAUUCGAGUGUGUGGGAAUAUCAGAUGAUUUUUUCCUGAUUUUAUGAGGAUUGCUUUUCCCUUUUCUGCUUUGAUUUCCUGCUCAAUGAUCUAGUUUCUACGGAGAACCCACUAGUUUCCUGCUCAAUGAUCUAACUUUGCUGUCAUCUUUUUGCACAGCCGAGAAGCUUGGUUUGCCAUUUCUAUCUGCGUAUUUGGACUCUGUAGGUUCAGAUUAUCUCCAUGGAGCGAAUUUCGCCACUGGAGGCUCUACUAUCCAGCGAAUCGACGGCCGAGCAUUUGACGCGAGACUUAGCCCUAUUUCUCUCGAUCUGCAGCUUCUGCAAUUCCAACAGUUCAAGGCACGGACUAAUGAGCUAUUCAGUGACGGUGUUACAAGCCGUCUUCCACUACCGGGCGACUUCUCCAAUGCUCUAUACACUCUCGACAUCGGUCAGAACGAUCUCCACCUCGGCUUUAAAUUCAUGACAGAAGAACAAGCGCGGGCCUCUAUUCCCAACAUCACACAUCAGUUCGCUUCAGUUGUUGAGGUUUGCAGCCUCUAUAUAGCGUCUUCCUAAACUGAGGGUUUCUUAGCCGAGAAAACAAAAGGUCUUGCUGUCGUACUACUUUUACUGCAGAAAGGAUUACAAGUUCCACCACUACAACUACAUAAGAAUUUAACUCAACCCAUGUCGAGAUCGGUUUCAUUGCUUCUGGUUUGGAUUCAAUGUCAUGGAUCAAGAUUCUCAUUCUUCAUGUAAUUGCUUCUUCAAAUGGUCUAAAAAGUUUCUUCAUCUUAUUGAUGUUAACACAUGAAUUGGAGAUACUGAUAUCAUCCUAUGACAUCGAUCACUUCAAGUGUUGCUUACUCACUUUACAUAGCAAUUCUCGUGUUCUCUGAUAUGCAUCUGCUAGUUUUCGAUAGUAGUGCUAGUAAAGCUAAUGUAGUUGGCCUCGCUUUCAGUCCAAACACUAAAAAGCCUGGGUUAGUCCUUUUGCAUCAUCUGCUAAUCAGCUAAAAUAUUUUGGUGUGAUCAUGAGCUUUGUACUGUCUCGUGAUGCGAUUUAUCUAGACCUUACUGCGCUUCUUUGUUGCUGCAGAAGCUGUACCAAGAAGGGGCAAGAGCUUUCUGGAUACACAACACGGGUCCCAUCGGCUGCAUACCACUGACCGCCAGGCGCAUUUCCGCGAUGCAGCCCGAUAAGGUGGACGGAAUCGGCUGUGUGAAGUCGCACAACGAAAUAGCUCAAGAAUUUAACAGGCAGCUCAAGGAGAGAGUCAUUGACCUGAGAGCCAAACUCACUGAUGCAGUUCUCACUUAUGUCGACAUGUACUCCGCAAAAUUCAUGCUGAUAAGCGAAGCGAAGCAGCACGGUUAGUCCGUAUCAUUGUCUACUAAUCUCUUCAUUCGCAAGUAAUUAGGUGGCAACAAGUGCUUUCUUGCGGUCUCGGACACGUUUGGAUUCCCCUUCUGACGGGACUCAAUUUGGUGUGCAGGUUUCACCGAUCCCCUCCGUUACUGCUGCGGCCACAACGGAGAUAACGUUGUCCCGUGCGGGAUGAAAAUGGCAGUUGAUGGAGUUGAAGUUUCCGGGGAUUCUUGCAGCGAUCCAUCCCAACACAUAAGCUGGGACGGGAUUCACUACUCUCACGCCGCGAACCUCUGGAUAGCGAACAAAAUCCUGGACGGUUCUUUCUCCGAUCCCCCCGUGGCCAUAACCGAAGCAUGCCGUAAGGCCCUGUAGUCAGUCAUGUGUAGUAUGUAAUAGUCAGAAAACAAGCGACUUGUUCCCAAUUUUCGAAGAGCAAAUCGAACUCCCUCCAUGUUCAUCUGGGAGGAGGCUGAUUUCCGAGUUCUCUCGGCAUCCUCAAUGUCCAUUGUCUCUCAGGUCGAGAUAGUCGAGACGAAAGGGACGGCGUUCGCCUGCCAUUUGAUAUGUGUCUGAUGGAAUAUAAAUUCUAGAUUAGCAUUAUUCAGGAGCAGCACUCGUAAGUGCAAAAAAGGAAAGGAAGAGUUGAUGGCUGAAAGAAAGAAAAGGUAAAAUCGAAAGGAGAAGCGACUCCACUGGGGAUCGAACCCAGAAUCUCUGGUUUCGUAGACCAGCGCCUUAUCCAUUGGGCCAUGGAGUCUCUCUUGGUGGAACCGCCAUUAAAGUAUUGUUUUGGUAUUUACAAAGCGAAAAUAAAAAGGCCCCAAUUUAGUCGGAGGAUGCACGUUUGUAUGCAAAGUUUCCAAGUUCUUAUCUAUGAAUGUUUCAAAAACAACCCAAACGUAAAAGUUUUCCGGGUGCAAAUCUACUCUGAAUAGCUUUUUUUUGUUAUGCAUGAAAUCUCCAGCCAAUCUCGAACCAUGUCAAGCUUCUCAAGUGAUCGUGGAUCCACUCACUGAAGAGAGGAGAAGUCCUCCUUAAAAUACUUUAGGAAAGACCUUCCGAUACUCAAGAGGGCUAAAGUCGUUAAGUCAUACAUUUUUUUUUUUUUUUUUUGGCUUAACUCAUACCUUGAUGGGUGUUAUCCUAAAGGAGAUUACCUUAAACUCGACCAAGUCUCAAUAGGUAGAUAAAUAGGAUUGGGUAGUGAUCUUAUAUGAAAAAACCCAGCUCGAUUCUACUUAAAAAUUACUAUAUAUGUAAUAUAUGAUGGGUGAGUUUGGGAAAAUAUUAGGCUCAAUUUUAUACUCGAGGUAUACUCAAGCCUUGCCCAAUGAUCACCUCUAUUGAUUAUUGUAUAUAUAUAUGAAUUGGCUAACUCUCUUUGUGACAUCAUGAAUUUCGACCCCGUCUCAAUAAUAUGAAAUGGGUAUUUCAUCAACGCGCCUAUGGUCAUUUUUCUCAUAGUUGAUCACUUUUGAGUUAACUAACAUAUUAGGUGAAGCUAUUAAGGAAUAUAAACGCGAUAAACUUGAGAAUUUGAUCAAAACUCGACUGCUCGACUGUGAUAAUCGGCAAGGGUCGAUAUGACACCAUUAUAAUUUAUUGUGAUAGGAAAUAGGUCGAUUCGACAAAAUAAUGUAAUUGAAUUGCGGGUGAUUCCGCAUGAUUAUGAAAUUCACGUCGAACGGCACUAACCUGAUUUUCUGUCGAUUUUAUAUUUGGUGCCCGUAAUUAAAAUCUUGCGAUUUUUAUGACAAUCAAGAGUCGCCUACGAGUCAAAGAUGCACAAAUGUGGAUCGAAAAUUAUUGACCACGGGUCAAACGCAUUAAAAUUCCUAAAAGCUACUCAGUAGGGUAGGUUGUACUAAAAUCGCAUCCAAUAGAUUUUAACUAUGAAAUUGAAUUCAAUUUCGGGAAUCGAACGUUCGAGCGUAUCACGAUUUAUUUUUAGAACAUUGUUUCAUCUUUCGAAGGAAUUCCGUCAAGUCCGGGAUUUUUGCGAAAAAUCGAUUUCGGACAAAUCGGAAAAGAAUUGGAAAUUUGUAUGGGCUGCUAAAAGGGGUUAUUUGGGGGGUGCAGGACAAACCAAAAUUUCUGUUCUAGAAACAAUUUUUCUAUUCCAGACUUGUUUUUGAAAUAGGAAUCCGUUUGAUAAAAUUAUUUCAUUUUUCUAUUUUUGAAAUAGAUUUUUGUUCUUGAAAUAGAUUUGGAAUAGAAAUCAAAAGUAAAAAAUUUAUACUUUUCUAUUUCUAGAAUAGAAAUGAGAAAUAAAAAUUCUCCUCAUCGUUCGUCCUUGUUACGAACCGAUCGUCCAUCCGUCGCCAUUGAACUAGUCACCGCUGCCCCGAUCGUCGGUCGCCGUUGCUACCGUCCGCCCAUCGCUAGCGAGAGAAAUUUUGUGUUGUUAUCAAACAUAUAUUUUUGCUUAGAAACUCAUUUAAAAAUAGAAAUAUAAAAAUCUAUUCUUCUUUCAUAAAUCAAUUUUCUGGCCAAAAUGGUUAUUAUCCGUGCCCUUUACUGCCAAAUUUGCUUUGUUUGGUGAAGAAAUGAGAGGAAAUGAGCGAUUGGUUGGCCUCUUGACAUUGUGAGCUGAAAACUUUUUGAGGCUAACACUUAAGUGCUUGGAUAUUUAGGCUUGGCUCUCAUUGGAUGUUGCUUGGACUUUCAUGGCUUCUCUCCUCUCCCCCCCCCCCCCCCCCAAGGUAUUUCGGGGGUAAUUUAGCCGCACAUUCCUUCUCCUUCUUAUUCCUCUUCAUGUUUCUCUUCCACCCCACCAGCGACCGAAUCCCCCUCCUCACGCCUCAGCUCCCAUCUCCUCCAUUCCUUCUGUUGCACUGCCACACGCCCGCGCCCACAUCACUCGUCCAUCUCCACCACCAACACGACACCACCCCCUGCCAUCAUUCCCUCAGCCGCCCAACUCCACCAUCAGUUCCCUAGCUCCAUGUGCAGCCCACCAUCACGCCCGCUCCACUCUACAGUAGCCGCCAACUGCCUCAUCCCCACCAGCAGCUGGUCCGCCCAGCUCCCCUGCCAAGCAGACCCCACCAUUCCAGCUUAGUCCUCCGGCCACCAGCAACCCCGCGAUCCAGUCAGCCCAGCCCUCGACCCAGCAACCUUAGAACUGAAUCUCAGCUUGGGCUGAGACUUGUUGGGCCUUUUUCAGACUUGGUCGGUUGAGGCCGUAGCCACGGGUCUUCACCGCCUUCGCGUCGCCGUCGCCAAGGACCCGCCAUCGUGCUAAUCCAAUGAGUUAACAUCCUAAUCUUGGAUUAGGAAGUUAAUUGCACUUAGGGGAUUAGUUUAUUCUUAAUUAGGAUUGAGGAUUAAUUUAGUUAGUGUAACUAGUUAGUUGGUUAGUUUAGUUAGAUGAACUACUUAGUUAAAUUAGUUUGGUUAGGGGUUAGUUUGGUUAGGUUACUACCCUAGGUUAGUUGGUCAACUAGGGUUAGUUAGUUAACUAGGGUUGGUUAGUUAACCGUGGUUAGUUUAUUUAAUCGUGGUUUAGUUAAUUAAAUUAAAAUAAUUUAUUUUCCUGAGAUUUAUUUAAUUAAUUUUUAUUAGCAUAAAUUGUGACAGGAUAGCUAUUUAUCAUAAUUUUACGCUAAUCGUCGUGGAUGCAUUUAUAUGUGAAAUUGAUUGCUUAAUUAUGCAAUUGAGUGCUUGGUUGCCGUUUUGGAUUAUUAUUGCAAAAAAAAAAAAAAUGAUUUUUUGGUAUUUUAAUAGAAAAAAUACCAGGUGUCGAUUUUUGACGCCAAAAAUAUUUUAUGUACUAUAUAAAAUCGUGGAAUUUUGAAAUGGGAGUGUAUCACGUUUUAUGGUUCGAUUUGAAUGUGUGACCAUGCACAAUUAUAUUAUCGGGAAUUUUUAAUAUGAAGAAAAUUAGCCAAGUCCAUUAUUUAACAUUGAGGCAUUUGAGUGUAAAACACGAUAUUCUUGACCGAGUAUGGAUGUGCGUGCGGUUACUAUCGGAACUCGUCAGCCAACGGGAGUUUGGGGACGAUGCCAGAGUUUAUCGGAUGCCCGGUGGGGGUCCGAAAGCCGGUUGCGGUGGAGGCCAGACCGAUGCCCCUUUUUGGGAUACCGUCUAGGCGGGGGUUCUAGACGUUGCCAUGCCCAACGAAGCAGAACGACGCCCGAUUAUGCCGGAUGACUGCCGACUAAUGAGUUGGCCGUGGCUGUUGGGUCAUAAAUAACUAAGACACGUCUGAGGUGUUCCAGUUAUUGAAUACGUUUGCUGUAUGCAUAUAAUAGAUGUGGUGUACUAAUAUGCAGGGAGAUGCUGAGAUGAGGUAAGUUUGUGUGUGAUGCAUGUUUAGGCUGGUAAGUGAAUUAUCAUCCUAAUUGGAGUUUAAGGUAUUGACUUGCUAAGAUUUUAUCUCAGUCCGUCGUGGUUAACCAUUUUUCAGGUCCUUAGAUAGUGAACUCGAAGCCCAAGGUUGGAGGGUACGGAGGGUAGGUGGCUUAGGGUUUUCUUUUGGACAUAUACUUGUUAAUAUGAAUCCUUAGGUUAAUGAAGUGAGUUUUGUGAAAGAGCGUUGGCAUGUGUUUUACUAUCCCCAUGUUUGAUGGUUGUCAAAGUAUUUAUUUAAUUCACUUCCGCAUGUGUUUAAUUGUGCAUAAAAAGAAAGGGUCAGCGACGCGUUCUGGGAAUGUCGCAUUUCAGUCAAUCAUAAAGGGAUGUACGCGUGCUCGGGAUUCAGGAUGUGACACUUUUUAUAUAUAGGGGCCAUCUUAAGCUCUAUUUUUUUUUUUUGUUGUCAGUCUUACUCUAUGUACUUUAUACUCACUCUCAGACUUUUGCCCAUCUUAAGCCUACAAGAUAGUGAUUUGGCAACAGAAUAUUGAAAUUUUAAUUACAAAUAGAUGUGGAUAAAUGCAAAAUAUAUUCUUUAAGAAGAACAUGGAGACUUUUUACUUGAUCUAACAUCUUGUAACCGAUGCACUUUGAUUUUCCUUUUAAGACCUAAACACUUGAACCUAUAAAAAGGAUACGAAUAUUAAUACUUAGAUAUACGUAGUAUAUGUAUGUAUAUAUAUAUAUAUAUAUAUAUAUUUAGAUGAGAUUUUAAAUAUUGACCGAACUUUGUAAUUAUUAAGUUUAAUUCCUUCUUCUUUUUUGUCGGAAAGCUCAAUUCUAAACACCCACAAAAAAUAAUUUUGUUUCUUUUUUUUUUUAAUCACGAAAUUCCUCCCAAAAUUUAUGAGGGCACAGAAAAGUGCCACGUGGCAGAGCUCCGCCUCCAGCCAUAUGGCUCAGAUUGCAGCUCCAAAACCGAAAGCCAUCGUCCUCUUUUUCCAUCACUACAAUGCUCUUCUCCUCCUCACUCUCUCCCCAAAACCUCCUCUCCACCGCCACCGCCUCCGCCCCCGCCACCGCCGCCUCCGGCAACCUCCUCCUCUUCUGCUUCCUGACCUCCCCGGCCCCCAAGCCCCACGCCUCCGCCUGCAAAUGCCGCUCUCUCUCCCCGAGCUCGCCCUCCCCCAGGCCCGUCCCCCUCGCCGGCGCCGGCGCCGCCCCCGCCCCCGGCUCCGGCUCCCUCCGCCGCGUGGCCCACGGCGCCCCCCCGCCCGGCGACGCGGAGCGGCCGCUCCUUCCCUCCGCCUCCGCCGUCGCGUCCGCCAUCCGCAGGGCCUCGAGCUCGCCGGUGGAGUUCGCGCAGCGGGUGGAGCAGGACCAGAGGGGCGGCCUGGUGCUCCCGAGCCCCGACUUCCAGCGGCUCUGCCUCGAGCAGCUCGACCUCUUCCGCCGGAUCGUCCAUCCCGAUGCUCUCCUCUCGGUCCGUUCCUCGGAGCUUUUGAGCCUUUUUUUCUGCUUCCGGUUUUGCUUAGAAAGUCGAGAUCGUUGUCGUUGAAUCGAUGAGUUUUUCAAUGUUAAUGAGGAGUGUUCGAUUCGAAUUGGAGCAGGUCUAUGUGAGGCCGGCUGGUAGUUAUGUGAUGGACCGCCUAGAGCUGCGCCGCGUCGCUGCUCAUCCGGAAUCCAACGCGAAUGAGUCUGACAUUGUUAUUUUGGUUGGAAAUUUCAACGUUGCAACUGGAUUGCGCGUUGCUGAAGCCGCACUUUCUAACCAACAAGUAAAUGAUCAUUUUUGUUGCUCAGUCCUUUUAUUGCCAUUUGCUCCAAUUUCUUUCUUUUUAGGGGCUGGAAGUUAGUUAGUGGAUUACCUUGUAGGUUGAAGAGAUACCGGAGUCUCGGGCGGUGGUAUUUCCGAUGGUGAAGCACCCUUUUGUAGUCGGAUUCUUGGUUGCCGAGUUUCCUAUGAUGGAAGAGCAGGAUACUUUGCAUUCGCUAUCUCCGGAGGACGUGUAUGCAUUGCCGCCUUCGGGACAUGAAUUGAAAAUGAGGGAUACUCCGAGUGUAAAGGAUAUGAAGGUCGGAAUGCGCCAGUUGAGCCCUGAGCAGAGAUCAAUUGCUGUCAACAUCUCCCGUUCUAUUGCAAUGGCCUAUGUCAUGGAUCAGGUACAACUGUUCAGCUAAGCCGGUUUGCCGCUCUCUUUUGUAACUGGAUACAUAUGGAUUCUAUGUGUCCUGUUUCUAUGUAUAUUGCAUAAAGAAAGUGCAUGCCGAAUCUGGACACCAGGGAUGUGGGUUAGUUGUCUAGUCUGCUGCGGCAACGACUGUUAAUCAUGAGUGACACCAAUCCUUUUGACAAAUUUUUUUGAUUAUAUUAUUUUUCUAUAUUUUGGGCCAUUUUUUUAUAAUAUGCUUCAGUCACUACUUUGGUAAAACAGCAUCUACUUCUGUAUUGCAUAAUCCACCGUAGCUGCAUAGGCAUGCAUGGUCUGUGCAGGGAGCAAUUUGAUUUUUUAGUUGCUCCGUGGAUAUCUAGAGGGGAUUUACAGCAUUUUCUGCUACCUAGAUUAGAUCAUUGCACUUUUUUCACUAGGCAGUCAUAUUUUUAGGUUGUCAUGCUUCAUUUUCCAGUGGAAUCCUGUGAUUUACAUGUUAGUCAUGCUAUAUCGCACUCUUAAUUAGGGUGUUUGGAUAAGAUAUAUCCUCCAUGGAGAAUAUGCUAAAAGCUUGACCUGUUUGUAAUCUGGUAUUUAUCAGGAGCUUUACUAUUAAUGCCCUUUUAUUUUGGUAGAUAUAAUCACCUGCUAUUUGCCCUUCAUAUACCUGAACGGCUUGUUGGUUGCUUGUAUGCAUAACAUGUGAUCAGCUUGCCUCACUGUAGCUCUGACUUUACUUCCUGCAUAUUUAAAUUGAACUAGUCCUUAUUGUGUGCUGUUCAACUGAGAUUGCUCCUGCUUGCGUUUGUUGCCCAACAGAAGGCAAUGUUGCUCCAGCAAUCUUCCUGGCAAAAUAACGUCCGGAUGAGCAACUUAGUGGAGCAGGUAAGAAGGAUCAUCUGGCAUCAGCAUGUGUUACUUGAAGUGAUUGUUAAGAAAUGUAAUGUUUGAAAGUUUACACAGAUUCGUGGUCCUCUGUCGAGCAUUCGAAGUUUGACAAAAAUGCUGUCUCUGCACAUGAAACGAAGUGAGGUUUGUGUAUUUCACUUCUUUCUUUUCCCCCCUUUCUGGCCUGAAAUUCUACAUCUAAAAGACAUAUGGUUGCAGAUUUCCCAUGACAUUGUUGAAGACAUCUUGGUGCAAGGUGAUCGAAUGCGAGAUACUCUUCAACAACUUCAGGAUGCAGUAUACUUUACAAAGGUGCACGCAUCAUUUCCUUUGACAGUUGUCCUUUUCUGGACACAGAAUUGUCAUUUUAGGUUUUCAUCUCUUGAUAUAGACCACUGCUGUUUAGUAGUAGGUCACAGUGAUCAUGUAGAGUGGAGUUGCUCGCACGUGCUUGCUCAUUGACAUCUCUGUGACGCAUAUAAGUUUCUCAUGGAGGACAAAAUGUAGUAAAAGGUGGAUGGAGUUGAUUAAUAUGGCAUUUGCAAGCCUUUGUAUAUGUUUAAGGUUUUUUUUUGUCCUGUUCUCUAACCAUGUUAGAACACUUCUUGGUGAAGCAUGAUAUGCUUCUUCUAUUGUAGACUUAUCUACUUCUACAGAUGUAUCUGUUGAUCAAUUUUUGCCAACCUUCAGCACCCCCUCAGUCACCAGUGCUUUCCACUUUGGUAGAGUCAAAAAGUCAUUUAACUCUGUCAAUCUUUUUGUAUGCAGUAAGAGAUGUGCCCUUUCUGUUAAUGUAGCUGACCUCUACAAAAUCUGCAGUUCAAAGUUACUGUUACAAUUUUACAAAUAGACAAAACUUAGCUAUUCAUGUUCUGUUGGUAUUGCAGAGACUGUCAGCCUAACAAUUCAUAUAGCUGGCAAUAGAUCUGACUCUUUUCAUUUGAUAUUUCUCAGGCUAACAUAAUGCGGUACAAUGAAGAAACAUUAAAGAAAGUGCACAACUCAACCUAUGCCCAUCCUGGUUCUGGAAGGUCUCAAUUGACUGAUAAUAUUCAAAGCGAAUUUUCAAAAGGUGAUCGGUUCUCUCAGAAUUCUGCUGUGAAAGAUUUAGAGUUGCCAAUGCCACCUCUUGCUCUUGCACCUCUUCAACAACAUGGAAUCAGGUAAUUAUAUUCCUUAAGCUGGACCAGAUGCUUCCAUUAUUCUGAGAGCAAUUUCUUCUUGCUUUUUAUAUGUGAAUACUGUAGUUUCUGUUCAUCAUUUGAAUCUCUUCUGCUAGUAAUGCUAUAACAGGCUAGCUUUAGACCUACAUAUGAAUAUAUGUAACUAACUAUCAGUAAGUAACUUCAUUUAUGGCUUUUACCUUUCAUAGGCGAUGAUUCGAGCUGACAAAUGUGUUCUUGGAUGAAGAUUUUACUAUUCUAAGGCAAUGAAUUUCUAUAUGUGCAUCAAGAAGCAACACUAGUUACAGUUACAAUUUCUUAUAUUAGGUUGUGCUUUCCUUAAUUUGAUUUAUGUGCAUUAGUACUUCUGGAUGUACACUGAUCACCACCUUCUCUAUUUUUUUUAGAAUGACACUCAGAGAGCAUAUAUAUAUAUAUGUCAACCUGAUAACUUGAUACCACCGGACCUUACAAGUUACAAGUCUGGUUACUAAUUUUCGUAAGAGCAUGGCUGAGAGAACUGAAAUUGGACUCGUGCACAAGAUGGGAAAGAUACUCGUUGCUUUUUAGUGACAUUCAACUAUUUAAAGGAAACUUGACCACUUUCAUCAUGACAUCUUAAAGUUGUUGAUUAAGUGUGGAGGUUCUCUAGCAACAGAGCUCGUGAUUUCAUUACUUUUGCAGAAAUUCAAUGUUUCAAUGGAAAUAAUCGAAAUGGAUAAAUCUUUGUACAGUGCUUUCUCAUGGAAUUAUCUCAUUUUUCUCAUUUUACGUUAAUCCACCUGAUUAUCCCCUAAUGCCCUUUCUUCUUGUCAGGAAGACCGUGCAAUGUUUCUGAUGUGCUCUCGGACCUCGUCGGUGCCAUAAGACCUCUUGCCCGUAAUCAGCAACGUGUGGUAGAGCUAAGUGAACUUUCACAACCCUUGCAAGUUGCCAUAGAAGAACCUGCUUUCCGCCAGGCUCUGAGCAACUUGAUCGAGGGUGCAUUGUUGCGUACGCAUGUUGGGGGAAAGGUUGAAAUAGUGUUAACAGUAGCACCAGCAGGUGGUGCUCUCGUGGUAAUUGAUGAUGAUGGGCCCGAUAUGCAUUACAUGGUAUGUGCAAAGAGUUCUUACCAUUUCUUAUCUCAAUUUGUGAAUAGCUCAUCGAAUUUCUGGUUUUGGCUUGUAUAGAGGUAUGUGGUUAGAGCUUAAUUGUUACAAAUAUUACUAGCUCUGUUCUACAUUAAUAAUUUCAUCACUCGUUUAGUAGUUUAUUUAGGUCUGUUUUCAUAUAAUCCCUUUGAACCUUAUAGCUUAAAUAUGUUAGUUUGACAGUCUAACAAAGUAUAAAAGGCAAGUUUUAGGGUGUGUUUGUUUUACCGAAAACUUCAUGAUAAAUUAAUUUUUCCUUGAAUAUAAUUUUCAAGAAAGAUAGUUUUAAUUUGUUUGGUGACUAAGGGAAAGUGAUUCCUUUCCUGCCAAAAGGGGAAGACAUUUUCCCCCAAUCUAAAUUUGUUGUUUUCAGUCUGUGGAAAAUGUUUUCUAUGAUCUAUUAGUUUUUCCAUCAUCCAAACACCGGAAGGUUGGAAAAAUUUUCCAAAAACAAUUUUCCUUCAAGCAAGUGGCCCCUUAACUCUUUAUACCCUCAUUUAAUAUUUCAUUGAAGUGGGGUUCUUUUCUCUCUCCAUCCAAUCUGCACAUGAGAGAAGAUACUAAAGUAUCUCAUAUCUGGUCUGUGGGGUUUGUCUGGGCCUUAUACUGAUGGUGUCUCCUUUUAUGUCAUAGCUUAAGAUGUUGGGAGCUUAAGAUGUUGGGUUUGAUGUUAAUUAGUUUUGGUUAGUAGUAUCUGAAACUGAAGAAUUGACUACGGGAUUGUUAUUGUCGAUCAGAAAGAGGUGGCUGGGACAUAGUGCAAGUGGACGUAUGUUAGUAAUACAUGGAAAGCCUUCCUUAAGCGUGCAUUCUUGGUAAAGAAAGAGAUGUUUCUAUGAUUUGGGUUUUGGGAGUGAUAUGCAGGAUUUAAUAGUUUUUACUGUGUUAUCAGGUGUAUUGUGCUAAUACUUCACUAAUUGAAUUGAGGCACGACAGAAGCAUCAAAUCUAUUGUUACAUAAGAGUUCUGGUGGUAUUAGGUAUAUUAAAAAUAUAUUUUAAAAGAGACCCUGGAUGGAAAUUGAUAGUGAGAUGCUAGUCUGGACAAUUUUGCACAGUAGGAUCUUGCAUGCAAUCUGUAGAGAUGGGAGUAAAGACAUCUGGUAAAUACUCGCAUGAAAUCAAGGAAUCACUCUUUUUUUUUUCCUGGGUUUGUACCACAAUUUAUACUGUCGAUAAUGAAUAAAUCGCCGUUGCUCACUCAAUUGCUUUCCGUGGGUUUAUACCUUCAAUUUAGGCUGUCUAAUCCUUGUUUUCGUCCUUUUUGUGUUUGCCUACAGACACAAAUGCACUCACUGACACCAUUUGGGUCAGAUCUUUUCUCCAAAGAUAUGGUUGAAGACAACAUGACAUGGAACUUUGUAGCGGGGCUCACCGUUGCUCGUGAGAUACUCGAGAGCUACGGCUGUGUGGUCCGCGUGAUAUCACCACGGACCCCUGAUGCUGCCCUUGGUGCUGGUGGAACUCGCAUUGAGCUAUGGCUUCCCUCUUUUGCAUCUGUAUCCCAUCCAGAAAGCCCUGCGCAGGAAGUUUAGCAAGAAUGAAUCGGUCUCUCUCAAUAUUAGUAACCGAUAUGGCAGGUUUCGCCUUUCAACUACUUCCCACUUCUGAAAUACGUGGGAGGUCCUGUACAGAGGGUUUAGUCUUGUUCUGAUAUAGGCCGUGACAAACUUGCAUAAUAAACAUGCUAUGUAGGAGAUUCACAGCUCUCCGAUCAAUCAGAAACCCAUAGAUCAUACAGCAUACGUGGUAGAUAGUGAUGUGAAAUUCAAAGAAGGUGAUGUAUUGAGCAAGUUUACGUCUGUACCAGUUCCGCAAAACUAGAAAGUCGAAAUCGCUCUGCCACCAUUGUCAUCUAUCGAGGUGGUCAAAGCUUGGUUGUCGGUUGUCAUGAUGUGAGAACUACUAUUAUUAAAGAAGGGCAGGUUGUGGUAUUGGCUUUUGAAUGAAUUCUCCGUCUCAUAGCAUUUUGUGACACAAUUACGCGAUAACGAGUGGAUGUCGAUGUUGAGAAACCUGCAGUGUUAUUCCCCGCGAAGAUGCGGGGAAUUUUACACUCCUCGCGUGGAAUAUAUUUGGCUCAAGCCGAGCCCGACCCACGACUUUGCCUCUGCUGAGUGCAGCGGGAUCUGUAAUCGAUUAAUUUUGCACGGAAAAGCCUGUGCGCUCUUUGGCGCAAAGCAAAUUGGCUAUAAGGAGCAAGGUUUUCAAGUCCGACAUUGUGAGCCUUUGGCAAGACAUUGGAUCGCUUCAUAUGCGAAGUCAAAGGCGCAAACUGGACGGACAAUAAAGCCCGGGUUCGAACUCGACGUGCGGCGAUCAUCGCGCUCCAAUUGCUCGAGCAGGACGAUAGACCGUCCAAAUCGAAGUCAACCCUUUUGGCCUUUAGAAAAAAAAAGAGAGGAGAGAAUGGUCAAGUCAAAGUCCAAUGCGCGCCAAUUUCGCUAAGAGGAGUGCAUCUCGUGGAUGCGCCGAUCGCGGGGCCUAACUUUGAAUGUGCAGCCAAAAGAAAUGUUUCUCUUCUUUGCAUUGCGGAAACAGAAACUGCCCAACUUUUGACCCUUCUACUGGGUUUGGGAAGUGGGCGAGGGGGGCCAAAAUGAAAAGUGGAUGACGAAAUUCGGGUGAGAAUUACAAUUUUUUCAUUGUUUGGGAGCUCUAUUUUAAAGGUAUAGAGAUCCAUUUUCCAUUUAGCUGCUAAACCUUCAACUUUUAAGAAAAUUACUUUUCACGCCUCCUUUUCCACGCAUCCCGACCUUUUGAGGUUUUUAAAGUACAGUUUUUUUAAGUCCUUCAGAUUCCGCAGUCGAGCAAUUUUGGUCCUCUAAACUGUAUUUGCUCAAUCGAGUCUUUUAACUUUCCAGAUACGCGAGAUUUGGUCCUCUAUGUUUUAUAUUGGUCCUCAAUCGUGAUUUUAAGCCAACCCGAGAAAAGAACAAACCAUGCGAAAUCGAUUGGAGAUAGAUUAUAUUUUAUGGGGAUCAAAACGAGACAUCUCCAAAGCUGACGGGUGCAAAAUGCAAUUAGCCCAAUGCCAAUUCUCUCUCGGUCAAGUCCACGCAAGACUUGCUAAACUCAAUACAAAUUUGCUUUUGCGAACGCAAAGUCAACGCUUUGUUUCGGUCCUAGGUUUACCAAUCCUCUCAAUUUAGGUACUUCUCCUCAUAAAUUCCCGCGAAUAAAUCAAAGUUUUAGAAAGACAGAAAGCUUUUCCUCUUACAUUCUGGUACAGGCCAUGAUGAGUACAUGACCAGAUCAGCCUGAUUUCGCCACCCGGGAAGAUGCCGUGCCAGGAGGGUUUGGGACAUGGUACAUGGAAUGACUUCUCAUACCAUGUGCACAAAAUCCGAUGACCAACCCUUUCUUCUUCCCCUUAUCGCACAGAAGUUCCGUGUUAAGUAAGGCCCACGAGUAAAUCUGAUGAACCAAGUCGGACGCAAGUGGGGAUUCCAGUCGAUACCCUAACUAAGCACUAAAUCGAUUUACUGAAUGACGCAGCACUUAUGUCGAUUAGUUAGCUGCCCCGUUCAGGCAUUCGAUGAGAAUCCGUGGCUGCGCACGCCGCCGAGCAAACUGAUUUCAUCGGCGAGUCGUAAUUUCAUGGUCGGGCGCCUCUAGUCUCGUGACGUCGAAACACACAAACAUCUUAAAUGUGCAAUUUUCACGGGAGGAGCAAAGUUUGGUACCAGACCCAACAUUGGGGAAGCCAUUUGGAUUCGGCAAAAGGGAAGUGGGAAGACAGAGACCAAAACCAAAACAACGGUGGUCAAAGUUUGGCAGCCAAGCACAAUGGUUGGUACGAGUACUUUCACUGCCAUAAGAUUUCACUUGUAUUCCCGUCAAAUCCAUUUGAUUUUGGAGCUUUGGAUCUGCUCGGAAAUAGAUUGAGGGACACAUGGUUCAAUCAUGAAAAGGUACAGCCGAGGCCCAAGCCACCCACCGACCGAGGCAAAAUAUGAACAUAUAAUAAGGGGAAAAAAAAGAAAGAAAAAAUACAAAAAUCGUUAAUGCUGGCACGGGCUAAUUAGAUCCUCACUCUAGUGUUUUCCAAUCUAUAUUGACCGGAUGGAUUAUAUUCGAGAAACGUUGAUAGGUUUAGGACUCUUAAGGCGAAACGAGAAGAAAAGGAAAACCGAAAAGAAAAUCAUGUGCAUAUUAGGUGAUUAAUUAACCGAGUGACUUGAUUGAAUGCAUGCCUAACCUUUUCAACGCAUGCAGUCGCCAUUCAAUGCCAUGCAUCUGCAUCGCCCGUUCAGUUAAAUUCGUUUCCCUUCCCAUCGCCUCCCUCGUCCGUCUCGAAGCUCGUCAAGGAAAAACAACGAACGCCGAAUCCGACGUUCUUUCCCGUCGCAUCCCGCCAUCGAACAGAGUCCUUCCUCCUACUCAGUCCUCGUUAGAUUCGCAUCUUUGCUCUCUCCCGAGCACAGUAUCGUCGUCCGGCUCCUCAGAAGCUGAGGGACCGCUGUUUUGCCGGCGAACGGCGGUUUCUUGAUUGCUCCAUGCAGCCGCCGCUCCAGUCUUGUUCCCGAGGAACGUCGUCGAGAAGAGGUCGGGAUUGCGACCCUUGAGCCGGAGGUCUUCCACGUCUUCACGACACGAGAACGAGGCGUUGAUGGUGAUUUUUUCUUUUUCCGAAAGAUGUGUUCUAGUAUUGGAUGAGCUGUGUGAAAGUCAACUUUUGGAGCUAAAAUUCGGCUGUCCAUGUCGUCGGUUUAGCUAAGUUUAGCACGUUUGAAGUUCGUCUGCUGGAAGCAUGCGGAUCAAUUCAUUCGUGUGCUUACUUAGUGAUUGUUGUCACGAAAUCACGUCCCCGAUCCGGGUUCAUUUAUGCUGCCGUAGAUACGUUAAAAUUAUUGGGUUUUGCUGUUCAGAGCUAACUUCGUGCUUAGGUUCGAUGCAAGUGGGACGUUUUUGAGCUCAUUGUCUUCAGUUGGACGCAAGGGUUACAUGUUUGCAUGAGCGGCAAUAAAUCAGGAUUCAAUUCAGGGGAUAUGGCAUUAUUAUAUUGGCUGCAGAAAUUUCGUCUUGAAAAGUGGCACGCGGUUGCCUUCAGUUGGAGUCAACUUAUUUCUGGAUCGGAACCCGGAAGGGCUGAAGAGGGUUCAAUUGCCAAGGUCAAAAAAGGAUCAAAGGCACAUGUUUGCUUGUUCAUAAAAGCAAACUUUUCGAGCACAUGAUUGCUUGCUCCUUCAAUCACUCGUGCAGAUCUCUAAGAGAAGUCGUUUCGCUUCUGGUGUGAGUGAUGAGUGUCGAUGGGAAGUCUGAAUUCUUGAGCUUUACAUUUUCCCCUUCAGCAUUAUGGGAUAAAUCUUUAGCUUUAAGUGGGAUUGAAGGACAAGAGGGAGAGGGAGACAAUUUCUUGUUCGAAUGAAGUGGGAACGCCUUAAAGCGCAUCAGAGUAGAGAUGCUGGCGUGAAUUGGGCAAGGGGUCUUUAAGGCAACUUGUCAUCUGCUUAAUCUUUCCUUUACUUCGCUUUUGUGCAUGUUCUUGUAUGCUUUUGAUGAAUUAAUGCAGCCUGAGUAGGUUUAGGUUGUAAUAUGAUCUUAUGAUGUCACUGCUAUAACAUCUCUGUCACAGUCUGCAUGAGUGACUCUGCUUUUUCAAGUUUCAAACCAUAAGUUCUGUUGAACUUAUGCUGUUCUGUACUUUGUUGAAGUACGUGAACCCUUCAAUCUAACUUGCCAGUUUUAAUUGCUGUGUCAUAUCAGGUCCCCUGUACACAUUCCACAAGCAACUUUUUGUACCACUGCAGAUUUGAGAACUAGGGAACUCCAAAUCUGCUGACAAGAGCAGAAGAGUUCUUCCAAAACCCUGUAGCUUACUAGCUUAUUUCUCGAAUGCUUUCUGGGAAGAGUGCAAAGAAAAUGGGGAACUUUUCACACAGGUUACAAACUUUUGGUGCUUUCUCUAUUCUCACUUUUGUAGUUGUAAGAGUGAGUUAAGUCAAGGAUUGUGCCUUUGCCUUCUUUGGCUGCAGUGCAGGCGGUACAAAGCACGGUGGAACGAGGGGUAUAAUAACAACUUUGAUUGGAAUCUUUUUCGGUUUCUUCUUAGGACUAUCGUUUCCGUUGUGGUCAUUAAAUAAGGUAUGUGAUUGAUCACUGCUUUUAGUAGUAGUUCCAAUUAACUAUAUUUUGUAAAGAAAUUUCCAUGUCCAAAUUGGCAGUUUACCCUUUCAUCCAGCCUUCUUCCCAUCCCUGAUCUUUCCAAACAUGAUAACCAACAAAUGAGGCCCCUAACUCAAGUUUCUUCUGAGAAUGGCUGCAACAGCAGCUCAACUGAAGCUCCGAAAGUGAAUGAUACUUCCAAGGUGCAUUUUUUCCCUUCUCUAACUUCAGUGAUCACUGCUCUGUCCUCAUUACGUUUGGAUCGUGGAAUUCGUUUAUCUGAUUUAUCAAGCUCUAGUAAGGUAGUGGACGAAUAUUUAAGAUAGAAAAAAAGCCAUUCAAGCAACUUCGGUCCAUCUUAAAAGUAGUUUUAUUCUUCGUAGGAAGAGGUUGAACACUUCAUCUUAUGAUUUUUGACUUAGAUGGAUUCUACAGAGUCUAAACCCAUGCCAUGCCAUUGCGGAGAACCAAAUCGGCUCGUGUAAUUUAUCCUUGUUCCGAUUUCCUUGUCAUAAUCUACAUAGUGCCCACGGCUAAAGUUAAUCUAUCCUAUUUUGAUGGGUAUUUCAUGGCUCAAACAAAUAUCAGCGUCUUUUGCAUUUUGCUAGUGGCAGGGGUACCGAUCUGUCAAUUUCCCUUCUUCUAGCAAAAGAUCUUUGUAGUUCCCAGGAAUUGAUAAGACAGCAGAGGAGCAUUUUGUUGCUGACUGUAAAUGCUGCUUACUCUUUGUGGGAGCAUAUUCAUUUGCACAAUGCAUAGAGCCGGGGGGGUCUUUCACCAUAGAUCCAGCCCUUGUCAUCCCAGUGUUAUAGCCCGGUUUAAACUUUUUUCGAUUAAAUUGAAGUUUUGCUCCUGAUCUACUGCAGAUUUUGGUCCAAUCAAAGCCAAGAGGUGCAGAAAAAUUGCCACCGGGAAUAAUAGCUGCUGAAUCAGAUUUUUAUUUGCGUAGAUUGUUUGGAGACCCCAAAGAGGUAUGCAUUCUAGCAUGCAAGGUAGCUAGCACCCCAAAUUUGCAGAAUAAGCAUCUGGAUAUUCUUCAAGAAUAUUUUGCAUAGAAAGAACCCUUUUUUAAGAGGAGAGUACAAAUGUUUCUAGCACUAAAGUAGAAGACGCAGCUCGAGAAUUAUCAAUGAUCUGCUUUAACAUCUUCAUCAAUGGAAAAGCUUGGAUGUUACUUCUUGUGAAGUUACUAAUUAGAACUUCGCCACAAUUUAGUAGUACUUCCGAGCCACUGAGAUAUGUCUGGCUGAUGUAUCAAAGAUGACUAACACUAUGUUGAAUUUGAUCUUUUGGUGAAAUUGCUCUGUGCAGGACUUGACUUUCAAACAGAGGUAUCUGGUAACCUUCACUGUUGGUUAUAACCUGAGAAAUAAUAUUGAUGCAGUAGUCAAAAAGGUGAGAGCCCUCUUGGUUAUGCGCAUGUGCAUUUUCCGUAUGUAUUUAUAUCCAAGUUCAUAAGCUCGAUAUCUCUACUUCUCCCAUCAGUUUUCAGAGAACUUCACCAUUCUUCUGUUUCAUUACGACGGGCGAACAACAGAAUGGAAUGAGUUCGAGUGGGCCAAGCGAGCCAUACAUGUGAGUGUUCCAAAGCAGACAAAAUGGUAGGAAGCGCUGUUCUUUUCAUUGUUGAGAUUGAAUUUGAUGAUCUUUCUACAGAUCCUAUGUCUUCAACUGCCUGUUUAUUUUGGCCUAGGUGGUACGCCAAGAGGUUCUUACAUCCUGACAUCGUGGCUCCUUACGAGUACAUAUUUAUAUGGGAUGAAGACCUAGGAGUUGAGCAUUUUGAUGCAGAGGAGUGAGUACAGAAUAUGGCUUCUUUGUAUAUGACUAUGUUAUAUUAAUUGGUCUUACCUGUGCUAAACAUGGUAAAUCCAGGUAUCUAAAAUUGGUGAGGAAGCAUGGCUUGGAGAUAUCACAGCCUGGCCUGGAACCUGACAGGAAGUUGAACUGGUUGAUGACUAAAAGAAUAAAUGGUAGUGAAGUUCACAAGUAAGUCUGAUAAGGCCUCCAGAAAUAAUCAUCUGUAAUUCCGAGGCAGUCGACUAAUGUUGCGUUUCAACCAGGAAAGUAGAAGAACCACCAGGCAGAUGUCGUGACCCACAUCUGCCCCCAUGUGCAGCGUAUGUAUGACUUAGAUCGUCAACUUCAUUUUUGCUUGCUGCAAUUUACGUCUCUUCUACUUCGUUCUUGCGCCCUGAUGGGAAAAUAUGGACUGUCAUGCUCCGCUUACGCAGGUUUGUUGAGAUCAUGGCUCCGGUUUUCACAAGAGAGGCAUGGCGCUGCAUAUGGUAUUUGCUUCAGGUAUGACAUCCGACCAUACUGCACCAAAAACACAAGCACCUUCUUUACUGAAAUGUGUAUUUUCCUUUAUCUGGGAAUCUACAGAAUGACUUGGUACAUGGAUGGGGCUUUGACCUUGCCCUGAGGAAAUGUGUAGAGGUGAGGCUGUGCCUAUACUACUCGCAAUUUCGACAUCGUCUGUUAUCCGUACAUAGCAUAAUCUUCACGAUCUCUAUUUGAACAGCCUGCGCACGAGAAGAUAGGAGUAGUCGACGCUCAGUGGAUCGUGCAUCAGUCAUUUCCUUCGUUGGGUAACCAGGUAAGCGAAAAAACAGAGCAGUCACUGCAUUGCCCCUUCACUAGCGGUCUUCUUAGGAAAGCCAGCAUUACCAUGUUCUUUCUUCUCAUUGAGCUGAUACAAUUUGCUUUGCGGGGAUCGUUUCGCAGGGCGAAUCACGAAAUGGAUCGGCUCCAUGGCAAGGGGUAAGUCAGUUCUAAAUCCUCCUGAACUUACGCUUCGGACCAUUCGAAUUCACCUGCCUUGUGCUUCGAUGGCUCGCAAUUGCAGGUGAGGGACAGAUGCGGGAAAGAGUGGGCGAUGUUCAACAGCCGAUUGAGAGACGCCGAAAUCGCUCAAGAACGGGCAAACGGCGGUCCGUGAUCCUCCCCAAACUAAAAGACACGGUAGCGCACAUUGCAGCAGCAGAAUGUUCUGCAGAUACCAAAGUUACACACACCAGAAACCUCAAAUUUUCUUAGGAUCCUCGGUAAUUAUGAUUGUCCUUGUACCAUAGCAUUACUCAGCAUAAACAGCCUCACAUCGUUAAAAUUACAGAAUUCAGUUCCCUGUUUUUAUAGAGAGCUCUCAGCAUGCCAAUUUCCUUUGGAGCUGUAAUAAAGAUGUUAUCAGAAGUUUCAAAAACACUGGCUGAUCCAUCGCAAGGUGAUACACCUGUUUACGAUUCCAAUAAUCGAAAUUUCUCGAGGCACAUCGAUCGACGGAUAUCUAAGAAGUUCUCCUUAAGCCGGGGCCGGACCACACGAACCCAAUUCUCCAUGGUAUAAGAUUGUACUGUCCAAAUUAUUCACUGCGCGACUCUUUUUCGAGCACUCGAUUGAACCCGACACCUCAUAAUCUCAUAAAAUCAGAGAGAUAAGUCACAUCUUAUCAUGAUUUAGAUAAUGUUUUACCGGGAAAUCAAGAAGCUUCCGCUCAAUAAACAAAUUCGCGACCCGCCAAGUGGCGCCUCCCCAUUGGCCCUCCUCCUGCUGACAAAGAGGGCCACGUGUCGCGCACCGUCCGCCGUAACUAUCAUGGCCGAAACGCGCGCCCACGGUUUUCCGGGGGGGGGGGGGGGGGCAACACCCUUUCCUUUCCCCAAGGACCCAGUUCCCCCCCCUCCCCUUUCUCGGGCUCACACGUGUUCGCCACGUGUCGCGCGCCGAGCCAUCCGUGGCGGUCGGGAGCCGCAGCCAUUUAUGCGCUGUGGCGAGUUCAUCUGCUUCCCCCCCAUCGGGCGUCGUCGCAGCGUCAAAACCUGGUCCUCUCGCCUCCACUGAAGAAACCAAGAAGAAGAAGAAGAAGAAGAAGAAGCAGCAGCAGCAGCAAGAGAACGUCAAUGGGGCUGUCGAGCUUUCCGGUGGCGGCGGAAGGGCUACUGCCUCUGCUCGUGAUGAACGCGGCCCUCUCGGUGUCGCACGUCAAGAGCACCUGGAGGUACCUCCUCGACGCCAUCGCCGGCGGCGUCCCGGCCUCGGCCUCGGCCGCGGCGGAAGCCCGGGACCCCGCGCCCCCUCGCGGCGGCGGCGGCGGCGAGGGGGGAGGAGGAGGAGGAGUGGCGCGGAGGAGGAGGAGGAGGAGGAGGGUCCGCGUCAGGCGGUUCGAGACGCCGGCGGGGAGCGAGUGCGGCGGCUCCUGCUGCGUGUGCCUGUGCCGGUUCGAGGCGGAGGAGGAGGUGAGCGAGCUCGACUGCAAGCAUUUCUUCCACCGGGAGUGCCUCGCCAGGUGGUUCGACAACGGCCACCGGACCUGCCCUCUCUGUCGCUCCGUUCUCUGAAGAAGAAAGGGUUUUACGACACAGAGAGAUUGCUGACGUCCUUUUUCUUUUCCCGCGCGAGUGAUGCGGUUUUCGCUUCUCCGUCGCGUUCCCGUUUGCGUUUUUUUUUUCGCUUCUUCUCCUUUGUUUUUGCCCCUUCACGUUGGUGUUUCCUCUUCUGUUUUUUUUCCCUCGGACUGUCUCGAGACAGGAUUAGUAGGGAUUUCUCUGGCAGAGCUGCCGGACAUAAUAAGAAGCUGAAGGGGUUUUCGACUUUGAAGUUUUGCGUACUUCGCCUGUGUUUUUCUUCCCUGAACUAACGCGCGAGGAAAUCUGACGAGAACUCGACCUCGAAUUCGCGCUCUGGUCCGACCUCUAAGACAGGACUUGCUCGAGUCUUGAAACGGUACUAACCUCGUGAAAUGUUCUUACGUUUCAGACGAGGUGUGCUGGAUCUCGGAAGCAAGAAGAACGUCAGAAAACCUGCGAGUCCGGAAAUGUAAAUGUUGCUAAAAACUAAAAUGCAGAAGAUUAGACUGAACCGACAGAUAUUUGCUCCAGAUCAAACUGUUUUACCCUGGUAUUUGCGGCAUACUACUGCUACUCCACUGGUAUUCACGAACAAAAUGGCUAAAAGGGAUAGAAAUUUAUGCAAGCAAUCAGAGAGACUUAAGACAACAGUAGAAAUGUGAAGGGACUCAAUAGCGAGAAACCGAAAGCCAAUGAAUGUUUACCACCGCCAUGACGGUUGGUCGAGUGGUCUAAGAUUUUGAUUCGUCAGCCAGAGGUUACGAGUUUCGAUUUGCCAGUCCGCCCUCGAUUCUAGGGUUACUUUGUUUAGUCUGCGAAGGACGUGCCUUGGCUUAUUAGGUGGAUCGCCGAUCCUGCGCUGCAUUGCGGUGGGACAGCAGUGACCAACUUGCCUAGAGGCAGGAACCAACAUGGUUCAAGAAACCCCUUUUUUGUUCAGUAAAACAGAAGCUGACGAAAGAUUUAGGUUGGGUUUUGGCAUCGAUUGAGCAUCACGAAUGGCCACUUGUUCUCCUCCCCAAACACCAUGUCGACGGCUCGACAGCCGUCUUCUUCUUUAAUCUCUAUAUUUAUACUCUUAUUUUGGAACGUACUUCUCCUUCCAGCUACUUGGACGAGCUCCCCACCAGGUCCUCCCUCCUCUCUCUCUCUCUCUCUCUCUCUCUCUCUCUCUUUUUCUUUUUUAUUUUUUAAAUUAAUUAUUGGAAAAAAGAUAUUUUCUGAGCAUAUGAGCGAGGGGCCCACCCACCGAGCCGUGAAAUUCUCCACUGUCCAUAAAGCAUGGGGAACUUUUUGUUCAUGUAAAUCUUUCGUAAAUUAAGUGCUCAUUGUUCUUCUUUUUUAAGAGAUUCUACUGUCGAAUUCGUCAACCGGCAUGAUGGCGUGCAAUUUACCCCACUUUUCUCAUUGACUUUUUAACUACUACAUCGUGGCGAGUCUGGCGACUGCUGAUGCAAUUUUUAAAAAAAAUUAAUAGUACAAAUGUCUUAAAUCAUAAAAUAAUUUUGAUUGGCAGAAUAACACUACAAAAAUAUUCAAAAAAUGUUUGUAGAGAGGGUGGGAGAGAGUGGGAACGCCACCGCCACUAGCCGAACCUCGAAAUCUUUUCACGCUUUAGUUUUCGCUACGUCACCAUUCGUCGACUUGUUUGACAUCCAAUAUCAGAUUCUCUCUAAAUUUGAGUAGCUAUAAUAUUUUAGUGUGUGUAUAUAUAUAGUUUUCACCACAUUAGCUAUCGUACUACAAUGAAAUAUUUCUUGUGAAGAAAGAGUUUCAUUGCACGUGAUCUGAAUGGGGGAAAAUGGAUGUGUUCCUUGGAUUCUCGAUAGCAUUUUUCUACUUCAGCGUUUGCUUUUUUACUUAUGAAUUAUGUCCACUAAAACUUUUGAUUUACACGGUUCAAGUCUUAAGAGGCAUAUACUUUGAUUUUCUUUCAAUUUUAGACACUGAAAUUUGUUAUAUUAUAUAAAUACUAAAAUUAAUAAUUUUGUGGAAUUUAAAUAUUAUUUAUAAUUUUGACGAAAUAUUUUUAUAAGUUGUGCAUAUGAGCCAAUAAGAGCACUUUUGGUAACGUUUUUGUUCUUGAGAACGAUUUCUCAUUAAAAAUGAUUCUUUUUAAUUAUGUUUCCAAGAACAAUAUCUAAGCAUUUUAAGUCAUUUGAUGACUGUCAAAAAUUUUAAUUCUUAAAAUAGAAUUUCGUUUGACACUAUUCACAAAAUUUCUACUUCAAAUAAUUUUCUUUUAAUUUUAAAAUAAUUUUAUUACUUUUUUCCUUUCUUCUUUUCUUUUUUUUUUCCUUUCUUUCCCUUCUUCUUCUUCAAGGUUGCUGGUCGCUGACCUUAAGAUGUUCAGCGACCAACCAGAUGAGGGCUGGCAACCUCACUGAAGCAUCGCCGGCUCUUAGUGAGGCCAUGCCUUGCUUAGCCAAGCGAGGCUUGCUGGUGGCUAGGGGAGGCCUAGGCAAGGCCUGCCUAGCCACUGGCAAGACUUGACCUUGUCGAUGGUUGGACGAGCCUCUGACGAGCUCGCUAGACCUCACCCUGGCCUGGCGAGCCUCUAACGAGCUCACUGGACCUCACCCAACCAAUUGUUGGCGACUAGCGACGGUAGACAGCGAUAGCGGCAAACGGUAACGACGUCGGCAGUUGAAGAAGAAGAAAGAGAGAAGAACAACAAGAAAAAAGAAAAAGAAAAGAGAGAAAAUAGGUUGGUUGUUUUUUAGAAUUGUUUAUGAGAACAAAUAAUCAACUUUUUUUUACUCCUUGAUUCUGUUCCAAAUCUAUUUCCGAGAACAAAAAAAAUAGAAAUUUAUUCCCAAGAACAAAAAAUUUACUGAACAAAUUUAUAUUCCAAAUCUAUUCCUAUGAACAAAAGAAUAAAAAUUAUCAUUGUUUGACAAGUUGCCAAACAGACUCUAAAACUCACCUCAUAGAGGCAUUAGUUCCUACCCUUGGAAACCGCUAUUGUGUUGCUCUUAAAAUUGCAUUGAGCAACCAUUGCAUCACAUGCCACUAUUGUAGGUGAUGUCCCAAUCUGAUUAUUAUUUUUUUUAUAUUUCAAUUUAAAGUUUUUUAAUAUGGUUGAGCGAUAGUCCCUCAUAUUUCAGGCCAAAAUCACAUGAUGUUUUUUAAUAUUAUACAAGGUCUUACUAUAACAUACAAUAACGUGUCUUACCGAAGGUCAGUAAUCAUAUGAAAUUUUUUAAUAUCACGGGACAUUUUACCAAGUAUUCAAUAAUCAAGACGUACUUAAGGCCAAGAUCCUUAUACUUUACUUUUUAAAUAUUUUCCAACGUCUUGUCCAAAAAUGUUUUGUGGUACUUUAGGUCAAUCAUCGCAUGCCUUAAUAUGUUAAACGAUGUAUUGCCAAUGCAUAUGACACUCACCCAUACUUAAAAUGAAAAUCUCAUACAUUAACUUUUAAUAUUAAACAACACGAUUAGAUUAGAAAAAUAUAUACCAAUUUAUCUCAUGCUAUCAUAAAUUAUGAAUUAUUUUCCAUGCAAAGGUACAACGCUUCGUCAUACUCCUGGCAUUGCUGGAUGUUUGGUAGAUCAAUACUGAUGUAUAUCAUAUCUUUGUAAAUUAACAAUUUUAUUUUGUACCAACGAUUUGUGGUAUGUCAAGCUGAAGUUAUAGCAUGCCUUUUAAAAUAAAAAUAAAAAUUGAAAGACAGAUGUUAUGAUAUGAAGAUAUAGGCCAUUUUACCGUACCGACAUUUAUUAAAAGCUUUUAAAAUAUUCGUGUGACGAAUUGUCGUACCUAGGGCGUGAUAUAAACUCAAAGUAUCUUUGCCAUUUAAAAUUUUUAAAAGAAUGCAUGAUGAUAGCUGGUUUUUGGUUGUAUGGUAACAAUGAUAUAACCAUAGGCAAAUACAAUCCGGUGAUCCACAUGGCAUGUCCAAUCAAGCUUCCUCCAUCUCUUUGAAAUUUUCUUCGGUUUUUUCGCUUUGGUAUAAAUAAUCCGCCUUAUUAAUUUUGUCACUGAAUAUUAUUGGGACACUUGAUAAGCAUACUCGGGAAUAAUAUUUUUAUCGACAAUUUACUGACUGUAUAUAACACUGGAAAGACAAUACUUUGAAAUUUUCGAAAUACCUAGGAAAUACCCAGCAAGCUUGCUUCUUAUAUUACCCUCACACAAUCUUGUUUCUCGUAAAAAUUCGAAGAGCAUGGGCUUUUCAUUCGCGAAGUUUUUUUCAAUUUUAUGAUAAUAAAAAUACUUUUUGAUUUGCAAUUUUAUAUUCUAUUAGAAAAAGUGUUUAGUUCAUUGAACUGAAAAUUUCAAAAUAAGAAUAGACAUUUCAAAAGCAUAUAUGAUUUGCAAUUGGAUCCAUCCAUUUAUACUUCUGUCAUUGGUACCCCACCUUCUUAGUUCAUAUGAAAUAUGAAGCCUCUUUUCACUCAUAUAAUUUCUAUAAUAGCAUCAACACUUAAGAAAAAUUUAUAACUAAAAUAAAUUUCACAAUGACAUCUCUGAAAUUAAUUGUCCAAAUAUAUAUUUACAAGAUUCAAAUGCUUCUAUUUUUAAAACAAAAGGAAUAAAAUUUUGGACCUUUUAAAUUAUUCUGCAAAAGUUAAUACCUUGAAAAACCCUAAACUGGUACAAUCGUGACAAAUUUAUCCCAACUAAUUAUAAAAACCUUAAACUAGUACAUUUAUGAUAAAUUUAUCUCAAAUUAAUUUAUUCGACCUCAAAAAACCCCAAACUAAAAAAUUUAUGACAAAUAUACCUUCUUUUAAAUUUGAUUAAUAUCAUAAAAAAAUCACAAAAAUUGUAACUGUAACAAAUGAAACAUAAAAUCCCAAAUUGGUAUACUAAUAAAUUGUCAUGUGUCAUUUAAUUUAAUAAUUUGACAAUAAAACUUAACGAAGACUAACAUACGGUAAAUUUGUUAUAAGUGUACCAGUUUGUGGUAAAUUUGUCAAAAGUAUAUUAGUUUUAGAUUUUUGAUGGUAAAAAAAAUAGUUUGAGAUAAAAUUGUCACAGAUAUACCAGUUUGGGGUUUUUCAGGAUAUUAACCAUUUUUUGAACAAAAGAAAAGGAUUUUGCGAAUUUUUCCAGCGUUUGAUGUACAGAAAAUAAAUCAAUCAAAAACAAAAAAAAUUCGAUCAAUGAAAAAAAAAAAAAAAAAAUUCUUUCACACGAGAAAUCCUCCUCCGCUCCUUCACCUUCCUCUUCUCGCCUGCUUGCUCUUCCACCUCCGUCCGCCUCCCCAGAGUUCGUCCUCCUCCUUCGCCUCUCCGCCUCCGGAGUUUCUCCUUCUUUCCCUCCCGCCUCCGAGGUUGACUAUAUUCGUCCGAUUCGGUGGAUUCACGCCUGUGGAUUAAUCGACCGAAGCUGCGCUCGAUCCUCUCUCUUUCGGUAAGUCGAUUCCUUCGCUUGGAAUUAUUUUAGUUUCUUGGGUUUUUGUUUUAUCAAGAAUUCGUGGUGUGGACUCGUCGAUUUAUAAAGUUUUAGGUUGGUUGAGCUCGGGAUAUUUGAACCAGACAUCGUAAUUCUCUCUGAAAGAUGAAGAAUUCGUGACCAUUUUGAACGGUGGCUUUGCCCCCAUUUUCUCAGUGAUUCGGUUUGGGUGGGUGUUUUUCGCGGUUCGAUUCGAUUUCCAUCUCUUGGAAGUGUUGGUGUCAAAAUUCUUAGAAGUUCAACCCAGGAAGACAAUUUCUUCUAUGAAAUCUUCUAUGGGAGUUAUAGAAGUGAACCGUUAUCGCAUUCUUGCAUACGAGUUCUUUGGCCGUAAUCCACUCUACCUGUUCGAUGAAAUGCCUAAAUGACAUCAGAAUGCAUUCAUUUGUUCUUUAACCUCGCGCGAUUGGAUUAUUAUAUCUUUAGACGUCCACGUUUCUAUGAUAUGAUUAUCCAAUUAGAACUUGGCUCGUUGUAGCCUUAUUAUAGUUUGUCAUUGCUCGAAUUGAUUUGAUGAUUCAUGCCAUUUGUUGACUGAAUGUACGAUUGGAAAAUUGUGUCUCAUAGCUUGCAGAUUUUCUUGAACAGAAUUGAGUGUCCAAAAUGGUGUUUGGAUAUUGCUAUGAUUUCUCUCUAUUUUGAUUCCCUUUCCACUCUUGUAUUCUGAACUCUGAUAAUGGCUUUAGUUGUGUAUAUGUGAUGGCUGGCAAUUGAUGAUGGAAAUUCUACGGUGGUUGGAGACACGGAGUAAAACAUUUGUGCGUCCUUUCAGUAUGAAGGGCGCAUAUAUGGUUCUAGCCCAUGUCAACUCCGUUGUUCACUUCAUAUAAAUUCGUACAAGUAUUUGGUUGGUAUCAGAAUACGAGAUGAUAUGUACAUUGUGCUUGUGAUUGCUUAGUCUUGGCGUGAAGUUUUGCUGAGUUUUGGUUUGGAGCGUUUAAGUGUACAGGCAAAACAAUGGAAUGGGUAAAGAAAAUAAAAGAAAGUUUUCAUUACCAUACGACAGAAAAUAUUUUCAAUUUCAGCCAAACACCGAAAAAUAUUGUCAUUUUCCAGGAAGACGACUUUUUUUUUUUUCUUUUCGAAAUAUCAUAUUUUCUGUGAAAUAAAUGCAGCUUUAGUGAAAGAGAGAACAUGAAUCCCUCAAUCAUCGCUCACCUCCAAUUUCUGUCUCAUUAGUGUUAAAUUCGGUGAAGCUCGAGAGAUAGAUUGCCAAUAGAGAAUAGCACUGUCACCUUCUCAUAUGCAUCUCCCUUUGCUCUUUCUCGGUGAUUUGAAUUUGGCGGGGAGAGCAUUUCCCUUUUGUACUGUUAAACUAAGUUCAGAUGGCAUAUUGUCUGAGAGCGAUGAAGAAUCCCUAUUGUUCAAUUCAGUAAAAUGGGUCAUCCGGACGUGUAUUUUUUUGUGUCCUUAUUUUAAGUUGCUGGAAGCAUUGUAUUGCUAUUGCCAAUCUCAAAUUGGAGUUUUUCCCUUUGAAGUAUUAAUUAGAGGGGCAAUUUCCCUUCUUCAUCUUGUGCAAACUUUUUUGAGAUGUGUUAGGAGAGUUGGCAUUUCUUGUUGGGUUUUUAAUUUACAUUUACUUAAUUUGGUGUUCAGCUAGCUCCCUUUUUUAUGAGAAAAAGCUAGAUGGUAAUUGAUGUGUUAGCUACUGUUGUUGAUGAUUGACUUGCAGUACCAAGAAGACUUGAUUUCUUUUCUACAAUUAAACAUUUGGGUUAUACCAGUGUUUUUGUCUCCCAUUGUGAUUAUAAAUGAGUUUCUUUUGCAUUUUCCCUUAAGUGUGAUUAGCUGGAGGCAUGAUCCAAGAGAAGUACAGAGCAUGUCAAUAAUAGCUCAUUGUAACAUUUCCUUCACACUCUCCAGCAAAAUUCUGUUGCUAACAAAGAAUUUCUCAUGUUAGUAUUAGUGUGGUUCUCAGCCAGGCUUGUCAUGCAUAACAUAUUUUCCCUUUUUCAGCUGUGUGAAAUUGAGUCAUUUUGUACUUCACAUUUACUUAAUCAAUACAGAGCAAGAGAUUACUUAAUAAUCUUAAUUCCUCCUAUGAUGUCAUUUUAAGCUGAUGGAAUUAACUUCUCGCAACUCAUUUUUCUUAUCCUCCCUUUUUGAAUGCAAAGUGACCAUAUGUGCUUUCUACAUCUUUCUUAUAUCUGUGUGGUGUCUUUUUAUGCAGUCAUCAUAGACGUUAGAGGUGAUGGCGGAGAAAGACAACGACUUGCCAAGAGACGCCAGGGUUGUGAAGUCACUACUGAAAUCAAUGGGUGUUGAGGAGUAUGAACCUCGUGUUAUACACCAAUUCUUAGAGCUGUGGAAUCGAUAUGUAGUUGAUGUAUUGACAGAUGCGCAGGUCUACUCUGAGCAUGCUGGCAAGGCUGCAAUUGAUUGUGAUGAUGUUAAGCUUGCAGUCCAGUCAAAAGUCAAUUUCACCUUUUCACAGCCUCCUCCUCGAGAGGUGCGUAAAGUGUUUAUAUUGUUCAUUGCAUAGAUUUGUCAUCAUUGAACAUAUGUCCAUAUGACCAUGGAUGAUCCUCUGUUUCAACGAAUGAUGUCUUGUUCAUAUCAGCUGUGGCAGUUUCUUGACGGAGUGAAUUUGUGAAUGGAACUCCGACCAGUGAGCAGAAACCAUGUUAGGUUAUAAUGUAGAGUCCAUUCAACUUGAGCUAGAGUUGACUCCCAGUCAGAAUUUUGUCUUGGCAUGAUGGCAUUUGGCAUGUCUUAACUAUCCAUUUUCUCAUGGCAUUUGGCAUGUGAAGACCAUGAAAUAAAAAAUUUUAAGCUGCACACUUGAGUCCUUGCGAAGUCUGGACAUUUGUGUUUGCUGUUGAAUGUUCAGUAGUCUAAUUCAUUAAUUAUCAGGGGCUUAUGUGUGUGGUAACAACACAUUUAUACGUCUGGUGUUUGUGUUUUACUUGUUUGAUGUUACUGUACCAAGCGAUCAAAAACCAAUGCUGAUGUUACUGUCUAUCAGGUCUUACUAGAAUUGGCUAGAAGCAGGAACAAGAUUCCAUUACCAAAGACAAUAUCAGGUCUCGGAAUUCCACUUCCUCCAGAACAGGACACGCUGAUCAGCCCAAAUUACCAACUUGCAAUCCCGAGGAGGCAAUCUGCUCAGGCAAUGGAAGAAGCCGAAGAAGAUGAAAGAAGUGAUGCCAAUCCAUCACAGGAGCAGAAAACAGAUGUGCCACAUAGUACGCCACAGAGAGUUUCAUUUCCCCUCUCUAAACAUCCCAAGUGAUGGAUCUGCAUCCGCAGGUAUGGUGUGACUGGGAAAAGAAUUGGAGAAAUUAUGGGUCUGUCUGCUGACACGGUAGUUCAUAUUGGAUCGUUUAAUGUAUAAGAAUAUUAUGCAGUCUGCUGGCUGUAUCCUAAGCUUCUCUUCCAUCUUUGGUCUGCUCAGUGACAAGUUUGAAGAUUGGUGUUUGUCAGCAACUGCUGUACCUGUAACUUACUUAUCUUGCUUAGAAGCAAUCGCUGUUGAGCUUCUAGCAGCUGUAAAAAAGUAGUUAGCUUUCCUUUAUAUUGUUCAAGUAGCAAUGCUUUGUCAAAGCUGGAGUGCCAAGUAACGCAUACGAGUAGACAUUCCUGCGGUGCGACUGGUUUAUAAAACUUUGAUAUGAGUAUAUGGAGUUGACAGAUUACAUAGUCAAAACUCAAAAUAGCUUACAAAAAUCAUUACCCAGAAUACAAAUUUCUCUCAGGAAAGAAGUCCUACUACGAUCCGACGGUUUUGAAGGACUCGUGAAUGUGCCUCAAGGUCUCCUGGUCCCGAUUCCACUCAGGAGCGGGCGCAUUCACGAAGUGGGCGUAGAGCUUAUUAUUGGCACAGGUUACAGAGAUUAAGCUGUGAGCACCAACCCCAUCGAUCUCGUACACGUAAUACAGCUGCCCCUUCUCAUCCUUCUUCUCCACCGAUGAUAUGUUGUCAGCACUGGCGAUGAGGUCCUGCAACUCCACGUCGGACAGAGCCAAAUUGUUCAAGACGGCGUCUUUGGGAGCCAACUGCCUAAACCCGGCAAGGAAAGUCAGGUACUCCUUCUCCGUCCUCUUCUUGGGGUUGCAAAACUCGCUGUCCGUCCCAUUGGUGCCCUUCUCCACUUUCGAGACCAGCCGCUCUUUCCAACCGUCGGGCACGUCGUAGACGUACUCGGCCGUGUCCUGCUUGCUGGCAUUGCCGCCAUAGCCCCCGUAGUUGGCAGCGCUGGCUGCUGUGCCGUAGUAGACACGGUAGGUCGCUGGUGGCGAUUCGGCUAGCGAAGGCGGCACGGCGGCGAGCACGGUGGCCGCCGCAAGGGCUGUGGCCGCAAGACCGGCGGCCGAGCCAGGGGAGGGGUGUUUGUUGGGGUGGGCUGAGAUAUGCGUUUUGGUGGCGACGGUGAGAGGGACUUGGGCCGAUUUGCCGGCGGCGGUGGAGGAGAGGAUGGUCGAUGGUGAGAGUGAAGUUGCCAUGGUGGCGGUCUUCUGGUGGUGGAGAAGGAUUGGUGGAUGUGAGGGUCUCUGCAAUGGAAGAUGAUGAUUUUUCUCUUAUCCAAUGCUCUUCGCCAAUUAUGACGUCAUUUUGGGACGUGGUGGGUAAUUAUCUGCGACCAAUGGCGGCUUGCCAUCUCAUCGGAACGCUAGGACCAUUCCAAGCAUUAUUAUUGGGCGAGGCUAGAUUUCCAAAUUACACCUUCUCCUUCCCACAGAACAAAGGCUUGAAAAUAUGUACGCAGCAAUAUUUGAAAAGGGCUUACAAAUUUGGCUUUUUAACCCAAGAGUGUAACUUUGACUUUUAAUUCAAAUGCGGAACAUCUAGAACUUUUUAAAGUAAAUUAUAGGGAUAUUGACGUGAAUCGUUUAUGACUUCUUUUGCAAUUUUUUUAAGCUGAAGUAGUAAUUUGAAGUUCGGCAGAAAAAAAAAAAUGAGAGAAAAAAACAUUUUAGCUAAAGAAAAGCAGAAACAAAGGCGUUAGGCAGGCUCCGGUAUCUUUUACCUUUUCCUAAGUCUUGUUAUAAUGGUGGUUGUGUCAUAUCAUGAUAACGAGUACCAAAUUCGAAUGUUUGAUUAGAAAAAGCUUUAUAGUCUAAUAGUAGGAGUCACUACUUGAUAUUUCUCUUUCCUAGACAAAAGAAAGCUUAACCACUCUUACACCAAUCACUUUUUUUAGAAGUUUGAAUUAUUGGCUUCUUCCACUUCAAAACUAGUAGACGCUACUGAUGAAAAAGCACAUGAUGAACCAUUCUAAUAGGUUGUGGCCCUUGUAGAGCACUGCAUGAACGGUUGGGCUAACUCCUGUUUGGACAAAAUAAUAAUGGUCACAUUCCCAUCAUACAUGAUCCACAACUAUUGUUCCUCCCUCACAAGAAAUUCUUACAGGUACCAGAUCCUUGGAUUACAUGGAGUUCACACGAUAGAUGAUUAUGAUGAAUCCGUUUUGCGUGUGCUUGGAUUUAUGCAUAUAAGUUUUAUCCUUUGGAGUGGAGAAGUACAUAAAAAAUAAAAAUAAAAAAAUAAAAUAAAAAAUAAAAAAUAAUAAUAAUAAUUAAUUGCUAGACUCUGUGCGGAAUGAUUAUAUUCAAGGAAUGUCGAAUUUUUUGCGUGUGCAUGUGAGUGUUAUAUGAAUGGACGGAUAUGUGGACAUCUAUGUAGUCUGCAAAUGAUCGCCAAGGGAAUUCAAAGAAUGCAGGAAAAAGCAUAGUCCUAUCAGCAAUAGGUGGAUGCUUCUCUGUUCAUUAUUGUGAAACAAUAUAUGUAGAGUGUACAUGUAUAUAUAUGAAUGGAUCUCUGUAAUUCCUUUUGUGUAAUGUGUCAAUUUCUGCUAUACAGGAAUGCAAAAGAAGAAGAAGAAGGACAGAUGAAGAUAAUACAUAUAUAUACGUAAAUCACAUCCUCGACCGGGCCGAAGGAAUCCGACAAAGAUGAUACGAUGCACGUGAUCCGAUAUUAGUUGCCGAAGAAGAGAUGGAGCGUGGCCAACAAGAAAGAGCAUAGGAUGGCAGCAGCUCCGGACACUCCCAAAGAGGGAGCUGAUCCGGUGUCCAGCGAGAUCGCAGGGGACGGCGCCAUUGCUAAACCUUGAGCCGAAACGCGGGUUGCCGCGGGCACAGAAAGAAGAGCAACCACAACAACAUAAGCGGCCAAGAGAACCGAACUGAAUGCGGUGGCCGCUGGUGCCAUGGCUAAGAACUGACAGGGAGAGGAACGGACGGGCGCGUCUGCAGUGAAUUGUGUGGAGAGUCUGCGAGAGCUGUGGGUACUACUUAUAGCGGGAGACAAGCGUGAGGGGCACAUGAGCAGCAGCAUCAUAAGCUCUGCCUUGAGGAAGAGAACAUCUGGAGAGGGAUGGGAAGUUGGACACCACUGAGGAACCGACAGAAACACGGGACGGUACAAUGCGUGCGUGCUCUUUCUUCAAUCCGAGGUCGCUAUGGCUUAGCUUCGAAGUUCUUUCGC